RNAcentral lists this long non-coding RNA (94431 nucleotides) under Coffea arabica (coffee). RNAcentral's name for it is "long non-coding RNA (CARA_LNC000224)". Lineage: Eukaryota; Viridiplantae; Streptophyta; Magnoliopsida; Gentianales; Rubiaceae. The record is from RNAcentral.
UUUUUUUUUUUUUUUGUUAAAAAACAUUCUAGUAAUUGUGGUGACUUUUUUUUAUUAAAAAAAUUUCUACUAUGCUUUGGAUUGCCAGUUUAAAAAAAUAUUUUUUUUGAUAAGGAAAAAAUAUUAUUGGUCUUUAUGCAUGCGGCUAUUAAAAAGUUUAAAAAAAAAAACGGUCGCCGCAUGCAAAAGUGCAUGCGGCUAUGAAGAAAAGGGAUAGCCGCGCAUAAGGCUAAGCAUAUUAAAAAAAAAAAAAAAAAAAGCAAAACAAAAAUUUCCGUUUCAAUCGCAAAAGAAAAAGGGAAAAGAAAUUUGGUUUUUUCAAAUGCCGACAAUGACAUUUGCAGCGACCCCUCAACCAUCCCACACCAACCCACAACACUACUUUUCGGACUUUUUUCUUGAAUCGCAUUAUUUUGGGAAAUUUGCCGUAUUUAUAGUAGGAUAUAAUCUGCUUCGACUGUCCCUUCGGCGACACCCGAUAAUCUGCUUCCACUGUGUAGGAUAUUGUCUUGGCAGGCCCUUAGCGGGGCAUUUACGUAUAAAUAAUUAGUUCAGUUAGAGUUGUCGGAACAUUAUAACCUGGGAAAAUAGAAUAGGGAAAGGAGGUCUAGGUUAGGUAUUUGCAUUUUAAAGUCAGGAUACAGCUCAAAACUUGGAAAAUAGACUUUUGUACCGAAAAAUCUCCAUUAGAUGCUGUAAUGUUGGAGCUGGAUCGUCCGCCUUUCUGAAGGUGCCGCUGCUCCGGGUAGCCCAAAAAAAAAAAAAUUGUGAAAAAAGCAAGUGAAAAUGAUAAGAUCCAGCCUUUACAGGUCAAUAAUUUUGGGUUCAAUUCUAACAAUUAUGUUAGACUGUAUUAAUUAGGUUUAUAAAUUCUCAAAGAAUCAUUUCUAUUGAACCCUUGAAAGCAAAAAGAAUCCACUAGAUCGGAUUACUGCAACAGCAGGGGCAGCUAUGCUUGCACAGAAGAUUAGAACUGAAGGUUGCAUUCCCUUGAAUUAUCAUUACUUUGGAAGGGCAAAUUUUUCUGGCCUAACAUGAGAUUGAUGAGCAAUUCUAUGUGUUAGCUUAUCCCUUUCCAAAAUUCUAUUCUUGGGCUGAAAUUAUGUACUUCUCGCUUUAAGAAUUUGAAUAGUUUAAUCUACAAAUUGCUAACUCUAAAAGCAAGUAAAUGUUGGAAACUAAAAAUUAUAUUCUUUAGGGGCCGAUUUCUGUUAAUAAAUCUUCGAGGUUUCACCAGUUAAAUAUUCCAAAUUGCUUGAGACUAGGGUAAUUGCUGUUUAGACUUUAGUGCAGGAUAGAACUAUACGUCCGUGGCAACCAUUCAGAAAAAGAGGGGAAAAAAAGAGUGAUAUACAGAAAUGAAUCAAUUUGAAUUUUAGUGGGAUCAGGAACAAGUAAUACUGUAAUGCUUCUUGUUUUAAUCUUCAGUGCUAGGCCCAUCUGUAGAGAGUUGGAUGUGGGGUUUGAGUCAUGAAGAUAUUGAACCACUACGAUUUGCUCAAAAGUAAACGCUAAAGACUUUGUCAAAAUAUUGAACCACUAUGAUUUGUCGAACCACGGACAGGAACGGUUGCUGGCAGUUUUAUGCAUUUUGCACACGACGUAAUUUUAUUUACACAACGUUUAACUUUAGAACAAAUUUUUGUGGAUCCCACAUACGUUGUUAAAAACGAGGUACAAGAAGUGAUAUGAACCGUACAAUUUUUUUGGGCCGAAUCCUGGUCUUUAACUGUUCAGAAACGAUCCUUCUGAUGACCGUCCCUGUCCCGUCUCCAUGAUUUAUCAUAUCUGACAAGACAUGCACAUAUUUAUAGGUGUACAACGAUUCAUUUGGAUGGAAGAUAUGUUAGAAUUUAUCUUUAUUUGUGUUAAUUUUCAAGUAUGUUAUAUCUAUUAGUUUCAGAUUUAUAUGUAUCUUUGUCAUGAUUGAUUUGUAUGCAUUUCUGUCUUUAAUUUAGAUUCAAAGAAAGGUUAAUAGCUAUGGGUUCAAAUCCUGUCCCCGCCCUCUAGUUCUCCCCUUGAAGCCUAAAAAUAUAAAAGGCUGUUUGGGUACAAUUGGCUAGGUAAUUGUCAAAAUUGUAGUAUUUGACAUCGCAGCAGAGUAUUUUAAAUCAUGAUUAUUGUAAUCAGACUAUGGAAGCCAACUAUGGUUAUUGGUUUUGAGAUUUUUUCCCUACGGUAGAUUUUCCUUCUUGCAUGUGCAUAAACCUAUGCUUUGAUCUCCGGUAAGAGAAUGCUGGAUAAGGUAAAAUUUUAAUAGAACCAAAACUUCGUAAAAUCUGUUGCAUGUUAUAUGAAUAAGUUGCAUGAGUUUGACCCAAAAGUGCUUUUUUUUUUUUUUUUGCUCAAAAGUUGAUUGUGAAGAUAUUACUGGUCCAGAAUGAAUGUCCAGUGGAGCCUUAUAAGCGAAUCGUUCUUGGAGCUGGAGGAUACCGAUUGCAUUUAGCAUACAAAAUUGAUGAUAUGACUAGAGAAAUGAGUAGGUCAAAAGCUAUAUUUUAAAACUCGGACAGUGACAUAGUUAAAUUCAAGGCUAGAAAUCAAUGGAUUCGAUCGAAAUUGGACCAAUUUAAGAACCGGGUAUCAUCAUUAUUAUAUCAUAAAUAUGUAUUAUAUAAAGGGAUAAUUUCAGAAACCUCCCUUGAGGUUUCUGACAGUUUCACUCCCUCCCCUGUGGUCUCUGAAAUUCCACAAACCUCCCUAAAACUAAAUAGGCAAGGCCAAAAUAGACCCAAUUUAAAAAUACAAACAAUAAAAAAUUAGUAGCUGGAGAGAGAAACAAGUGUAUACCAUAAAUGCCCUCAUUAUCUUGGGUUAGAGAGCUAAUCAAUUGUGAAGAAAAAGGAGGGAAUUUAGAAGAAUGAAACUUGAGGGGGUGUAAGUGAGACCAAUCAACAGACAAGCACACAACGUCAGUAGUGAACAAAAUGAAAGGCAACGACUCUUUCUGCAGCCAGUUCUAACGUCUAUAUGCAACGGCCAAUUUAGAAGGCUAUUUAUCAGAGUAAAAUGCAGCAGCAAGAGACGCAACUGAAGUGCAACAAGUGUUAAUUUGUGAGGUGCAACUGAAGUGCUUGGUGUUAGGUGAAUUGCAGCAGCAACAAACACACGCACAAAUGGCCAGUUCAAGCAGAAGAGGUGAAUUCCAGAAUUUUGACGGACAGUUAUUCAAGUCAGUGCUCUGUUUCUUUAUAGGCAUAGUUUCCUCUUCAUGUAUUGCUGCCAAUAAUUUUGCAAUGCCUAAUGGAUUUUUGCAUACAUGCAUUCAGGGAAUCCAUUCUGAUUUUUACGUCCCUGAACUAACACCUCUUUUGGUGGCUUCUUCCCUGCUCAUGGUCAUGAACGAUUCUCCACAGCCACACUACCCUUUAGAAUUUGGAUUGAUAAAUAUGAACUCUGACCUGAUCAUACCAAACAAAGAUGUUUGAGAUUUUAGCAGGCAGCACAAAAAGGUUAACUGUUCCACUAUACAUGAGGAAAUGAGAAAUAACAUCACCCCGCCAUGGAACAAAGUUAACUUCGAGGCUAACCUCUAAAUCAUAGUCAUUAUCUGAAGUUGGAGUAGUUCAAAGGAAGAUAACAUCACAUUUCAAGAAACAAUGCUACAAUGAAAAGUAUAGAGCAAAUUUGUGUUAUAACUGCAGAGAUGCUUCUAAAAUUGAGUUAAGCAUUAAUAGAAAAGAAUUUCAUACCUCAGUUUGUCAUCGACAAAGUCCAUCUUGGUUCCUAUGACAUGCAUGAGAGCCUUCGGAUCAACCAAUAUCUUAACACCCUUGUCCUCAACCAACUCAUCAAACUUCUCUUUUUCAUCUAUACAUUUAAGAAAUUUGCGCAUCAGGCAAAUAACUAUCAACCAAAUUAUGGAAACAAAACAAAGGGAAUGCCCAUUGUCUUCUGGUUACAUUGAAUCCUACAACAUCAUUUAUUAUCUCCAACAGUUAUUGCAGUGCACCAACUCUCAUCAGGUGGGAUUCCCGCAACACAGGCAAAUCAAUGAAAGAACACAAAGUACAUGGAUAAACAAAAGUCCAGCAAUGUCGUUGAACAAUCCUUCCUGUUCAUUUUCUUUUUAUUUCCAAAUUUUGGACAGGGGAAUGGCGGUAAAGAAAAAUAGUGAAAGUGGUGGGAAAUUGGAAAGCGUGAGAAACGAACUGUUGUAUGAUGAGGACAAAAGACCCUUAACCAUCCAAGUUUCUACUCAGAUUGUGAUUCCAAGCACUCACCUUAAGUUCAUUAAAUGCACGGAACAAUAUAAUAUCUAGCCAAAUAACCUAGGUUUGACUAGGGUUAAAAUUUUCAAGAUACAGGCAAUUCGAAAAUGUCACCAGCCUAAGGAGUCAACAAAAGAAUCAUCUUCUGGAUUUAAUCGCCGUAAAAUAAAUUAACCAAUAAAAAUCUUCAUAUUCGAACCUUUCAGUUAACGUUUUCACUAAAAGGGCAAAGGAUAGAACCAGGCCAAGUAGAGCCCACUAGCAGAAAUCCCUAUUGUUGUAAGCUUCAAACAGAAAUACUGAUAAAAAAAAAGACCUUAACCUAUCCAUUCCAGUCUACUCGCAUAAAGGGAAAAAAGUUUUUGUUCUAAAUCUACGACAGAUGAAGCCAGAACAAAUAACUCUACCAGAGAUUUUGGGAGGAAAUUUAACAAACUUAUCUUAAUUGAAGCAAAAAUUACAUGCGGCAAUUGGGGAAAAAAAUGUACAAUCUAAAAAAGAAUUGAAGAGGGGCGGGGAGGGGGAUUGAUUUUGAGAAAUGGAACUGCGUAAUUAAGGGUGUAAGAUAAGCCGUUGCAACCGCGAGCUUUGACGCCAAGCUUGUGAAAUGAGCGCUGCCGUUGUUCCAACAGCUGCCGUAUUCUGGAAGCGGCGGUUUCGGUUAAGGUGAGAACUUGCUUUCAGGGCCGAAGCCGGACCCAUCUUCUCCAACCCCUCUCUUUAACGUCCAACAAUUUGGACACGACACGAUUGACAGUAGCAAGAUCAUGGCGCCUAAGUUUGGCGCCAUUUCACUACAGACCGUUUUCUAUAUUGGUUGUUAGGACUCCCAAUUAUGGUUAAUUACAUUAAUUGUGUUUAUAACUAGCUUAACUAAUAGUUUUCAGAUAAUCAUGAAAUAUUAGCAAAAUGGUAAGGGUAUUUAAGUCAUUUUGGCACCAAUGAUGUAAGAAAUGGAACCUCACCAUCUGACAGGGGAGGUUUGUGUAAUUUCAGAAACCACAGGGGAGGGGAGUGAAACUGUCAGAAACCUCAAGGGAGGUUUCUGAAAUUAUCCCUUAUAUAAAUAAAAUUGUAUGAAGAAAUAACUUAUAGAUUUAUUAGUAACAUAACGAAAUAAAUAUCCUUUAUUCUUCAUGUUUGUUUCACGUAGCUUAGUAAAAUUCAAAAGUAUUAAAGCCUAACUCUAAUUUGAUAUUUGUGAACUUUAGAUGCAAAUUAAUGAGUCUAUAACUAAAUGUACAAGACUUAUUUGAAAAGAUACAUCAAAAUCGAUCCUGCAAAUGCCAUUAGAAAAUGUUUUGAGAACUUUGAUAGCAAUCCAAAACAUCAUGGGGGAAAAUGAAAUAUUAAAAAACUUAAGGUAACUAUCCCUAAUUUCUUGGCCUAUUUGGCAACUAGGUUUUUUGUCUAAUUUUUCUCUUACAAGUUUUUUUUAACAAUUUUAGUUACACUAAUUUCAAAAAACACUUUAAAAUUUUUAAAAUACACACUUCAAAAUAUCCAAAAAUACAAAAAAUUUCCUUCUUUUUCUUCUUUCUCCCCCACACUUCCGUCACUAGCCAACCUCCGUCGGCACCUCUUCCAACGCUGGCACAUCAUCUAGCACCGACAGAAGUUUUUUUCCCUUUUUUUCUCUUUCUCCUCCUAUUCCUUUCUCUCUCUUUCUUCCUCCUCCUUCCCUCUCUUUCUUUCUUCCCCUGCGCGAUCAGAUUGCGUGACGGAGGGAAAAGGAGUAGGGGAGGGUGGCAGGGAGGGUGGCAGGGGAGGGAUGGGGGGAGAGAGGGGAGGGGAGGGGAGGCAGGAGGAAGGAGAAGAGGGAAAGGGAGAGGGAAGAGAAAGAAACAGAGAAAAAAAGCAAAAAAAAAAAAAAAAAAAAAGCUGCUGCUACGGGCACUAGUCGCGGCGGAGGUUCCAGCGCCAACACGGCAAGUGGUGAGGUGAGGGAGAAGGAGAGGAGAGGAAAGAAAAUGAAAAAGAAAGAAAAAAGUUUUUAUUUUAAAAGGGAGAAUUGUAGUGUUAGUCCCAAUGUAUUACCCAUGCACGAAACUAGUCCUUAAUCUAUUCAAGUAAAUUUAGUCCCUAAUCUAUCCAAUUUGUGUGUAAAAUUGAACAAUUGACAGAUUCCUUCCAGUUAAGUAUGGAAUGUGGCGCGUGCACUUACUGUACCAGAAGUGCAAGUGGUUUCAAUUCUCCCUUCUAAUCUAACAUACAUGCUGGAACUAACAUGUUAUACACUGAGUUACACUUCAAUACAAAGGUUUGGAAUCAGAUUUCUUGAAGAACCUGCAAUGGCUCCUAAUUCUUUCUCUUGCUGCAACAUUAAUUUCCAGUAGCAACAGCAGCCUUUUCGUUUGAUAUUUUCUCAUUAGUUCCGUUUCUGUUUUAUGUCUAGCUGAUCCUGCAAAGGAUACCUAUUCAACUACAGAUUAUCCUAAGCUAAACACGGAAGUUUAUGACCAGAUUCAAGAGGAAACUUAAUCAAAUCCCAUGCCGGUGCAAGGCUGGAAAAUCUUAUGCAAAGCAACCUGCACCAGAUUUCUUUCAUGCACACGUUCAGAUUCUUGCAAGUUACUACGGUAACCUGCUUUUACUACUUAAAGUGAACAUAUUCAUACAUUCCUAGCUACUUGUUUCCAUCCUCCUUUGAUAGCACCUGCACAAUCCGUACCUGUUUCUUAGCUAAAGAGCAGAAUUUCUUUUAACAAGCUACCAGUUCUGAGCAGGAUUUCUCGCAACCAAACUUACUUUCCUUGACUAGAAUCUAGCAUACUAUAUACGUACUCGAGGGCUUCAGCUGAUAAAAAAUUAUUGCAGUCAUUUUACCUCUUUCUUUCCUUUUAGAGUUUGAAAAAUUGCAGACUGCACUUUUAGUUUCCUGCUUCGGUUCCCAAAACUGCACCAGCCUCUUCUCUCGUACUCACUUUAGGCUCAUGGUUUUGAUGUUACAAGCUGGAGCAAUGAAGCGAGCAAAUGUCUAUCUUUCUCUUCCUCACUCUCUCGUUGCAGGCUGGAAGCAAGGAGAAACCAGAAUGUUCUCUUUUCUCUCACUCGUUGUGUUUUAAGAAAGGGGUGUGGCUGAGUCUCUCUUUCAGUUUUGCUCCUAGUGUUUAGUUGGUAAGAAAAGAGUUGAAGCGUGCUUCUUCACUCGGCCACCGCUCAAUUAAUAUAUCAGUUUCUAUUGCUCAUUCACUCACCGCUUGCACUUAGCUAAUAAUUGGCAGCUAUUUUCUCCUCUAAAUUCAUUUAUCUCGCUGCUUAUAGGACUUAAGAAUCAAAGUAAACAAUCCACUUGGUGGUCUCUUUUUAUUUUUCAAUCGGUGCUGCCAGCUAAGCUGCUUACUCAGACCAACUCCAAGUAUUUCUUUCUCUCAGUUUCUGCUAAAAUUCUGAUGGUUUUAUGCAAUGGUGCUCACUCAGGCCACUGCUCAAAUUUCUUGCAGAUUAUUUUCUCAUCUUCCCCUCUGCCGCUGUCGCUCUUUUCACUCUUCUGCGACCCUCCUGAAAUGGGCUUCCGGGGUAGAACCCUCCAACUUGACAAUGCCCGAACUCACCAGUCGGGUUUGCAGCCUUUUAGUUCUCGAACGCCAUUCAGACCUCAAGAACCUUUCUUUCCAAUUCUCCCACGAACUCGUCGACGCUGUCCUCCAAAAACUGAAGCUCAACCCCUCCGCUUGUCUUCAGUUCUUCAGAUUAGCUUCAAACCAGUCAAAUUACCGACCCCAUUUCAAGGCUUACUAGAAAAUCGUUCACAUUUUGUCCAAGGAUAGAAAAGAACAGAGAUGUGAAAAAAUGAAAGAAGAGAAAAAGAGAGGAUAGAUUUUGAAUUUUUAAAUAGUUUCAUGAUUUACAAACAUUGAAACCACUUGCACCUGCUGGUACAGUGAGUGCACGCGCCACAUUCCGUUACUCAACUGGAAGGAAUCUGUCAAUUGUCCAUUUUUAUCCAAAAUUGGAUAGAUUAUGGACCAAAUUUACUUUUUGAAAUAGAUUGAGAACCAGUUCCGUGCAUGGGUAAUACAUUGGGGACUAAAACUACAAUUCUCCCAUUUUAAAAAUUUUUUCUACAAAUUCUAUAAAAAAUUAUAAUAGAGUUUUAGACAAACAUCCAAAAAAUUUAUUUACCAAACAGACCUCGUUCUGUUGCCUACAUCUUCUAACUGUCUCACCAUUUUGUUUCCAUUCCUAUCGACUUUCGUUAACUAAUUUUCAUUUUGUCUUCCAAUCUUUUCUUUUUUCUCUUUGUUUCCUGUCAAAAUUAUCUUUUAAUCCUGUUUCUUCAUGUUUGUUAUUCUUUUCUUUAUUUAAUCAAACUAAAACAUGAAAACUUAUUAUUCUUUUUUUUUCUCUUCUAUCCAUUAGCUGCUGGCUCCUUUUUUUCUUCUCUUAUUUUGCCUUAGACCUUAGAUUUGCAAGUUUCCUUCUUGCUCUUAGUUUUAUACUAGGUGUUUAGGUCUAUAAAUUGCAGCAACUUUACCAUUACAGAUUUACUUGAAAACGAGGAAAGCCUAAUUCUUCAUCUUUUCUUUUCUUCGUUUUUCUUUUUUUGGCGGAAACAAGUUGCAAAUUAAAAAGACACAUGUGAUAAAAGGUAGAAUGCACUGUUAUAGAAAUGGAUAGAAGUCCUCCAGCACUUGUUUUGCACACAUUUAGAACAAACCCCAAAAACAAGCUAACUAAAUUAUUAUAAAAGAAGAAGAAGAAGAAGCCCUAAAUACCUCCUAUUUGUAUCACAUUAAGUUAAAUUACAUGGAACGUCUAUCCCAUCAUCCACCACUAACAAUGGCACAACCCUUAUUUGCUUAAAGCUUUGUCAAUCCAUCCCCAACUUAUCCUUCACCACUUGAGUUUAGCUGGAAAGUACUGCAAAUCACGAAGCCCAAAAAUAUAAGAACAUAUGUAUGUGGUAGAAUUGUGAGAGAAUAUUUGAUUACAGAAUUGUAGAAAGUCAACAAACCUUUUCAAUGAGGGAGAGAUAAUACGACUUGACCUCUUCUAGGCUGAUCUUCACUUUGCACAUUGCUGUAAAGAUCAUACUUGUUGAACACAUGAAGCCAUUUCAGCGUCUUUUUCCUCCUCUUCAUUCAUCAACUAUCCGUAGUCUUCACCGUUAUGUAGAGCAUAGAACUAAUGGAAUCGGAUAAUGAAGAAAAGGGCAGUAGGAGGCAGAGUACAGUUAUUCCCUUUCACAUCCUGUACAUUUAUCCAACAAAAUUUAAAGGGAAUACUUACAAAAAGCAUACUAUUAACUCUAAUGUUAAGGAUCACAUGACCAAGAUUUAUAAGACGACACAAGGUUUUUUGAUGUCCUGGCUUACCAAGUACAUGUACUCAUCAUGACCCUAGGACAUGGUAAUAGUGAGUCAAUUGUGCAUUUUAUUUGAUGGUAUUUUGUCUUGAUUUUGGCCACUUAUUGUGCAAAGUAAUGGUUUCUGCUCAUAAUUGGUAUGUGUGUCAGUUGCAGGCGCUUGGUGUCAACAAGUGGUGAAAAGAAGCGAAUUUCCAGAAGACUAUUCAUUCCAGAGCGUGCCCACGCCAGAAACCGUAGAGUGACUUAUGAAAAGACGGAUUGCGGUACUUAUCCCUGGAAGCUUGCCGCUAUUUUUGGGGAGAUGUGUUUGACGUUUGCUGCGUUGGAUUAGGAGACAUCUUCAGAGAAUAUUUUGGCAACAAAUCAAGGAGAGAAAUAGGGAAAGAUAUCCCUUAUAGAUACAAAGACCGGAGUGGCUAAAAGAGGGCGGCAGAAAAACUUUAAAAAUAGGAGAGCAACUGACUAGCAGUUUAUCCUUUGUCUUUGUCUUUUCCUUCGGAACGUGAGGUGGAGACUAGCGGCUAUACCUUUUACUUUUUCAUCAACUAAAUUCGAUUCAAGUUUUCUAUUGCAUCAUCGUUAUGAGGCAAGGCUAGGUUCCUUUAUCUAGUUCAGGAAUAAUAAAGGCUCGGUGCACGGACAAUUGUGAGAUCUUUUUAAUUGUUCUACGCUAUUUUAAAUUUUGCGUUCGUGGGUAUUUAAUUAUUCUUUGUUUCAAUAGGCUUUGGAUUUAUUGGAUUAAUGUGGCCAGUUGUUCAAUUGUCUGAAUAGUAUACAGCCAAUCAGGACGAUGGUGCAUAUCACUUGAUUGUUUUAAAAUUAAUGGCAAACGGCACAAUUUCAUUGCCUCGCAAGUAGUCUAAUCUGUGUCGUAAGAAUAGUUAAUCUAGUUUAGAUGAACCCACAUGUGUGUUUGUCAACUAAAAUUGGGUCUCUCUAAUUUCUAAAGUUGGGAAUAGAUUAAGUCCUACGAGCGUCUCUGGGGUUAUCUAUUUUUCAAGGGAGUAGUUUAAGAGCGUUUCUGGACUACCUUAUAAUUAAGGAGAGAUUGGUGGUUUGGUGGUUGUCAAAUUGCUUUAACCAAUUUAUUUGUGAACGUGUAAAUUAAUUCAGGUAUUUAUAAUCAAUUGCGUGAGCCGGUGUCGAAAGUAUUUCCUUGACUAGGGUGUGUCAAUUAAUUGUUUAUUAUAUUCUUUAGUGACUGCAUUUUUUGCGAAUUGGAAAUUCAUUACCCUUACAUCUUUAAUUUGUUCUUUAAAUCUCCCAUCCUAAAACCUCUCAAAUUAUCUGUGUAAUAAAUCCGCCAGUUUCCUGAGGAGACGACCCUACUUACCACUAUACUCAUUUAGUUUUGGGAGUAAGUAUUGGUAUAAAUUUUAUUUUAAGUAGUUUGACAGCUACCAAAUUUUAGCGCCAUUGCCGGGACCUGGUGUUUGAAGUGUUUUAUUGCACAGGCUUUGUUUAGCUUAUGUUUUAUGCCUUGAUCUUCCGGUACAGGAAGACUCGAAUUUGACCUAGAGAUCGAGAAAACAGCAAGGAGGUUGACGAAGGAGACUAAGUUGCAAAAGCAACAAGCUUCAGCUACACUACCCUCCGGAUUUGAACAAAAUUCUAACUUAAGUGACUCAUUAGUUGAGUUGGAAACGGACUUGACUGAACCCAACGAAACAAUGGCAGCCCAAAGGACUUUGAGAAAGCUUGCAACACUGAAUGUUAACCAAAAGCCUCUAUGCAUUACUUAUCCUAACACGGAGCAGGCUUUUGAAUUAAAAUCUGGGUUGAUUCAUUUAUUGCCUACUUUUCGUGGUGUUGCAGGUGAGGGCCCACACAAACAUUUGAAGGAAUUCCAUGUAGUGUGCUCACCAUGAAACUUCAGGGUGUUACGGAAGAACAAAUCAAGCUACAUGCGUUUCUUUUUUCCUUAGCAGACAAGGCUAAAGACUGGCUGUUCUACUUGCCAUCGAGAUCCAUUACUACUUGGGAAGGACUGAAACGGCAGUUCCUUGAGAAGUUCUUCCCAGUCUCCAGGGCUACCAACAUUAGAAAGGAAAUAUGUGGAGUUAGGCAGGCCAAUGGAGAAAUUCUCUACGAAUACUGGGAGCGAUUCAAAUAACUGUGCGUCAAUUGCCCGCACCAUCAGAUCCCUGACCAAUUGUUGAUCCAGUAUUUUUACGAGGGACUGUUACCCAUGGAUAGAACCAUGGUGGGUGCAGUUAGUGGCAGUGCUUUGGUAAAUAAAACAACAGAUGAAGCCAAACGGCUGAUCUCGCACAUGGCAGAGAACUCUCAACAGUUUGGAAUCAGAUCUGAGGGAGUGACUAGAAGGGUCAAUGAGGUAAAUCAUUCUGACCUUGCAAAUAAAUUAACUGAGAUUACUACCUUGGUUCGUCAAAUGGCUGUAGGACAAGUACAAACAACUAAAGCAUGUGGAAUAUGUGCUGCUCCUGAACACAUGACCGAUAUGUGUCCGACCCUUCAAGAAGACCCCCACGAGCAAGCCAGUGCCAUAGGAGGUUUGCCUGGACCACCCCAAAGGAGAAAUGACCCAUAUGCGCCCACAUACAAUCCAGGGUGGCGGAACCACCCUAAUUUCAGCUAUGCUCCAAAACCCUCAGGUUUUCAACAACCAUUCCAGCAGAGACCUCCAAUACAGCCACCAUCCACGUUAAAUUCAAGUAUGCCCCUUGACGAUAUGGUUAAAUCACUAGUUAAUAGCACUUGUCAAAUGCAGCAGGAUUCGCAGAGAUUCCAACAAGAGACUCGCACCAGGAUUCGUAAUUUGGAAGCGCAAGUGUCACAACUAGCGUCUUCAAUGAGCAACCUUGAGAAUUGUAAUAAAGACAAGUUACCAGCUCAAGUGAUUCCCAAUCCAAAGGAGAAUGCCAAUGUGAUGCUUCUGCACAGUGGCAAGGAGGUGCAGUCCUCAAGAAAGGAAGCAAUAAGAGCUGAAGAUGAACAAGUUUCUGGGGAGCUUGAGAAGGAAACGGUAAGUCAUCAGCCAGAUGUUCCUAAGGUCUUGGAUAUUAACUCUCCUUUUCCUAGCAGGUUGGCUAAAACACAAAAAGAGGAAUCAGAGAAGGAGAUUCUGGACACCUUUAGGAAAGUGAAAAUCAACAUCCCAUUGUUGGAUGCGAUCAGGCAGUUACCAAAGUAUGUAAAGUUUUUUAAGGAGUUGUGUACUAAUCGGAACAAGUUGAAUUUUCACGACAAAAUAAAGGUAGGUGAGAAUGUGUCAGUAGUCCUCCAAAGGAAGUUGCCGCAAAAAUGCAAGAAUCCAGGUAUGUUUACAAUACCAUGCAUUAUAGGCCAGAAGAGGAUAGAAAGAGGUAUACUUGAUCUAGGGGUAUCUAUUAAUGUUAUGUCUUUGCCAAUAUUUAGGGACUUAAACUUAAGACCUCUAAAAGAUACAAGGGUAAUAAUUCAACUAGCCGAUAGGUCAAAUGUUUACCAUGAGGGUGUAGUUGAAGACAUCCUAGUGAAAGUUAAUUAGUUUAUCUUUCCUGCUGACUUCUACAUUGUUGACAUGAAUGAUGAUAACUCAGUUAAUUCAGCUGUACUUCUUCUGGGUAGACCAUUCAUGAGUACUGCCACAAUAAAGAUAGAUGUACAAAAGGGUACCUUGUCUGUAGAAUUUGACGGGGAGAUAGUUACUUUUAACAUUUUUGAUGCAAUAAAAUACCUGAAUGAAACUAAGUCAGUAAAUUAUGUUUGUAUCACUAAUUUAGUUGUACAAGAUCACUUUAAGCAGAAUUUUAUGAAGGACAAGCUGGAAUUCGUGUUACCACAAAGUAAGAUGAAUACGGAAGUGGAAAACGUGGAUAAGGAAGAUAUUAGAGAAGCAAUUAUGUCGCUACAUUCACGUCCAAAAUUUCCCAACAGGUCAGUCAAAUCAUUUUUACCAUUACCUCCUUCUAAUGAGAGAAUUUUGCCCUCUGUUGAACAGGUACCAGAGUUGAAAUUAAAAGAAUUGCCGAAACAUUUGGAAUAUACUUACCUGGGAGAUCAUAACACUCUGCCGUUCAUCAUUGCAAAUAAUCUGACAGCAGUCCAAGAAGAAAAACUCUUACGAGUUUUGCGAGAGUUUAAGCCUGCAAUUAGAUGGACAUUGGCAGAUAUCAAAGGUAUAAAUCCAGCCAUUUGUAUGCAUCACAUUCUACUGGAGUAGGAUGCAAAACCGGUAAGGGAACGUCAAAGGAAGCUUAACCCAACCAUGAAAGAAGUGGUAAUGAAGGAGAUUCUCAAACUAUUGAAAUUAGGAAUUAUUUUUCCUAUCUCCGAUAGUUGGUGGAUAAGUCCAGUGCAUGGCGUCCCUAAAAAGAGCGGAAUUAUACUUGUGCGGAAUAAAAAGAAUGAAUUGGUACCAAUAAGACUCCAAAAUGGGUGGAGAAUGUGUAUUGACUUCAGGAAGUUAAAUGCGGCCACAAGGAAAUAUCAUUUCCCGUUACCAUUCAUCGAUGAGAUGCUCGAGAGAUUGGUAGGUAAGUGUUUCUUUUGCUUUCUUGAUGGCUACUCUGGUAUUAUCAAAUUAUUGUUGCUUAAGAGGACCAGCACAAAACCACUUUCACUUGCCCAUUUCAAUGCUCCAAGAACGUUUCAAAGAUGUAUAAUGAGUAUUUUUUCUGACAUGAUUGAAAAUUGCAUUGAAAUAUUCAUGAAUGAUUUCACAGUUUAUAGUGAUUCUUUUGAUCAAUGCUUGCAAAAUUUAACAAAGGUUUUACAGUGAUGCAUUGAAACAAAUUUGGUCAUGAAUUAUGAAAAGUGUCAUUUUAUGGUGAAGGAAGAUAUUGUUUUGGGCCAUGUUGUUUCAUCUAGGGGUAUCAAAGUCGACAAAGAAAAAGUUGACUUGAUUACUAGCUUACCUUACCACACUAAUGUCAAGGAGAUUCAUAGUUUUUUUAGUCAUGCAGGUUUCUACAGACGAUUCAUCAAAGAUUUCUCACGAAUUGCACAGCCAUUGUCCUGACUACUUUAAAAGGAGGCAUUAUUUGAUUUUGGAGAUGCUUGUAAAGUGUCCUUUGAUACACUAAAGAGCAUGUUGACCACAACUAGUCAGUACGCAGUAGGAGCUGUGCUCGGUCAGAAAAUUGGGAAGUGUAGUCAUGUCAUUUACUAUACGUCAAAAACGUUGUCGCCAGUUCAAUGCAACUACACCACCACUGAAAAGGAGCUUUUUAGCAAUUAUUUUUGUUUUUGAGAAAUUUCGAUCAUAUUUGUUAGGAUCGAAAGUAACAGUUUUCUCUGAUCAUGCAGCCUUGAAGUACCUUUUGGCAAGAAAGGAGUCCAACCCUAAACUCAUUCGUUGGAUACUCCUGCUGCAAGAAUAUGAUUGGAAGAUUAAAGAUCGUAAAGGGGUUGACAAUUCAGUGGCAGAUCUUUUGAGCAGAUUAAUUCGAGAAGAAGAGGUAGUGCCCAUAUCCGAGGUAUUUUCAGAUGAACACUUAUUUCAACUUGCAGGUGAGGAACCAUGGUAUGCUGACAUUAUUAACUUUCUAGUCAGUCACAAAUUUUCAAGUUGUAUGAGUAAGACUAAGAAGGAUAAAAUAAUACAGGAUUCUCGAUAUUACAUUUGGGAUGAACCCUAUUUAUGGAAAAUAGGGUCUGACCAAAUCAUUCGUUGAUGUGUUCCCAAUGAAGAAAUUCCCUCUAUACUUGUUCAUUGUCAUAGUUACGCCUGUGGUGGUCAAUUUUGUCCUAAAAGAACUAUUCAAAAAAUAUUUGAUUGUGGUUUUUAAUGGCAAACCUUGUUUCGUGAUGCUUAUCUAUUUUGUAAAAGAUGUGAAAAAUGCCAAAAGUUUGGGAAUUUAUCUCACCGGGAUGAAAUUCCCAAGUUCCUAUGUUAUUUUGUGAAAUCUUUGAUGUCUGGGAUAUGGACUUCAUAGGACCGUUUUCCAAUUCUUUUGGUUUUCUUUAUAUUCUGUUAGGCAUGGACUAUGUGUCGAAAUGGGUAGAAAUAAAGGUUACUCGAACUAAUGAUUCACGAGUUGUUACAAGAUUUCUGAAAUCCAACAUUUUUAGUAGGUUUGGCAUGCCAAGAGCAAUUAUCAGUGACCAAGGUACUCAUUUUUGCAAUCGCACCAUUGAAGCAUUAAUGCGUUAGUAUGGAGUUCAGCAUCGAGUUGAUACUAUCUACCACCCACAGACUAACAGGCAAGCUAAGGUAUCUAAUCGCGAGAUUAAAAAGAUUUUGGAGAAAACGGUCAACCCAAAUCGCAAGGAUUGGAGUACCCGAUUGGAUGACGCAUUGUGGACAUAUCGCACAGCUUAUAAAAUGCCAAUCGGAAUGUCUCCAUACAGGUUGGUUUAUGGUAAGAUGUGUAAUUUACCUGUUGCAAUUGAGUAUCGUGCGUUUUGGACAGUUAAGUAAUGCAAUUUCAACGCGAAUAGAGAUGGCAAAGAAAGAAAACUCCAACUUCAAGAGUUGGACAAAAUCUGCUUGGAUGCUUACGACAAUGCACGACUUUACAAAGAACGCACAAAAUCCAUCCAUGACAGACUACUGCGUAAUAAGAAAUUUGUUAUAGGUCAACAGGUACUUCUAUUCAACUCUCGGUUGAAAUUCAUGCCAGGUAAGUUGCGUCCCGAUGGAUUGGAUCAUAUGUUGUUGUCAACGUUUUUCCCAAUGGUGUGGUUGAAAUUAGAAGUUUAGAGACUAACAAAAAAUUUAAGGUUAAUGGUCAUCGUCUCAAGCCGUUUAUUGAUAUUUUAGAAAUUGGCACUAUUAAGGAGGUUCAUUUGCUCAACCCCGUGUCUAAAUAAUUUGUUAAAUUACAUUUGGUCUGACCACAGACGUUAAAUAGAGGCGCUACUUGGAAGGCAAUCCAAGAGUUUCAAUUAUUAGUUUUUUGUAUGUUUUUAUUUCAUCUUUAUUGUACUCAAGAUAUGGUUGUUUUAGGUCCUAUUGAUAGACAUUCUUUAUUAUAAGUCAUGGGUGUGUUUUGUGAAGUUUUAUUGGGAUUAAAGGCAAAAUUCUUUGGCAGAAGACUUUCUGUUAUAAGGCAUGCCCGCGCCUUAUGCUAAAUGCAACUGGGCAUUUUAAAGGUUGAUGAACAGAAGACUAAGGUCUCCAAGGCGUGGCCUCUCAGUUACAGUCCGUCCUCCGCAAGCGCCAUAAGCCCUUAAUUAUGGGUUCACUCGUCACUCACUUGGCCGUCCGUUUGGGGAUGCUUGACCUGGAUAAAGACCCUAAGCUCAGCCUGGCUCGUGAGAUUGAGCCUUUGGACCUGCACAGUUUGGAGCUGAUGGGCGUUAUUCGCAAGGUAGGUGAUGCCUAUCAGAUAACGCCUCCGGGAGAUGGUGUGCCCCAACCUUAGGUCCCUCCCACUGCGCCAACCUCAGCGGCUGAUCAGGCGGGUCCUUCCUUUUCCACGGCUCCAUCUUCUUGGGACACCCAAUUCCGUACUCUGCAAGACUCGAUUCAUGAGUUGGGCCGUCGAGUUGAGCGUAUGGAUGACCAUCUCGCAGCCUUGCAAGUCCAUUCUACUAUUUAGACAGAAAAUCUAGCAGCCUUCUUUGCCCACAUUGGCUUUUAGCCGCCCCAUCCUACUCCCUCAUAGUGCUUUCGUGCACUCGUUUGGCCUUCAGGGAAGCUUCAAUUCUUUUCUUUUUGAUUUCUAUUUUUCUUUGUUUCAUUGAGGACAAUGUAGAUUUCUGGUGUAGGGGGGGAGUGGUUCUAGCUCUUUAGGUUUGAUAGAAAAAAAAUUCAAAAAAAAUAAAAUUCAAAAAUAUAUAUGAUGAGUUCGUUUGGCUACAGUUGAAAAUUGCUAGAAUUUGAUGCUAUGAUCAUAAUUACAAUUACUCUACGAGCAUGAGCAGUAAUAUUAUGUGGUUAAAUGUCUUCUUAAUAAUGGAAUUGAAUGAUAAAAUUUGCAAGACUUGGCAAUUAAUAUCCUGUUAUGAGCUAUCGAGCCAAUGAGCGUUGCAUUGAUAACUGCUUUAUGUUCUUUCAUUGAGUGAUGUCACACAUGAUUUGAUUGUUCUAAAACUUGCUCUGUUAUGCAUAUCAAGACCACAUUCUUGAAUUUGAUACAUUAAACUGAUAAGGGCAUCUAGAUUAACCAUUUUUGGCUCUCUAAAGAUUGACCCUAAUCAGAUCUCCCCUAGUUGACCAUGGUUGAGUCUAGACCUUUUCCUUGUUUAAUAGUCCAUUUUGUCACCCUUAACUCCAUUGUGUUUGAACCCCUUUUAUUUUUACCCCAUGUCAAAGGAAUGCCUUGAUUUCAGUACAUGAUAAUUUCGAAUUAUGUUGAAAGGGGAUGAUUGAAAUUAGCGAGUGUGCCUACAGGCCCAUGUAGUUGUGCGUAGUUGAAAGAAAAAAAAAAAAGAAAAAAAAAAAAAAAGAAAAGGGGAGAAAGAAAAGAAAGGAGUACACCAAAAAAAGCAAAAGAAAAAGAAAAAAAUAAGGAAGAAAACAAAGAAAAAAAUGAGAAAAAAGAGUUACGAAGUGCUAUUGUCAAUAUGUGUGAUGUUGAGAUAGUGGGGUGAAGCCCUGGGUUGUGCUUGCACUUGCUAAUUUUUGGAAAAAUUUAUGGGUAUUCUUUGGAAAGAUCAUUCGAAUAAAGAAGCAAAUUGGAAUUCAUGCAGCGGGUCAAUGGUAUUUCCUUUGACACAAUGAGUUUAAAUUACUUAUUUGAUCCAACCCGUGCCUGAGCCCUAUUACAACCUGCAUCAAGAUCCUUUGAUUUUUGCAUUAAAUUUAAUUCUAGUGGUGGCGAUGCAAUAUAUUAGCAAGCAUAUGGUAACAUCAUUUUAUUGUGUGAGGAGAGUGACCCUAUGUGUUUCUUGUCGGAGUAAAGAGUAGUCAUAUGCCAUUCUUCGAGAGAGAGUUAAGUCGUGAAAUUUCUGAAUUUGAUGACAUGGUUAGGAGGAUAGGACAUUUGUGCUCACAGGAUGGACUGCUACAUGUGUGUAGCUGUAAUUGUAUCUCUGAACUUUGAGAUACUUGAGAACAAGCAUUAUCUUAGUGUGGGCGGAUUUGAUAGUGAGACAAUUGUGCUUUUUAGUUGAUGGUAUUUUGUCUUGAUUUUGGCCACCUAUUGGGCAGAGUAAUGGUUUCUGUUCAUAAUUGGUAUGUGUGUCAGUUGCAGGCACUUAGUGUCAACAAGUGGUGAAAAGAGGCGAAUUUCUAGAAGACUAUUCAUUCUAGAGCGUGCCCACGCCAGAGACCGCAGAGUGACGUGCGAAAAGACGGAUCGCGGUACUUAUCCCUGGAAGCUUGCCACUAUUUUUAGGGAGAUGUGUUUGACGUUGCUUUGGAUUAGGAGACAUCUUCAGAAAAUAUUUUGGCAACAAAUCAAGGAGAGAAAUAGGAAAAGAUAUCCCUUAUAGAUACAAAGACUGGAUUGGAUAAAAGAGGGCGGCGGAAAAACUUUAAAAAUAGGAGAGCAACUAACUAGCAGUUUAUCUUUUGUCUUUGUCUUUUCCUUCGAAACGUGAGGUGGAGACUAGCGUCUAUACCUUUUACUUUUUCAUCAACUAAAUUCGAUUCAAGUUUUCUAUUGCAUCAUCGUUAUGAGGCAAGGCUAGCUUCCUUUAUCUAGUUGAGGAAUAAUAAAGGCUCGGUGCACGGACAAUUGUGAGAUCUUUUUAAUUGUUCUGCGCUAUUUUAAAUUCUGCGUUCAUGGGUAUUUAACUAUUCUUUGUUUCAAUAGGCUAUUAUUGUUUGGAUUUAUUAGAUUAAUGUGGCCAGUUGUUCAAUUGUCUGAAUAGUAUACAGCCAAUCAGGACGAUGGUGCAUAUCACUUGAUUGUCUUUAAAAUUAGUGGCAAACGGCGCACAAUUUCAGUGCCUCGCAAAUAGUCUAAUCUGUGUCAUAGGCAAUAGUUAAUCUAGUUUAGGUGAACCCGCAUGUGUGUUUGUCAACUAGAAUUAGGUCUCUCUAAUUUCUAAAGUUGGAAAUAGAUUAAAUCUUAUGAGCGUCUUUGAGGUUAUCUAUUUUACAAGAGAGUAGUUUAAGAGCGUCUCUGAACUAUCAUAUAAUUAAGGAGAGAUUGGUGGUUUGGCGGUUGUCAAAUUGCUUUAACCAAUUUAUUUGGGAACGUGUGAAUUAAUUCAGGUAUCUAUGAUCAAUUGCGUGAGCCGUUGCCGAAAGUAUUUUCUUGACUAGGGUGUGUCAAUUAAUUGUUUAUUAUAUUUUUUAGCUACUGCAUUUUUUGCGAAUUGGAAAUUCAGUACCCUUACAUCUUUAAUUUGUUCUUUAAAUCUCCCUUCCUAAAACCCCCCAAAUUAUCUGUGUAAUAAAUCCGCCAAUUUGCUAAGGAGACGACCCUACUCACCACUAUACUCAUUUAGUUUUGGGAGUAAGUAUUGAUAUAAAUUUUAUUUUUGGUAGUUUAACAGUCACCACAUGGUAAUAUUGUCCAGUCCACAGUUCUCAGUGUAGAUUCCCAGCUUAGUGUUGAAGUUGCGAUUCUUGUAGUCCGGAUUUUCCUUGAAAAACUCAGCAAAAUUUGCGAUAGAAGAGCGGUUGGUUAUCCAGAAAAUUGUACAGUAUUAGAUAAGACAAGGAAGCUUGAAUUGAAUUAUGAGAAUUAUCGCCUGGCAAUGAACAAUGACCUCGCUAAAAAGUGCAUCCGAGCGGAAACGUGUCACCUGAGAAGUAAUAAAUCGACAUGGUCCAGAAAUCAAUGUCCAAAGUCCAAACUAAAAUCAAAUGAAUAGGGAUCAGACAUUAGGCGUCACUCGUCGGACUUACCUACAACACACCAUUGAGGCUCACCAUUGAACGAUGUCCCCAUACAGUAUCAGAUUUCCAGCUCUUAGCAUCAUGCUACACACCUUUAAGUGCAUUGAAUCACAACAAAUGUAGCGCAUUACGUGAGAACUCAUUGUUUGGAUUCAACCAAGAAAAUCCUGUCAAAGUGCUUGCCAACUUGUGCUUUUACGCAUCCACCUGGUUAUGUAACCAUCUUGUUUUAAUUCUUUUUAAUGGACACACUCUGGAUUUAGUCAUUUUAGAAAUUGAUGGAGUGAUGUAAUAAAUAUUUGGCUAUCAACCUUCUGGAUCUGUUCGAUGGUAGAAAAUGAUUAUAUGACAUGGCAGUUGAGAUUGUGUGUAAUUACACAUAGUCGGCCACGUCAUAGAGUAACACAUGUACACACAUCUCAACUACCACAUCAUAGAGCAACACAUAUAACUAAACGUGUCAUGUUGAUUUCCUACCUUAAGAUUGACAGCUAAAUAUUUAUUACUACACCACUUCCAUCAAUUUCUAAAAUAGCUAAAAUCCAAAGCCUGAUCGUUAAUAUUUUCUUUGUAACGUACGUCCGUAACUCUUCAGACUAGCAAGAAAUCUUGGCACCAAAACAAGAAAGGUCAGUGGAAGGUGGAGUAGCUCAAGUCUGAACACAUCCUCCACCCUCUAUCCAUCUAACCAUGCAUCCAUUAAAAGCUUCUUUUGCUGAUCUAAAUUCUAAGCAGAGCAGUCCAAAAAACUCACCAAGGGCUUGGCAUCUUCCCAUAAAACCCAGAAAAAAGAAUCAAAGAUAAGAUGUCUGGUUAUAUAUACAAAUUUGUAACAAGCUAAAGCAUCCAACCUAUUCACACACACAGAAGAGAUAGUGAACCGUUAACACUCGUGUAGUCAUGUUCUUUAAAGCUUGGCAAAUUCAAUUGCACCACGAAACUCCUAUUACACAUGUUAGAGAGAUGACGAAAACAAAGUGCAUGGCAUAACAACUCACACAGAAAUGGGAAAAGGGAAAAAAAUAAUAAAACAAAAGAUUGAAAACAAUGCUAAUGGAUGUGAUGCACCGUGCAGUAUCAAGAUUGAGAUCCUCUACUGUUGCAGAGGAAACCGCAAAGAGUAUGGGUGGCUGGAGAUCGGACCGGAGUAGCUGGGCUCGACUUGAAAAUCACUCCGGCCGACUCGAUCUCAACUGUACAUCGAGUUGGGCAGUUCUGAUCUGAUCUCCAGUCAGCCACGGAUUUAAGGGGGGGCUGGUGGGGGCUUAAGCCCCCCCCCCAAGCCGCCGGAAAACCCCCUAUAUAUAGCCUGGGUCCAUCACCAAGGCAAUGAUGUUUGCCCCAUACCUGGCACUACCAAGAUUGAGAACCUCGAUCAGAAUAUAGGAGCUUUGUCUGUAAAACUGUCCGCAGAGGAAAUGGCAGAACUCGAAUCUAUUACUUCGGCUGGAGUCAAGGGUGAGAGAUACGGGCCUGAAAUCAGCACUUGGCAAAGUUCUGAAACUCCACCUUUGUCAACCUGGAAGGGCAUAUGACGAGCAAGUUUGGUUUGAUAUUUCGUGGACUUUUGUUCAGCUUUAGCUUGGAAGAGCACAUGAGUGCAAGUUUGGUUCUAUAUAUAUUUCGUGAACUUUUUUUUUGGUUUAGCUGUUUAACGUCUUGUGGAGUAAUCACAGGGUACAACAUGUGCAGUAUUUGAGUUUUGCAGUAAUCACCAGGUUCCCGGGCUCUGGACAUAAUAUAAUCGAGGGCUCAAGGGCUGGCCCAAAUAAUUUUACUAUAAAGGUGAUGCAGUUGUAUCUUGAACCAAUUGUUCAAUUUGUGGUUAGCAUGUUAAUUUCCUAUUUUCUACUUUAAUGACGACACUUGCUAUUUGAACUUACAUGGGAUAAAUCUAUUACUAUAUAAAAAGCAUGAUGAGUCUUUAGUGUCCUCGAUUCUAUAAAAGAACGUAAAUUUCAAUUUACUUUUAAUAAAAAAGGAUGAAAUUUCAAUGUAUGCUAACAUAACUUUUAUCUUUUUUUAAUUGAAAAUAGUUAUAUUUAUAUUGAUAAUUAUAUUUUUAUUUUUGCACAAGUGACAUAUUGGAGCAUCUUCUCAUAAUGUGCAACUUAGGUGGUUUGUGAUGUUAUAAGAUAUUUAAUCAAAGGUUAUUUUUUGUCUUAAUUUUAGUUAUGACUAUGUUACAUAUUUAUAAAAUAGACAUACCUUUAUAAUUAAAGUUAAUAUUUGAUAUUUUAAGAUAUCAUAUAUUUAAAUAAAAUAAAAAUUAUUUUGAAUAUAACAUAUUAAGGUAAUUUUGUUUGAAAAAAUUUUGGCCCCCCCAAGGAAAAAAUCCUGGCUCCGCCACUGUCUCCAGUCAUUCACUACGUGGUGAAGUUUCUCUAUAACUAGAGAGAAACUUGAUCUGUAGUAUCAUUAGUAUGGUAAUUACGAGAAAAAUCAGAGAAAUAAAAUACUUAAGUAUGAAAAUUAUAUUAAUACGACGUUUCUACAUGUAUUUUAAUCUUGAUAAUAAGUAAAAGCUUCGUAGAUCAUUUAAUAUUUGCUUUUCUGAUGCGAAUUUUAAGAUUUAUUGGUUUAUUAAUAAAGUUAGUUUACACUGGCUACAGUAAAAGAUGUAGACAAAUGAAUUUCACUCAUAAAUUUAGUUUACUUAAGUUAAUUGAUUAACUUAUCUUGUAAUGCAUGAUAAGCCUUUUAUGUCUUACAAAGAAAUACUAUUUGUGACAUUUCCUAACCUAUACUUUAUGCGAAAUUGGAUAUAAUUGAAAAAGUAAAAGCAGUGUUUGUUAAAAAAAAAAAAAUGUAGAGUUUUUCACAUAAUAAAAGUCUAGCAAAAGGAGACCAAGCACUCAAAACUUCUCUUUCAAGUGAAUUCGGUAGAACUUUUUUAAUAGUUUGCUAAAAAAAAUUGUGAACAUAUAUUUACCAAACAAUGUCUCAACCAUUGCAUAUUGCACGAAGGCAAUAUUUUUUUUUCCAUCAAAAUUCUAUUCUUGUUAUAUUUAUAAGGGAUUGGACUUGAUCGAUGGCAAAUGCAACGUUUCUUGACUUAUAUUCGGUAAAUAAACACAAAAAAAAAGGAAGAAGAAGACAUGGCUAUAUGUUCACUAGAUGAGUUAGUAAGACUGAUUUUUGUCCCUCCAAAGAGUUGUAAAAAAAAGGAAGAGAAACAACUACGAAAAGUUGGUUUACUUCCUAAUUCCUAAUUAACAUUAGAGAACCAAGGUUAAAUCACUUCACCAAAAUUAGAGAUAUCAAGCAUAAACACAAAAUAAUAACUUCACCCAAAAAAAAACACAAAAUUAGAGAUAUCAAGCAUGCAUAAACACCAUGCAAAUAGAGAUCGCAUUUGAAAAAUAUAUAAAAGUUUGCCAAAACAUUUUCGUAACUGAAAGAUGAGUUGGAAUACCAAAACAAAGUAAUCAAUUGAUUCUAGAUUAUUUUCUCAAAAAGAGAAAAAGAACUAUAAAUCAAAAUAAACAGAUAAUCAAUAUUACACCUUAAAAGUAAAUUGCCAAAUAAGAAUAUACCUAACUUGAUCGGAGAAGAAUGAAGGCAUUAUCCCCCUUCCAUUUGAUCCUAGUUGAACAAGUUAAUUAGGAAAACCUGUGCUGCUCUUUUAGGUGAUAAAGAAUGAAAAUCUGCUGAGUUGCAGUAAUAAUCAAAAUAAGUUGUUGGUUUUUAUAGUGAUUGCAAGCCAAUUAAAUUGCUCCACGUCAAAAUGUGUUACGAGAAAAUUUUAUGUAUGUGACGUAAUAUAAUUUUUAUUAUUACGUGUUAUACAGCUAAGAGCAAAUUCUCAGUAAAUGAUGUUAUAUAAUGUUUAGUAUUAGAGGAAGAAGUCAGAUAAACCAAAAUCAAAUUAUCUACUGUCAAUGGUUUGCAUAUGGAAUACUUUAUAUAAAAGGAUAUUUCUUGAUCAAAUUAUGGGAGUAAUCUUGCUAGGAAAGUAGUUCUCAAAAUUCAAUAUAUGCCACCUUAUAGCUCACAUUUCAAGUAAUAAAUUUUUAAUUCUUUAAUUAAGAUAAUUAGCUUUUUUCUUGCCAAAAAAUCAAACAAUGAGAAAAAAAACUCCCUUACCUUAUCCUCUCUUUUUUUUCAUCACUUCAUGUUCUCAACCAAAAAAAAAAAAAAAAAAGGUAACCUAGGCUCAAAAACACAAUUUUGAAAAAUGUCAACAUUUUACAGUCAAGUACCAAUAAACAACUAUUAGGGUUGUAAAUUUCUAGUCACAACCAAUUCAUGAAAAAUAAAAAGAGGGCGGGAAAACCUCUAUGAAUAUUCGGAAGAAAUAGAAAAACUUAAAACUGGCCCAUUGGGUUUAGAUUAUGGGCUUGUUCAACAUGCCCCAUAUAAUGUUCUCGUCGUUUGAGAACUUGGCUGCAAAUAUUUGGCCAUAGAGAAAAAUUUUAUCAAGGUUUGAACUGAAUUUUUUUUUUGACAAGCUUAGUUUUUGGUCUUUGACUAAUAAAACAUUGUCAAUUCGAUAAAUAGGAACCCCACAAUCUUAUUUGAAUUCUAUUUAAUGUAGUGCCAGCAAACUCGAUAACCUUAUUUGGAGCAUUUUCCUUGGUCAAAAAUCAAUUACUAAGCCUGCCAAGUAGUAAAUUUAGACCAUAAUAAAAAAAAUUUCAUCUUCAUUGGCAGUCUCCAUUUCCUAUUUAUAAAGAAUGUCGUAAAAACAACAAAAAAACACGAAAUGAUACUAAUUACGCGUAGCGACCGAAUAAAACAUGCGAUUUUUUUCCUCCUAUCUUUGCCGAUUUUUUUUCCUCCUCCCUCAGCCCAACCCUUUUCUCUGUCUAGGCUUUUUUACCUUCAACGGUUAAACAUAAGAUUUGAACUCUGAAUCUAACAGCGACAAAAACUCUAACAGGCAUCCCUUGACCACUAACUUGUUUCCUUCUACUUGUUAACGUGAUUACAAAGCCUUGAUUUUCGUCCUCCCUCAUUUUCUUCCACAAGUAUCUAGUUUGCAAGAAGAUUAUAUCAAAAUAACCCAAAAAAUGAUAAUCAAACUACAGAACUGGCUCCACCUUGCAAACAUACAUUUAACCAAAUGAAAAGUCAAGCUCCACAAAAAAUGAUUAUCAAUAUCUAACUGUUUUAAACUCUAAAAUUGCUGAACUACAAUUCUGCUGCUGCCAGUCCAAUAACACUUAAAAUUUCUUGUAAAAGCUUUCUUCAGCAAAAAUAACGUGAGAAAGGACUCAACAGUAUCAAUCUAUCGUCGUCAGCCAAAAUGUUUCCAACUUGCAUGCUUCUUCCUAUGUGUUGGAUUUGAAUCUUCUUUUUAAGCAUUUGAAGCUUUUGAAAAAUAAAGAUUGGGACCUUCCUAUGUUUCAUAACGAUCGCCUAGAUAAAACAGCCCUUCAACUCUCGAUCAUUUUGUUCAGAUCUCAUGUGUAAUCAUCACAUUCUGUACAACCUGCUGGUCCUUCAAGGUCUCUUGAAACAACUAAUUCUGAGUAUAUGGUACAAGCAAUAAAGCAAAGUUCCAAAAUAACAACCUUCUCUGAAACACCUGAUCACUCAAAAGCGUUGAUGAAUCUACUGAACUCUCACCAUCACAAUUCCUCAUCAAAUCUACAAAAUUCAUGGUAUACAGCAAUUUUCAGUAUCCCUUUGUCACAUUACACCAGAACAUUAUGAAGUUUGCUCCCUAACUCAGCUUUCCAUUUGACCGCACUCAGUGAAGUAUCGCUACUAAAAAUUGGGAAUGAUGCUCCACAUGUCUAGUACGUCUGAAAGACUUUCAGAUCUUCUCUUGGCAAAAUAAAAGCAUGUUCAACAUCAUUAGGAUCACAAAAUUCUGACUUCGAUUGAGCAAUCGAUGAACACUAAUAACUGAGCCUCUAAGACUAUAAGCAGCAAAUUCAUGUACUAAGCAACGAUACUGUAUACUGAUGAAGAUUUAUUGUGUGUUAACAGAGGAAAACACAUGAACGGUCUAUAUCAUGCAUAAAUGCCAUACUAAUCUUUAUUUAAACAGAAAUUUGUACAUAGACAAUACUAUCGUUUCAAUCUUGUAAAAUAUGUUUUACUUGGUUAAAAAAAUAGAAUUCAACAUUAGGUUUAGAAAGAGCAGAUAGCAUAAUGUUACUGCAUUUUAGUUCUGCCUUGGGGAAAUAGUCCAAAAUCUAGUCACCAAAUAGAUGCUUUAUGAGCAAGUACUCUUCGUUAUAUACAAUCCCAAAUGCUCUUAUAGUGUCUCCUCGUUUUUAUCUCUUUACUUUACACCUUGGAGAGAUGAAACACAGAAAUCAUCUGAUCUAAUGUUUGGCUUCUUGUAAGCUUGGUAAAAGGGUUAACAGGGUACAAAAGAUAUGCUAUAAGUAAGGUGACAUGUGACUAGGAAAACCAACAAAAGAUUGAAAAUAUGAGCUAAAGUUUCAAUAUCGCAGACAACUAUUGCUCCUCAUGGCAUUGCUACAUUCUAUAUUUCUUUAAUGAGGAUAUAUCUAAUACAUUUAUCUAUUAAUAUAGGGCAUAAUAACCAAUAACAGCAAUCUGACAUACGUUAUGGGAAGCAUAAAGAGUUAAAGUAGUAUAAGCGAGAGUUCAUGGAGUUUCACAUAUUGUCUAUGAUUAACAGCUAAGAUUGACAAUAUAAAGAUGAACUUCAUGGCUUCAUUGAAUUAAAUACUUGAUGACUCAAAACUACUGAUGGUUCAUAGAAUGUACUUACCAUAAAGCUCGUAUAGGAAGAGGCACUGAGCACAAGAGCUAAGAAUUUUACAAGUAAAAACUGCUUCAACAUCUAUUUCUCCAAAUGUCAAACAUUUCAUCUCAUCUAUUUCUUUGAACAUCAAUGCUGCACAAUUUUACUCCAUAAAAUAAGAACAAUCUCACAGUUUUUUGAAUGCCUUGAGAACUUCAUUAUCUUCUUGCGAGCAGAUAAGGGCCAUUGCUUUUGCAUUUUUGUUCUUGAACUGUGUAUAAACAUCUUUUUUAACAGAGGUCCAUGCUUCAGAAGAUGUCUUACUGUCUCAACUCAUCUUAAUACCCACAGAAAUUUUUUAUCUCAACUUCCCUAAGAUGUUGAUUUAAACACAGUGGUUUGUCUUCAGCACCAGAAUGGAGGGCUUCAUCAACAGGUAUUCUGCCUUUACCCUGAUUUAAAAAAUAUAGAAAACCCAAAAAAUGAAACUUGAUGACCAGUUCUUGUGGUUGUCUCUCAUCAGUCGAAAAAAUGAAAAAGGACAAAAUCAUUAUCACUUUUCCUUUCUAAGAAUCUUAGUUAAUCCUGACUCACCAUGUCAAAAACUAGCAUUUUCAAAUAGUAGAAUCACUACUAAAUUUCUAGUGCUAGCCCCGGUUGCUGUAAACUCCAAAUGCAUCAAACUUAGAAAUUCAGGAAGCAACACGAUCUGCGAAGGGGGAAAACUUCACAUGAUAGAAAAAGCAAGAGUCAUUCCAGUUUUUAGAAAAUAUAUGUAGAAAAAAAACAUGAAAUCCUGAAAAUUCCAGUGAACCUAACACACCCAGAAGUCGAAGAACAUACCAGUCCAUGUUCCCAAUAUACACGAAGAGACUUUACAUUGCACAUUUCAGCAAUGAACUGACAAAACUCUGGAGCCUAAAGCUCAUAAGUUUGCUUCAUAUAUAUGAAAGAUAGAUUAGCUUUUAGCAAGGACCUGAGCAUGCAAUUUGAGCCGAUUAAUGGAGUUGCACAACAUGUAUACUUCAGACACUUAAGAUGGGGGUAUUAAGAACAACCUAUCCAGAACCAGAUUCGAAGUCCACACCAACAUUUUCAGGCAAGGACUGUUGAUAUUAAUUGAUCCAACAUCACAAAAUUCUACGCCAUAAAUCUGCAAUUCAUCAAGCAAUGUCAAGAUUGAUGCAAAUGCCCAAUCUGUAUUAUCUCCUAGUACUGUCAAAUGUUCCAAAUUAAGAUUCGGUAAGCAAAACAAUUUUGGACCCUUCAGACCAACAUUUCCACUUAAUUUCAAAACUACAAGAGUUUUACCAGUAAAGAUUUCAGAUGGAAAGACGACGUUCUCAAAAAGAUUGAUAUAACCAUCAACCCUGAUGUUCAAGAACCCGAACAUUGCGCGAAAGCACUGAAGAUAUGCACAAGCCAAGCACAAAAAUUUGGCAUAAAGCUGGCUUUAGACAUCCGAAUCUAAGAUGGAACUCUCUUACAACAGAAGUUGAUUCGCGGUUCAUAAGUAGUCUAUUAAUAAAGCCUAUAAACCUCUUUACUGAUUCCACUAUCUUCUCAUAAUUGACAUUGUUAUUGUCUUUUCCUCAUUGUGGAGGAUAUAUAAGCAUAGAACCAUCAAGUCAAUUUCGGGAACAUGAAAGAAAAUGUACCUCCAUCUGGUGGACAAAAUGGAUGUGGGGCUACUAAUUUUGUGGGAAGAAAUGAGAGAAUGUGACAGAGGAUGCCAUCCGGCAGGGCACUGAUACAAUCUUCUUGACAAUCAUCAUCCGGGCUUGAAGGGGAAAGCUUGGCCUUCUUGACUGUGUUUUCAUGGCUGCUUUUUCAGGUGUGUUCUGAUCAUUUAGAGGAAAGGAGCUAGCUAUAAAGCAUUUGGGGUUUGAUCAUCAGUUGGGCUUACUACUAGGAGGUUGCAGAUGAUCUACCAUGGAAGCAAAUGCCACUUUUACCAUGUCCAAAAGCAUUUUCCUUUUUAGAAAACCAAGCCAUUGUCCAUUGUCCAUUAUUCUUAUAUUCCAGAACAUAAAAUACUAAUUUGUUUGUUUACUUUUUUGGUAGGAACGCUUGGAAUGCUUCCAUUUACGGUCUAAUGCAGAAUUUUGGUAGAAGAAUAAAUAGCCUGUUUUGGAGAAAAGAAAGGUAACAAAAUCUCUCUAUUGACCGUUUACACUAGGUGAAGCUUCAGUGACGUUCGAGGAGAGAAUUUUUUAACAUUAGUUGGAAUCAUUUUUCAAGGAUGACAAAAUGACAAAAUAAAUUCAUAGGUGCUGGAUUAUUUUUAGGGAAAGUUUCAGAAACCUCCCUUGAGGUUUUAACAAUUUCAUUUAGCUUCCUCAAAGUUUUAAAAAUUACACAUACUUCUCUUAUCAUUUAAAAUGAUAAUAAUACCUUUAAAUAUUUUAAUGGAAUUCGCUUGUUUGGUAUGCUUAAACGUAGAAUGACUUUUUAAACUUAUUUUUCAUUCUUUUUCCUUCUUAUUCCUUUUUUCAAAAAAUUUUUUUGCCAAUAAAACUAUAGAGCUAGCACUAUUAUCUCUAGUUUUUAUUGUAACAAAAUCUCGAACUAGUGAUUUUUUUAUGAGUUAACUUAUAUGUAAUCCAAUGCUUUUGCUAAUCUUUGUUUUCUAUUUUUUGGUAUUAAAGUUAACAAUAAAUCAAAAAGAAUUAUAUAAUUCCCAAAACCAAAAUAAACCCAAAACCGCAGCUAAAUUAUGAUAAUCCCACUACUCGAAAAAUUAAUAAACUCUAAAUGAAUUAUUUCAACAUUUUCUUUUCUAUCUUAUAAAUAUAAAUUUAAUAAAAUACUAUCAAAAGUAUCAUAUCAUAGUGAUAAAAUUAUUAUUAUAGUUGUUUAUCAAAUAAUAGGCAUGGACAUGAAAAAUUUGGCAUUUUUCCUUAUAAUUACUAGAUAAUCUUAUAAUUGUACAGGAAAUAAAUUAAAACUCAUUACACAAGAGCAUUUUUGGGUAUUCAUUCAAAAAUUUGACCAAAUCAAUAUUAUUUUAAGGUUUUGUUGCGAAAACUAUCAAAUCAAGGGAGGUAGGUGUAAUUUUCCAAUUUAAGGGGAGCUCAGUGAAAUUGUCAGAAACCUCGAGGGAGGUUUCUUAAAUUAUCCCUUGUUUUUAUCAAAUAGAGAGACUUAUUCACACUUAGAAAAUUCCCACCAGACAAUUCACACCAGAUUUGAGCCUCAAAUUUCUUCUUCAGGGAGGCAUUUAUGACAAUAUUUAGAUUAUUUAUUUGAAUGGAUACCAGUAUUAAAACAAAUGUUGUAGAAUACCUUAAACAAUCAUUCAUAUUUUAUCUCAAAAAGGUAAAAUGUAAUCAAAGAAAGUACGUAUUGCACAAGUUUCCUAUACUAGUUUUCUGUUGUUAUAUUACUAGUCGUUGAGAACAAGCCCAUAAUACUUGGCUACCAUAUGAUAUGGCUUCUGCCCCUCUCAAUGGGAGAGAAAAUUUCCCAUGCUUUUACUCUCUAGUCGUCAAACCCAAAAUUCUAGACUACUACUCUAUGGAAUAGUUUCUUUGCCCUUUCAGUGGAGAGAAAAUUUGCUAUCCUUCUACAAUCGUUGUGUUUUUUUUUUCCCUUUAAGCAACUGUCUACAUUUAUUGUGUUUUUAAUGUCUACACUGUCGUUUUAAUGCUACAUUCAUUCUUAUAGCGGCUUAAUUGAAGAAAAUACUUGAGAUAUCUCAUGUCAGAUUAAAAGACCUGAUACUUCAUAGAAAGGACUCAAAGCAAGGCAUCUAGAGGAAGAAACAUUCGCCACAGUAGACAAACAAUUCUACAAUGAAAGCUGCUUCAACAUCUAUUCAUCAAACCCCUUUGAAUAUCUAUAGUGCACUAUUUACUCCACAAGCUAAAUGAGCACAAUCUCACAAUUUCUUGAGCAUCUUGACAACUCCAUUAACUUCUUGCGGGUUGAUGAGGACCAUUUAGUUGGGGAAGUUCUUGAAUGAUAUAGUCAUCUUCUGUAACCCGCCCCAUGCUUCAAGAAGUAGCUUACUAUCUCAAAGCCAGUUGGUGAGAUUCCACGAAUUCCAUUAUUCACUUCCCUCAGAUGCUGACUCAAACAAUGAGGUUUCUCUUAGCACCACAGUGGAGGUGUAUACCAGAGGCCAUAUCAAAUUGACGCUGAUUUAAAAGAAAAAAGGAGAGAAUGCUUGAAAAUUAGUUUGCUUGGUUUAGUUUAUCAGUCUAAAAUACAAAAUGCCAAAACCAACAUUGAUUUUUCCUUAAUUCAGAUCCUAACUCACCAUUAAUUCAAAAACUAGCAUCUCCAAAUUUGGUGCACUCCACAGUAGAAUCUCCAAGAAUUCCAACUUCCAAUCCAAGUCCAUUAAGCACCAAAUGCGUCAAAUUUAGAAAUUCAGGCAACAAAUGAUCUUCCCUGAGGAGAGACUUUUCACAUCACAGAAAAAGCAAAAGUCAUUCCAACGUCUUACUAUAUAGGAUAUGAAAUCCUGAACAAGCCCGGUGACAUAAAAGACAUGCAAUAAGUCAAAGAAACUACCUCCAAAGAGCACCCUCUUAGAUCAAGAUGUUUUACAUUGCAAAGUUGACCAAAAAGUUGGCAAAGCUCGUGAGCCAAGUGCUCGGGUAAUGCAUCCGGAUAUUCACAACGCAGAUCAGCUUUCGUUAAAAACUUGAACUUGCAAUUUGAGCUGAGUAUGCUUUCAUAAAAUCUGUACUCCAAACACUCGAGCUUUGGGGUGUUAAGAACAACCUUGUCCUUUUCGAUGCCCACACCAACUUUGUCAGCGAAGGGAGGUUGAUAUCAACUAAGCCAACAUCACAAAAAAUUACCAGAUCAAUCCUUAAAUCAUCAAGCAAUGGGCAAUUCCAUUUGAGCGUCGAACCUGUACUAUCUCCUAGCAGUGUCAGAGUGUCCAAAUGCAAGACUCUAAGAUUCGGCAAGCAAAGCAAUUUUGGAACCUUCAGGCUAACAUUUCCGUCUAAUUUCAAGACUACAAGGUCUCGCAAGUUAAAAUUUCAGAUGGAAAGACUUCAGGUCCCCAAAACUCACCACCAUAAAAUUUGACCCGCACGUCAAUAACUUGAACAUUGCGCGAAAGCACAGAAGAUAACCAUGAACGAACCACAAUAGUUUGGUCAGUCAGGCAUCCACACCCACAGCUAAAAUGAAACUCACUUAGAGGCGACUCACGAUGCAUAACUAGUCUGUCAACAAAGUCUAUGAAUUUCUCCUCUAACUCCCCCAUCACAUCAUGAUAGCAAUCAUCAGAUUCAUCGCCUCUAACCUUCUAGUAUUAACAAGCUCAUAAUCAUCAAGGUCAAUAUUGGGAAGAUCCAAGAAAAUGUACCUCCAUCUAGUGGAUAAAAUGGAAGUGGAGGCUGCCUCUUUGGUCCGAAGAAAUGAGAGAAUGUUGAAGAGUAUGUGGUCUGGCAAGGCACUGAAUCGAUCUUCUUGACAAUUAUCAUCUGCGCUUGCUGGGGAAAGAUUGGCCUUCAUGGGCUCCGUUCUCACGGCUGAUUUUUCGGAUGGGUUUUGAUCAUUUGGGGAAAGAAGCUAGCUUUCAAGCAUUUGGGGUUUCGUUCUGCCAUGGCGCUGGAGUGAUGGACUUACUUGUAGUUUUUCAGAAGAUCCGCCAUGGAAGCAGGGCAGGGGUUCUGGGAUUUUGCAAGGGAGAGAGGGUGACUUUGGCCACUGGCUACUGUACUUUAGCUGCCAAGUGACGAAAGCAAAACAAUAGGAAUCACUGUGGUGCAAAGCUGAGUCAUCCAUGCAAUCAUUUUUGGCGACUGGCUAUGUACUUUAGCUGCCAAGUGACGAAAGCCAACAAAAGGGUGCAUCUAUGGUGCAGAGUUGAGUAGGGAGUAACUGAAACAAGUUAAAUCAAACAUUCUUCUUCGAACUUGUUUGAUUAUUUACAUUUAAAAUUUAAUUAUUUAUUUACUAAAUAGACAUUGAACGAGAUUUUUAUUAAAUAUUAUUGAUUAUAAAAUAAUUUUAAUUUAACUAAUUAUCAAAUUAAGUUCAAACGAACUCAAAUGCUAUUCAAUUUUGAUUGAAUCAAUUAAUGAAUUCAAUUCGAAUGAACUCUUGCUAAGUGAACUUGGUGUGAGUACGUAAAUACUUUAGUUCAUUCUCAUUUCUAGAGCUUAGUCAUUUGUGCAUAGGAAGAAAAUUAAUUGAAAGAGGACAACACGUCACUAUGGGCGCUGCACAUAGCCGGUGUUGUACAAGGGGCCCACAGUGUUUGAGCCAUUGUGGCCUAUACGAUUCGUGGGCGUUUUCCAAACACCUAAAAUUUAAUUCAAAAUUAGCUCUUGAAACCUUAUGUUUUCAGAUUCGGACCAGGUAUCGAUCGAUCGAGUUAGGAUCAGGGAUCAAUAGGUUCGAUCGGGGUUGAACUGAUAAUGUUAUAAAAAUUAUUUAAAAAUUAAAAUACAUAUAAAAUAUCUAAAAGUAUGUUAAUAUUAAUAAAGAUAUAUUCAUAUAUAUUUAAUGUUUCAAAUAUAUUUAACAAGAAAAUACAAAGAAAUUAGAAUGAUCAAGUAGCAAUUUAUAUUAUUUAAUGAACAUUAACAAGUUUAGAAUUAAAAUUAUGGAUUUGAUUGAAAAAUAACAUCAAAUUUUAGGACAACAUUUAUAAAGUAUGAAAUAUUUGAGAUAUAUUAAUAAGUUUUAACAAUUUAGAGGUCAAAACAUAAUAUUAAAAAGUUUGACCUUUUUUAAAAAAUUGCUCUGAUUGAACCGAUUUUUUCGUCAAACCCGGGUUUUGACCGGAUUUGACAGGAUUUUUAGUCUUCGAUUUUGAAGAACAACUCAGACCGAACAUUUGGCAGGUUCCCGAUUUGAUCGAUCGGACAGGCCGGUCCAAUCCGAGUUUAAAAACACAGUUGGAGGCCAAUUUUUUUUUUAAUAACCCAGAGACCAAAUUGGGAAUGAUGGGAUGACAAAGAACUUUUCAAAAAAUAUAAUUACUUGAGGGUACGUGGAUGUGAAAAUAAAUAGUUGAAUCGAAGUUGAAUAAACCAGGAGAUAAAUAACUAUUUAUAUGGAACUGAAAGUUGUAUAAAUUAUAAAAGGCAAUAAAUAAAUUAUUUUGUAAAAGCCACAUAUAUGACGACAAAUCAACAUUCUUAAGUUGUAAGGUGUACUUAACGACGGAGAUGGACUAGAGAAUUAUGAUGGCUUAAGUAUAAUUGUUAGUUGUCAUAAAUGUAAGUGACAAAGUGAUCUUCAAACCAAAAUCGAAAAUCAUAAAUGAGUAAUUAUAAAUAUAAUUGACAAAGUGACUUUCAAACCGAAAUUGAAACUGUGGGCGAGUAAUCACAAACACAAUUGACAAGUGAAUUUUAAACUCUAAUCGAUAUUGUAGAUGAGUAAUCAUAAGCAUAAUUGACAUAGUAAAUUUCACGUCCAUUAAUUUUUUUUAAAUGAGUGAUCCAUGUUCUAUGAGUCCUUAAACCAGUCGUGAGGUUAGUAGGUUAUUUUCUGAUUUUUUGAAAUUUUUUUACAAUUUCGUUGCACAACAUGUGAGAGCCAGUGAGCUUUUUGAGUAGGAAUUUAAAAAAAAAUUCAUCAUGUGCACAAAAUGUGCUUAAAUAUUGUAAUAUUGGAUAUCAAAUUUGUUUUCAUUCAAAGUUUAGAUAUCAAAAUUACUCAACGUCCAAGUUUGGAUACCAAAAUCACAUUAAAUGCAUUUUACUCUUUCAAAAAUUUUUCUAAUUUAACCACGUGAACACAAUCCCACUCAUUAACCAAACCUUUUAACGUAACUUACUAAUCUCCCCAUUAAUUGACACUUCUGUUGAUUGUUGGUGGGCGUCAUGUGGACCCACGUGUCCAUGACAACUGAAAUUUGAGAUAAACUAAUAAGUAAACCUCCUGUUUGGGGGUUCAGUCCCACAUCGGGUUGUUAGGGGGGUUGGGGUAGUAUAUUAGUCUCCCGAGGAACCACAAGAUUUGCCGGCUUUUGUGGUUUUCUCGGAGUUUCGGUUAGUUUAUUACCACAAAAGUCUUAACUUGCUUGGUAAAAAAAAAUAAAAAUAAAAAUAAGUAAACCUCCAAUCACCAGCUCUUGGGCUGGUGGCCACUAUCAAGCCCUUAAGGCUUUGGUGGAGUGGGAGGUAAGGGUUCAAAUAAUGCUACUCUUGUGGUUCUGCCACUCUGGUCCGGUGGUGAUUCUAUCUCUAUCGGGAUCCUGUAGGCUCAGUUGAGUCUUCCCAAAAUUAGAGUAGAAAUAGGGAUGACAAUUGACAAAAAUAAACAAGUAAACCUCCAUUUUAGGUGUCUCAUGCUUUUCGUUCACCUUGGCCCCAAAAACAUUAGACACAAACACAUGAUUUUAUCCGACAAAUAUCUACUAUUUUAGCCAUUUAACAACAUAGUAAUAUAUAUAAAGACCAUAUUUUUUUGCCAAAAAUAUACGGACUAUAUUCAAGCGAUCUAUUUCUGAUGGAUCCCAUUGCCCUCACUAUGACGGUCUUUGGCCAUUCAUACCAUUAUUGAGAUCCUCUCAAUUAUUGUUUUUCUCCAUUUAUCUAUCCAUUUUUUUAAAACAUUUAUGCAACUAAAAACUUUGCACAAUAAUCUGCUUGUGUGAAUAAUUUUAUUUCCAAGAGUAAAUCAACAUGCUUAAAAAUCAAACUCAUUUAUGAAUAUUAUAUUAUUCAAUUUACACAAAACAUUUUGAUGCUGCAAAAUGGGUCAAAAUUAUGAUAAAGGUUUUAAAGUUUGAUCCAGUGGUAAAAUUUAAUCAAUUUAGUUUCAAUUUUUGUAUAUACAUUAAACAAUUAAAAAAUAUAAUAUGGAUAGCUUUUUUAUUUUCAAAAUAGUAGUAUAAUUGUAUUUAUUUAGAUGCAAUGGAGAGAAAAUCCUUUCCAAUUAAUGGAGAAUAGCCUAACCCUGCUUCAAUGACAUGUACCACUGUCAAUAUCCAUGCUGGCUUCUACAAAACUUACCCCAAAUGCUAUUUUUAUUCAGUAUCUUGAUUUAUAGAUUUUUUUUUGGGAAGGAUUACUGUAAACUAGAGGUGUCAAAAUGGGUGACUUGGGCGGGUUUGGGUUGGAUAAAAUGGGUAAUGGGUAUAAGUGAGUCAACUCAUUUAUACCCAUUUAAUUAGAUGGGUAUAAAUGGGUAAAUCAAAAAAUGAAUUGGGUAACCCAAUUACCCAUUUAUAACUCAUUUAUUUUAACUUUUUGCAAACUCAUUUAAAUUCAUUUUUACAAACUAAGUUAUCAAUUUAUACCACUCUUUGUACCAUCAUUAGUUUUAAAUAUUUACUUAUAAUGUUCAAUAAACUUAAUUACCAAUUUUUUUCAUUUAUAUUCUAUGUCACAAAAUUACCUAUUAUUUAAUAAUUGAAUAAUACGAAUAUAAAAAUUUGAAUUAAGUACUAUAAAAAUUAAUAUAAAAAUUUAAUCCAAAAAUUUUGAACCCCUAACAUUUUUUUCAUAUAUAAAUUUAAAAUUUCAUUUUAUAAAGAUAAGAAAAUAGGCUAAAAUUUAUCAUAAAUUGGUAAUGCUAAAAAAUGAGCAAGUUAACAAACUAAGAAAAAAUAAAAUAAUAAGAUAAAACCAACAAAUAAUAAUAAUAAUAAUAAUAAUAAUAAUGUUAACAUAAUGACAAAAUGAAAAAUUUGAAAAAAAAAAAGGUAGGGAAAAGAAGAGACUUGAGGGAAGAGAAUUUUAAAUGGGUUAAUUGGGUUUGAUGGCGUUACCCAAUAAUACCCAUUUAAUAAAUGGUAAAUGGGUAUUAUUGGGUAACCCAUUUAUACCCAUAUACAAAAAUUUAAGAUACUCAUAUCCAUCUAUUCAUGGACGGGUAUGGAUAAAUCUAGUUAAUUGGGUUGAUUUGCCACCUCUGAUGUAAACAUUUUGGAUUUAGCUGUAGGUACAAUCAAGUCUAUACCCGCCUGGUGGCCAAUUGAUUAAUCUCUUUCUUUUCUCCUUUUCCCUUUUGUUUGGAUGCUUCUACUAUGAAAAAAGGUUUCUGUUGCUUAUGAUGGAUAGAACCAGUGGAAGUUUAAUAGCUCAGCGUGGAACCCACUUAGAUGAUUUGGGAGGUGAAUGAGCCGAGGUAACCGGCAUACGUCAAAAGCAUCCAUUUAAUAGGUUGUCAAAUAAACAAAUACGAUUGGCAUUGAUGCGACGUUAAAUUCGGAGAACUAAACUACAAAUCAAGAGUUUUUAGCUGUUUUUUAGGGUAUUUUGAAAAAUUUUACUAUAGCAAAAUUUUUAUAAUAUAUUUUGAAAUAUUUUUAGAAAAUAUUUUAAAAUAUUUAAGAGUAGAAGAGUUUUAGAAUAUAUUUUGAGAUAUUUUAUAAACAUAAAAAAAAUUUAGAUGAUUUUUUAAAAAUUUUAAAUAGUAUUUGAAAAACUAGUUUUUGAAAAACUCCAGCAAUCCAAAAUGGUGGGAUUUUGUCUAAGAUGAGAAAAUGGAAAAUGGGUUUGUUUGGAUUGCUUCAAAUUUUUCCAAUUUUAUUUGCUUACAUCAUUUUUACAAUUUCCAAUACACCUUUUUAUCUUCCCAAUAUCUUUUUAUCUCACAUACAUCACAUCACAAAAAGUGCUACAGUAAAAAUAUCUCAAAUAAUCCCAAAUAACUUACAAUCCAAACAGACCCAGACGUCCAGUUAGUUAUUUCAUAAGCCUUCUAUUCAUACUCAUGUCAAAGCUUCUUAAGGUGAAUGACUUCAGAUUUUUACCGCCUACAGAAAAGUUUCUCGCAUGAUACCUCAUAUUUUGAAUUAAAUUAUAAAGAUGAUGAAAUCCGUUAAACUUAACAGAAAUGACUUAUUGGAAGCUAAAAAAAAAUUUUAUACCUAAUUUUUAACAAAUAUACUUGUUCUACUCCUUAACCCUCCAUUCUCUCUAUUUAGAGAAUAAAACAAAUAAUUUUUUUGAGCCGUCUUAUGCUUAAUUAUAUCAGGACAUUUGGUCAUUUCGUCCAUUUCCAUUAAGUUUAACGGAUUCCGUCACCUUUACAAUUUAGUUCAAAGUAUGGGGUGUCGUAUUGUAUGUUUUGAAAUCAUGGGAGGCUUUUCUGUAUGUUAGAUUUACCACAGGGGAUUUUUUGUUUUUUACUCUUAACUAAAAGGUGGAAACACUUGUAUGAUUUAAUUGGUCAUUUUUUUAUUAUCCUUUUAUUUUUAUCUCCAAAAUUUCCAUUGUACACUUGAUGCAAAUCCAUAUCCAAAUCUGUGUCAAUGGUGAAAAUUGUUGAUGAAAACAUUUUAGGUGGGUUCAGUGCAACGUGCCAUUAUUACCAGGGUUCAAGUGCAAUUAACUUUUAUUUUUCUUCUCUCUCUCUCUUUUGAAUCGUCCGCCCUGUUUGGAAGCGGAGUUUUUAGUCAAGUUUUUCUCUUAGAAAUUUUUUAAUAACUUUACAUAUAAUAAUCUCAAAAGAUUUCUUCAAAUUUUUAAACUACACAUUUCAAAAUACUAAAAAACACACAAAAAAAUCCCUUCCUUCCUUUCUUCUUCUUCUUCCCCUACCUCAACCCAUCUAUGUCCGCCACUCGACAACCCUUUUUUUUUUUCUUUUUCCCUUUCCCCUUUUCCUCUCCCCUCCUCUCUUCCUCUCUCCUUCCCUUUCCUCCUCCUCUCUCCCUUUUCUCUUCCCCUCCCAUCUCGUCCCCCUCCCUUCCCUGACCAUCCUCCCCCUUCCCCUCUCCUAGCACAAUUGGAAGGUGGGGAAGGGUUGGGGAAGGAAAUGGCGGGGGAGAGGGGAGGUGAGGGGGAAGGGAGAAAGAGAGGGAGAGGAAGUAGGAAGAGGGAAGGAGAGGAGAGGAAGAAAUGGGAGAGAGAGAGAGAAAAAAAAUUCUAUCUAUGCUCCUAUUCUUACUUUUAAUAUAUAUUAGAGGAGGGCUCAACUCGACAGGUACUACCACUCCUAAUCUAUAGGAAGGGAAGGCUCACCUUUUUAGAGAGUUUUGAUUCGAGUGAGAGUCCCAAACGAGUUCAAGGUGUUUCCUAAACUUUUAGGGGAUGUCAAAGAAAAAGAGAAAAAGAAAAAGAAGAAGAAGGUGUUUCCUUGGUCACACUCCAACAUUGCAUCUAAAAGCAGGAAUUUCGAAAAUCCAUAUUGCCUUAUCUAAGGAGAAAUUUGCAUUUUCCACCUAAAUUUUGGCAUUGCAGGAUUUAAAUCUCCUAAAAGCGUAUUUGCCAAAACAAGUUUAGUCAUUUAUCCUUUCAAAGUUGCAUCCAAAACAAAAAAAAUUAUAGAAAAGAACCUAUUAUUGUUGAUUUAUUAAGGACAUUGAUCCAAUGAAAUGGAGCAUGUUAGUCUUGAACGCAAAAACCAACUUAAUUGCAUUUGUAGUUCCAGUGGUUAAGAACUUUAAGACUUAAUAUUUGGUCUAUCCACGAUAAGCUGGUCUAGCAUUUAGUAAAAACAGUUAGUUAGGAGUAGUUAGGAGAAUUUAUCAGCCUGAUGAAAGUAUGAUUUAGCAUCAGUAGAUUCUUCUACACAGUUGGAUUGAGGACUCGUAACUGGACUCGUAAUUUAACAGAACACCACCCAUUGAAACAAAUGGUCCCUUUAAUAUUUCAUUGCAGAACUUGAGUAGUGAACCUGGAAUCUCAGGGUUAUACAAUCCGUAUCGCAUGAGGACAAUAUUUCUCAGCCAUGCAAACUGGUCGUCUUUGGCAGGAAAAAGAUAAACUCUUAAUGAUCUUCAACUGAUUGAGGUGGUUGUUAAGAAGUUUAGGAUGUUUGUAUAUUCACUUACGUGUGUGUGUGUGUGUGUAUAUACUACUAAGAGGUAUCUCAGUCUUUUGGCCAGAAUAAUCUCCUAAAGCUGUGUAGAGCCUUGCUCCAAGAAUACACAACUUAAGUAUUGACAUUCCCCAAUUUGUGGCGUGAUUUUGUUCUGAAUCACCAUCCAUUCUUAAUUAUUGAGAAUAGCCCACAAUUCAAAUCGUUUUAAAAUUUAAAAACUGUUGAAAUACGAUCCUGGAACUAUGACUCGAAGAACAUGAAGGAAGAUACCUAGUGCAGUAAACAUGAAGGCCACAGAGAAGGACCAAAGUUUUAUAGAUUCUAGGCAAACCAUAGGGCUUAAAUCUCUUUAAGAUAUUGAGAAUAAGCAACUAAAAUUGAAGUAUUUACACGAGAGGUUAUCUUCACAAAAGCAAUCACAUGAAGCUUGUCUUUUGAAUUGCUCAACUAUCCAGCUUGAUAUACUUCUUGCAGCUCAAUAUCUUUCAGGACAUCUCAAGGAUAUAACAAUAUUCAGCCUUAUCAGCUUUUACAAACACAAAGACAGAGAACAAGAGCAGUCUUGUAAUCAAUGCUUUGUUUCCUCAGCUGGAAUAGGUUCAACUCUCACUGCCUAAUCCGGUAUUUUCUUGCUUCCUAACUUGCCCGCCCUUCACUAGUCAAGAAUUUUGAAUCGAGCUCAUCUACCAGCUCAUUUAACUUCUUUCAAUAUUUAAUUUCCAAAGUCCUUUUCAUUUUCCACUUCCAAUCAAAAGCCUUCAACACUGGCACAUCCCACGUGUUCAUCCUAAAUACCAGCUUUGGUUUAUUGCUCUCCAGUGAUGUCUUCUUAUUCCCAUCCCCUGAAUCCAAACUGUAUUGGACUCUUCAGUUUGUUGACAAUUCAUACUUAAAAGUUCCUACAUGUCUUUCAUCGAUCAAUCAUCAUAUUUUGAAAAACUUGAUGAUCCUCAGCCUCAAGGUUUCUGAAACAGCUGAUUCCUAGUAUAUACUACAAGCUGAAAGCGGAGAUUCAUAACAACAACAUUCUGUCUAUAGCUUCAUCACUGACUAGCACCAAUGACUCUCCAGAACCCUUAUCAUCAGAGUUCUAAGCACAGCUACAAAAGGUAUAGCGUUGAUCCUCUUUCAAAAUCUCUUUAGCGCAUAAUGCCGAAACAAUAUGAUUACUGCUUCCAGAUUCAGCUUUCCACAUGAACAAUCUCAACCAAGUAUCCCAACAAGAAAUUCAAAGGCGAAGCUCUAAACUUUGGAUACCUCUUGAAGACUUCAGCUUGACUUAGCACAACCAAAGAAAAUCCAACAGCAUCAGGAUCACAAGACUCUGACUUCGUUCGAUUUGAGCAAUUGAUGAAAACAAUUAAUAGCUUAGCCUCUUAGACUAAGUGACAAGUACACUUACAAUGAAUUAGUAUGUACCAUCAGAGAAUAACACAUGAAAGUGGCCAGUAUAAUACAUAAAUACCUUGUAUAUUUAUUUCAAUUGGAUUUAAGCAUAUACAAUGCUAUCACUGUGACCAUCUAUGACCAUUUAAAGACAAUUUACUUAAAUAGGAAAAUAGACUUCAAAAUUAAGUUGAACUAGAGCAGAUAACAGAAGGCUACUGUACUAUAGCUCUUCUUCGGGAUUAUAUACAAAAUUGAUUGACCCCUAUAUUACAAAUUUUGUAUCUAUUUAUAUAUGGGGUCAAUCAGAUAUAAUCUACAAAGCUCUCAAAUUUGUAAUUGGGGUCAAUCUACAAAGCGCUCUUAAUACUUUUUCUUCAUCCAUAUAUCCAACUUAAUACCAUUGAAAAAAUAAGGCAAAGGAUUAUCUAUAUUAACAUUCGGAACAGAAUUGCAAAGAAGCUAAACAGUUGAAGAACGAAUUUAUCAACCAUUAUUUGGUAAGCAAAAUAAUCUGUCACAGACAGCCCAACCAACUAUGGAGAACAACAGCCAAAAUUUGACUAUAUGCGGCUGCUCAUGGAACCUUUUGGGAUUCUGUGCUUAUUUGCUGAGAUUAAAUCUUAUGGGCAACAAGAAUAAAUUCUUAGCCCUCUAGCAUAUGUUAUACAAAGGGAUAAAGAAGUUCAAACAGCAUAAAGUGAGAGUUCAUAAGUUGCAAAUCGUUCAUGACUAAUAGCUAAGAAUUACAAUACAAAACUAACUUUACUUUGUUCCAUAAUUGAUCAAAAUACUAGAUAUACAUAGCCUAGCCACAUGGGGUUAUAAACAUCAACAUCUGAUCGUUCACAGGAAGUACACAACUGAAAGCCAUCUAAAGGCAGAAACAUUGAACAGGGGAGACAAUGAUUUUAAAGGAGAAAAUGGCUUCAACAUCUAUCUAUUUAUAUAAGUUACAAAUUUUAUCUCCUCUGCUCAUUUGAGCAUCUAGAAGAACCAUUUUCCUGCACAAAUUAAAUAAGCAUGAUCUUACAGUUUUUUGAGCACUUUGAGAACUUAUUUAACUUCUCCGAGCUGAUGAGGACCAAUUUUCUGGCAUUUCUGGCGUGGGAAACAUGUAUAGACAUCUUCUGUAAGACUGCUCCAUGCUUCAGAAGAUAUCUUACUAAAUCAAACCCAUAAUUUGGGAUAAUAAAGAAACUCUUUAUCUCUAACUUCCCUGAGAUAUUGAUUCAGACACAGUGGUCUCUCUUUCGCUGAAGUGGAGGUGCAUAUCAUCAUACAUCUUGAGUAGACUCUGAUUUAAAAAUAAAAAAAGGCAAGAAUAAGAUGAACAAGUAAAACACUUGCCAAUCAGUUCACUGAUUUUGGUCUCUUAAGCAGUCUAAAAAAGGAAGAGCUUACAUCAAUUUCCUUUCAAGAAUUUUAGGGCAACUCUCUAACUCACCAGGUAACAGACUAGCACUUUCAGAUUUGGUGUGCUUCUUCAGUAGAGUCUCAAAGUAUUUCAAAAUAGAGAUCCCGCGUUGUUGAAAGCUCCAAAUGAGUCAAAUUUAUAAAUUCAGGUAACAGAUGACCUGCUGAUAGAGACACUUCACAUCAUGGCAAAAGCAAAGUCAUUACGAUGCUUAGAAAACAUACUUUGAAACAUAUGAAAUCCUGGAAAAGCAAGUGAAAUGAAGACAUUCAAAGUCAAAGAACUACCUGUAAAGAGUCCCCAAAUAAACCAAAAAAUUCCAAAUUGCGCAUUUCACAAAUAAAUUGACAAAACUGGUUAGCGUCUUGCUCAUGUGGCAUGUUCUUAUUUUCCAAAUCCAGAAUAGUUUUAACAAGAACUUGAACUUGCAAUUUGAGCUCAAUAGCGGAUAUAGAUCACCUGCAUACUCCAAAUACUCAAGAUUUGGAUUAUUAAGAACAACCUUGCCACCCAACAAGCCCUGACCCCACGCCAAGCUUGUUAAGGAAGGACUACUGAAAUCAAUUAAUCCAACAUCAAAUAAUUCUACACCAUCAAUCACCAAAUCAUCAAGCAAUGGACAGCUUGAUGAAAGUAGCCAACCUGUAUUAUCUCCCACUAGUGUCAAAGUAUGCAAAUGCAAGACCUUAAGAUUCGGCAAGCAGAAGCCUUUUGGAACCUUUAGACCAAGCCAACCAUAUAAUUUCAAGACUACAAGAGUUUUACAAGUAAAGAUUUCAGAUGGAAAGACUUCAAACUGCGGAAAAUUAGUAUAACCAUCAACUAGGAUGUUAAGAACCUGAACACGCGCGGAAGCACCAAAGACAUCCAUAAGCUAAGCCCAAACUUUUGGCAAGAAGCCGACUUUCGACAUAAAAGACGAAACUCAUUCACAACAGAAGUAGAUUCACAAUUCAUAAGUAGUCUGUUAACAAACUCCAUAAACUUCUUCUCCGAUUCCACUACCUUCUCAUCAUUGACAUCGUUGCCUGCUCCUUGUUGAUGAGGAUGGAUAAGCAGAAUAUCGUCAACGUCAAGGUCAAUUUUGGGAACACCAAAGAAAAUGUACCUCCAUCUGGUGGACAAAACGGAAGUGGAGGCUGCAAAUUUUGUGGGAAGAAACGAGAGAAUGUGGCAGAGGAUGCCAUCCGGCAAGGCACUGAGUCGAUCUUCUUGACAAUCAUCAUCUGGGCUCUCUCUUGAAAGCUUGGCCGUCUUGGGUUUUGGCUCCAUAGCUGCUUUUUCAGAUUGGUUUUGAUCAUUUUGGGGAAAAAAGCUAGAUUUAAAGGAUUUUGGGCUAGGGAGGCUGAAUUUUAGUCGAUUGAGUUCCCAAUUUGGCUAUUAAUUUACUUUUGCCUCUAAGGAAAAAGAAAUGGGAAAAUGCAAAUGAAAUAAGAAAGUGGGACUGGGGAGAAAAACAGAUUAAAUCAUAUAAAUCUGUGGGACCUCUCUUGUAAAUUAUCUCUCCAUUUCUCACGAUACAUAUUUGGAUGCAUGAUAUAUAUCUUUAUUUAUUAACAAGAAUUAGAAUUAGUUAAAUUUAAAAUGAUCUUAUCAUUUCCUAACAAAUGAAUACAUAUGUCAUGAAAUUCAUUUAGAUUUGCAUCGUGGGAGAUGGAGAGAGAAUUCAUUCAAGAGAAAUCAAAUCCAUAAUUUGUGACCUUUUUUUAUUUUUUUUUCAUAUGUAAUUGUGUACCAAAAAAAGCUUAGUCGCUAGGUUUGAAAGACAAACUAAACUAUCCCAAUACUCGAAUUGGGAAAUGAAUUUUUUGAGUAUUUGUCUAAAACUUUACUUUACGUUAUUGUAGAAGUUUUUUUAAAAAAAUUUGAAGUGUGUAAAUUUUGAAUAUUUUGAAGUGUAUAAUUUAAAAUUUUUGAGAAGUUUUUUGAGGUUAUUUGGCUAAAGUUUUUAAAAAACUUAUAACAGACAAACUUGGUAAAAAGCUCAAAGUGCCAAAUAGGGCCCAAUUCCUCAACUAAUCAAAUUAAGUUUGAAUAGCAGUUUUGUGUUUGAUAAUUGAUACACUUUUAAGUUCAGCUCGAAUUUGCUUAAUUAACUCAUAAGUGAAAUCAUGUGUAAAAAGUUCAAGCUAGUGCGAUUCGGCUCAUGUUUGGCUCAAUAAAAGUUCUCCUCGAAUUCGACUCAAGAAGUAAACAAGACAAAAUUUGAAUAAAAUUUCAAACUCGUCAAAAUAAUCAAACAAACUUAAAUACUAGAAUAUUCGACUUAUUUAGACAUGUUUACGCCUCUACCAGCCAUCAAAUUUUGUAUGUGCACACACCUAUAUUAACUAAAGUUGCACUUUUUUAUUCAUUGAGGUGCACUUUUGUAUUUAAUAAAGUACACACUGUAACAAGUGUAAUUUAGGCAUUUUAAUAAUAAAUUUAUUAAUUAUUUUUUAUUCUUGAAUAAUAACUCAUAAUUUAUUCACAAAUUUUCCACAUCUCACCCUUCUUAUGAAUUUUGAAUCUCUCAAGAAGGGCGCUAGCAGUCUGCCACCUCUAAUUCCCAGCACUAAAUUCAAGGAGUUUAAUUCUACACCAAUUUAUAAAUUCUGUAUAGUUUCCUUUUUUUUUUAAUUAAUCUUUCCUACACUGACAGUGUAUACUUUGUUAGCAUUGGCUGAAUGAUAACUAUGCAAAAUUUAAAUUUAAAAUUCAACUUUUAAUAUAUAUCAUGAAUCUAAUGGUGACAGUGUAUACACUGUCAGUGUAUAUAAGAUUUACUAUUUUCUUCUAUGUCAAUGUUCCAGUUUUCACUCUUAUGUACAAACUGCUAUGUGUUUGCCGUCUGCACCUCUAUUUGGGCUAACAAGUUUGCAAUCAAUAUUUCAUUGUUGCCUAGCCUUGACAAUAGGCCUGUCAAUCGGGCCUAAUGAGGCGGGCUUUGAUGAGUUCAAGCUCAGCUCAUUUAAUUUGAGACAUUUUCGGGUUUCGGGCUAUGAGGUUCGGGUUCGUAAAUGUGAAGCUCAUACUCAGCUCACAUAAUAUUCGGGUUGUGAGCCUUAAUCGGGCUUAGCCCAAGCUCACUUAUUACUCCUGAAUUUUCUUAAUAUAAUUACUAUAACUAUUAAGUUGUAAAACUAAUUUAACAUUUACAAGACUAUAAUAUUAAAACUAAACAUGAACAAAUAAUAGUUCUUAAAAAGUAUAUAAACCAAAAUUUUUUCAACAAUAUUUAUAUGUAAUCCGUUUAAAAUGCAUGAAAAAUAGUAAUAAAACAUGCAAUCAUAAGCCAAUACAUCUUUAAAAGUUGAAACUUUUUUUUAUAAUCUUGUGAUUUAAAUCCAAAUAUGCUUGAUGAUUUUUGUGUUUGUAGACCAAAAAAAAAAAAAUCAACAAUAAUAUGCCAAUACAAAAAGUUACUCAACCAAUAAAAAAAAUUAGAGAUUUAGUUAUGCAUUACUAAUAUUGGCUCUCAAGAAAGCUCAUGAAAGAGUCUUUAGAUGUGUUUUUGUGUUUUGUAAUUUAUAUAUAUAUUUAGUAUUUAGCAAAAAUAUAUUUGGAUAUAUAAUUAUACAUAAUAUCAAAAUAUAAAUAUUAUAUAUAUAGGUAAUUAAAGGGCGGGCCUAUAUCGGGUAUGAGUCUAAUAAGGCCCAAGCUCGGCUCACAUUUAAUUCGGGCCUAAUUUUUAGGCUCAAGCUCAGACCGACUCACUAAAUGAUCGGGCUCAUCGGGCUUUCUGUCGGGCCGAACGAGCCGAGCUCGGGCUGGCCCAGCCCAUUGACAGUCCUACUUGACAAAGUGGGACAAAAGACAUGUCUUGCCUUCAUGAAGGGGAAAUUUGCAUUUUCCCCCUAAUUUUUGCCUUGUCUCAUAUAAUUUCCUAUGUUUACUUGCCAAAACUGUAUUAAGCAGAGUUGAACCUUUUAGUGUUUUCUUCAAAAGAAAGAACCAAUAUAGGCUUAAUAUUUGUCCCAGAAUACGUCAAGUUUAGAAUUAAUAAUUAGUCUAUCUAGGAUACGAUAGCCUAAACUUUAUUAAAUAGUUAUUUUAAAAUUUGCGUAAGGAGUAUUUAUCAGGUCGAGCAGGCCUUAAUCUAGGGAUUAAAGCUAAAAUCUCACAAUUUAAAGGCUUUUAGUUCCCUAUUUUCUUAAAUCCCACCCUUCCUCUAUUAAAAAUAACACAAAGAAUCUUGACUAGUUUUCAACGUGCUCACACUAUUGGAUUGAGGACUCACACCCAUAAACACUUCAUGCAAGAACUUGAAUAGUGUAUCAGAAAUCCGAGUGACGUACAAUCAAAACAGAACAAGGACAAUACUUCUCAGAUAUGCAUCUGUUAUAUUUCUCAGUUUCAUUUGCAGGAAAAAGAUGAGUUUUUGAACAGUCUUCAACUAUGUUGAGAAGUUUAGUGUGUCAGUGUAAUGUCAAAUGAACAAUUCACCUUUCGUGAUAAGAUUUGUUCUUCGCCAAUAACAAUACUUAGUUGUCUAAAAAGAGUUUGUGAUUCAGAUUGUUUCUUGAUCGUAAAUAUAAUUCUAUUACCACCUGCUGCAAGUAGCACUUUUGUUUCUUGAAAAAGCUUUCAUCAGCAGUAACUACUGGAGAAAGAUUUCAUCAUUAUCAAUCUAUCGUGAGGGCAUUUAAAUUUUCAGAGCAGAUCUCUUAAACCAUGUCAGAACAGAAUUGGCAAGUUCAUGUACUGAGUUAUGAUUGUCAAGACAAUGAAUAAGUCUGUCCAUAUAACUGGAAUCUGUGCAUCAACAAACUUAUAAUGUUUACUCUUAUAUAGCAAAUGAAUAUACUUCACCACCCAAUUGAUUCCCUUUUUCUAGUCUAAAACAUUAAGUUAUAAAGUCUUCACCAACCAAAACAAUAAUGAGAACAGGAAAAAACCUUUAAGGAAAGGAAAAUAAGUAUGAAUCCGUAGAGAGGAUUAUGCACUUUUUAUGACAAAAAUGACCAAAUUUCCACAAACAGCAGAAUACAUGGAAACCAACAGUGCUUAUCAAUCUAUAACAUAUUGAAAAUAAGCAAGUCAUAUUCGUGAAGUAUUUACAUGAGAAGUUAUCUUCACAAAACCUAGCCUUCCAAGUGAGUUACAGACAGCAAACACCUCCAGCAACUAAGCCAAAUGGAAGCUCUCAAAGAAAAUUGAAAAAAACAUAAAAAAGGAAAAUAAUCUUGUAAUUAAUUCUUUGUUUCCUCAUGUGGAAUAGGUCCAAAUCUCCUUGCUUGAUCCCUUUUGCCUACUAUUGAAGAAUGUCAAAAGAUGAGUUCAUCUCCCUGCUUAUGUAACUUCUUUUCUUCUCAAACAACUUCCUCACAGCUUCAUUGAACACCUUCUCUUUUUCCGCUUCCCCAUCAAAAGUCUUCACCACCCAAUCCCAGCUUUCCUCCACCUUCUUAUUCUCCUCUUCAAUCCUCUCUAUCACCACCAGAGUUACCCCCUUCAUUGUACAUCUUGACAGCUUCAACUCAGGCACAUCCCAAACCUUCAUGCGAAAAAAUGGCGUUGAUUUGUCACUCUCCAUUAAAGUCUUCUUAAUCCAAUCCCUAGAAUUCAUACCUCUUUUGAACUCUUCAAUUUGUCUGCGAUUCAUACUAAAAGUUCCUAUCUGUUUUUCAUCCGAAAUUGUCACAUUCUGCAAAGUCUGAUGAUCCUUCAACGUCUCGCGAAACAACAGGCGCCUCGCAGAUGCUACAACCAAGCAAGCCAAGAUCAUUGUCAGCCUUUUAUCGAACUCCUCAUCUUUCAUGAACAUUGAUGAUUCUCCUGAAUCCUCACUAUCAGAAUUCUUAUCAAAGCUACAAAGUUCGUAGCUUUCAUCAAUUUCUGAAGUAUCUUUGGCGUGUAAUUCCAGAAUAUAAUCAAGUUUGCUCCCAAACUCGGCUUUCCAUAUCAUUGAACUCAAACAACUAUCACUUGUCGGAUUUGGGAGGUUAAGCUGUAAAUUACGAAUAGCUCUGAAACACUUUAAAGCUUCUUUUGGCAUGCAAAAACUAUAUUCAUCAGCAGAUUCACAAGAUUCUGACCUUGAUUUAGGCAAUCGAGUGAAAUAUUUGAAGGGCUUCGCAAUAGCUUUGGUGAAAAUGUUCUUGAAUGAUUUCUUACCCUCAUGGAGUGUUUCUGUGAUGGGCUUUUGCUUGCUUUGCUUGUUUUGCUUAUGUUCUCCACGCAUCGAAAGGAAAACAUUGUCAACUUCGGGGAUGAUUGCGUGAAAGCGUUUGCAAACAGACAUGGACAAACACAGAGAUUUUGCAUCAUGCACCUUGUUGAAAAUCAGAAACACAAUAGGGUCUGGUAAUUCAUCAAAAAAAUCAUCUUUUUCUUCUUCUUGAGCAGUGCAGAAAGAAGCCAUUCUUGUCCUGUUAUUGUAGGAAUAUAACCCACAGAAUAAACAAAUCAAGACAAACCUCAAAACCAAAGAAACAAUUAUGGCAGCGGAAAAUAUAAACAACCAGAACGGCACAGGGAAGAAAGAAAGGAAGCAAGGAAAGCUUCGGGAGGCAACAAUCAAUUUUUUAUCUUUUCAAUUCUCAGCGCACGAAACAUCAAUACUAGUAGUGGUAUAUAUAGAUCAGUUAGUUUCCUAAAACUUAGCUUUCGAACCACAAAGGGAAUCUUUUAUACAAUUGGACUUGGACUUAAAAACCACAACCGACAUAAUUAAGAGAUCAGAACCAACAAUAUGGAAACUAACAAAUAAUAAUAAUGAUCUAGAUUUAAUUCCUACAGUUCUGUGUUUUUCGCUUUCUUUCCCCUGUUUCUUGAAUUCUUGAUUCACUGGAGGAAACUGAAAGCGGUUUCUUGAAUUUCUUAUUGGUUUGAGGAAAAUGAAAACUUAUUGUUAGAUAAAUUUAUGAAAAUACUAUACUACUUCCUGAAUUCUCUGAUAUUUCUGACCGGAGGAAACUGAAAACGCGAUGGGUAUUUUCGGAUGGAUACUUUGGUAGGAAGAAAAGUAAGAAGAGGAAAGGCCAUUUGAUGGUUUUGGAAGGCGUCAAUAUGGUUGAUUUUGGAAAGCUGGAACCGACCGGGAAAUAAAACAAAAAAGUGGAACAGAGAGUGGCACAGAGUGUGAGACAGAAGAUCCGAAAUCAACCAUAAAAAAUUCAUAAGAAAAUUCAUAUAGCAGAAAAUUCAUAAAAAAUCUCAUUUUUUAUGCAUUUUGAUUUUCUGAGUUUGUUAAAUUUUAUGUAUUACUCAAUUAAUAGUUAUUGGAUCUUAAGAAAACAAAAAAGAACUAAAACAUGAUGUUUAUGCAGGAGAAAUAGCAAUAUAAUAAAAAGUGGAACAGAGAGUAGCACAGAGUGUGAGAUAGAAGAUCCGUUGCGCAUUUGGCCGGUGAUAAUUGCCAAACAAUUUUGGUUAAUCAAAGGUGUGGAGUUUCGAGAUGAGCAUUCUUAAGUGGAACUUUACUCUUCGUUGCAUUUUAUUCUUGGGAUUUAUUAAAUUGACACCUUGUCUCCCUGCUUGAUAUUUAGGGACAAAAGUGUCCGAUCGAUAAAUUGUGAAAAACCAUGAACUAAUAUACUAGUUGCACUUUAUACCCUUAGUCAACUAACAAAAUUGAAAAAAUUAACUCCAUCCAAGUAUUUGAUGAAAUGAUUAAUUUGUCCUCUAUUAAAAGCUUAAGUGACAAAAAAACCCUUUUGAUGGGAAAAACUUAUCACUUUAAAAUAGACUACUUUUCAUUCAUAAGAAAAGCCUAACAGAAAAUACAAAAAAUGAAAUAAAAUACGGGUUCACUUUGAAUGAUAAUUAAGACUCUUGGGGGUCAAACGUAAAAGGGCAGAAUACAAAAAAAAAAAAAAAAACUAAGGGCUACUAUUGCAAUUUCUACAAUCUCGUUAUCUUCUUCUUUGGUACAUCAUAACGUCAUGGAAUUCCACUUGAAAUCUUUACGAGUAUUUAACCGGGAUAAAACACAAAAAUUUCAUAUGAAUUUAGCACCAUAAUAGCAACAAGGUUCAAUAGUAGACCUAAAUUAAAUCGCUGAUGUUAGCAAACAAAAUAAUGGACUUAGAAGAGAGGGAUUGGUAGUAAGGUGGAGAGAGAUUAUAAGUAAGAGAUUUUGGAUUUAAUACCUACCACUAACAUUAUAUAUAUAUAUAUAUACACACACACACAUAUAUAUAAACUUAGAAAUUUCAAUAAAAAUUUAAAAUUUCACUUAGUGCAUACAAAGAGAAACCAAAAGUAUAGGUCACAAUUACAGGAAUAAAUAAGAUUUUACAAUGUCUUUUCCAUGAUAGCAAUCUUUUGAAUUGAAGCCAAUUUAUUCACUUUCUUCUACUUGUUUUGUUUUAAUUAUUAUUGCAAGUGACCUUGUGUUUUAUUUUUAUGUGUUUUCAAUUAGACUUUUUUAUGAAGUGAAAAUUAAUCCAUUUAAAGUAGUAAUAUUGCCCAUCAAAAGGGUAUUUUUGCCAUUUAAACUUUUAAUGGAGGAAUAAUUGGUCAUUUCAUCAAUUAUGUGAAUGGAGUUAAUUUUUCAUCAUUUUUUAGUUGACCAAAGGUAUAAAUUGCCUAUUAAAAUACUUUAGGCUGUCAAGUACGUGCAAUUGGGAUGAUAGUUCAUAAGGGGGUUCUGCAUAUUUAACCCUUUUUUUAUUUGUUGCCCAAUUGGGAUGAUAGUUUGUAGGGGAUUUUUGCAUUUAACCCCUUUUUCUAUUUGGUGCCCUUAGGCACCAUAUAAGCACAUUGAAAAAAAUGGAAAUUAGAUCAAAUAUAAUGUUUUCAAUUAUCUUUUGCCUCUUCAGUUUGUGUGAUAUACUAAUAUACAUACAUACAUACUUAUGCAUAUAUAUAUAUAUAUAUAUAUAUAUAUAUAUAUAUAUUAAUUGAAUGUAAUUUUUUUCAACUGAAAUGGAAUCGAGUAUUAGUACUUAGAAAUAAACAAAAUGGACUUCAUAAAACCUUAUUGAUCCUAGGCAAACAUUUUAUGGGAUUUAGACUUGUUAAUUUUACUAGUUUUUGGCUAUGCCCAGGUGUAAGCUUAACAUACAUAAUUUUAGGUCUCUAUAUAUAAUCCAAUACACAUAAUUUUCUAAUAUGGAAAUUCAUGUACAAAUGGUGCAAAUAUUCAUCUACAAUGGUGAUACAUCUGUCACUAAAUCCAGAAUGUCUAAAUUCCAUUAUAUGUUUAGCUAAGACUUAACACAAUUUACUCGAAUAAAUAUAAUUACACGGGAGCAUAAUUAAUUGAAUUAGGUCCCUUAUAUCUUAACAUAAAGAAGCAAAAAAUUGCCAAGUUUAAAUAAACCAUGCUUUACAUACCCAAGUUAUCAAUAGGUCAACAUGUAGGGUGAUUAAAGACGGGACUGAUAGAAACAACUGAAAAGCUACCAUGAUGAUAGGUAGGAACUAUAGGUGGCAAACUUAACUAAAUUUACCCAUACCCAUCCAUGAAUAGGUGGGUAUGGAUAUUUUAAAUUUUUGUAUAUGGAUAUAAAUGGGUUACCCAAUCAUACACAUUUAAUAAAUGGGUAUUAUUGGGUAAUCCAUCAAAUUCAAUUAACCCAUUUAGAAUUCUCUUCCCCCAAGUCUUUUAUCUUCUCCCACCCUUUUUUUUUUUUCAAAUAUUUCAUUUUGUUAUGAUGGUAACUACUUUUGUUUCACUAUUAUUAUUAUUUGUUUGUUUUAUCUUAUUAUUUUAUUUUCUCUUAAUUUGUUAAUUUGCUCACUUUUUAGCAUUACCAAUUUAUGAUAAGUUUUAGCCUCUUUUCUUAUCUUUCUAAAAUGAAAUUUUAAAUUUAUAUAUGAAAAAAAUGUUAGGGGUUAAAAUUUUUUAGAUUAAGUUUUAUAUUAGCUUUUAUAGUCCUUAGUUCAAUUUUUUUAUUCUUAUUAUUCAAUUAUUAAAUAAUAUGUAAUUUUGUGACAUUGAGUAUAAAUGGAAAAAAAUUGGUAAUUGGGAUUAUUGAACAUUAUAAGUAAAUAUUUAAAAUUAAUGGUGGAUACAAAGAGCAGUAUAAAUUGAUAACUUAGUUUGAAAAAAUAAAUUUAAAUGAGUUUACAAAAAAUUAAAAUAAAUAGGUUAUAAAUGGAUAAUUGGGUUACCCAAUUCAUUUUUUGACUUACCCAUUUAUACCCAUCUAAUUAAAUGGGUAUAAAUGGGUUGACUCAUUUAUACCCAUUACCCAUUUUACCCAACCCAAAUCUGUCCAAAUCACUCAUUUUGACCACCUAGAUAGUCUAUGGAGGAAUUAACAUUAGUUGACUGCACUUUGCUCACUGGCUGGCUACGUUAAAUGCAAUCACGGCCAUAGUACAUAAACUUGGAAUUGUUUCGGUAUCGUGAUUUGCAUUUGAAGCAGCUCGCUGCUCACACCGUUUUCUAUUCCUCUCCACAUAGUCCUCUUCUAGGCUUGCAUAUUUUCGCUGCUAUAUAAAUCAGAUUCGAGCAGAAUGUCCAUCAUACAGCCAUAUAUCAACAAACAAUCAAUUGCCCAACUUAAAGAUUAGCCAAAACACUUGGAGAUUUGGAUAUACAAAAGUAAAGAAAUAGAAAAUGCAUACAAAGCUCACCUUCCGGUUUAGAGAAAUCAGUCCAACUGCUUCUCUUGCACCUAAAUGCAAUUAUAGUUCAAUCAAAUUAUAUCCAAAAAUAGUGACCCAACUACCAAAGAGAAAUAGGGGGAAAAAAGAUAAAACUUCAAGCGAUUCUGUAGUUAUCUCGGUUAAAUUAUCAACUUUUCAAUGUCACCAUUUAUACUUUUUGUGCCACCUAUUACAUCCACAAUUCCCUCUUCUAUAGAGCAAGCUUCAUGUGGCGUAAAAGAUGCUUGGAUGUAAUUCUUAACACAAUGUUUUCUCCCAAUUUGUGCUCAAAUUUCUAUCUGAAUGGCUAGAUAACAUGUAUUACAUUAACUUCAAGCUUUAAUCCAACAGGAACUUAGUAAAUGAAAUUUUAAGUAAAAUGUUAGAAAAGAGACCAUACAUUAAAAAUUUUAGUUGGAAACAAAAUAGUCACUGAUAAGUCAGAAGUAGUGAAUGACUCGAGUCUUUUCACAAACAAAAAAGGAAUAAGGUUUCUCUUCAAAAUCACCUACAUGAUUUCAAACUGAUGAACUUUUCUAUGUGCUAAAUGAUCUAAAGCAGAUAAAAGAUCCACUAUUAGCUGUAUUUCUACACAAUGCACAAGCUGCUAAUUAUCUAUAUUGACCAAUUAUUAUUAGAUGACAUCAAUCUCUAAAGGGAUAUUUCAAAUCUAUCCAUUUGAUCCAUAUUGAGGCAUUUAAGAACUAUUGACUUACAAGAUUGCAAUUUCUAGUCUACAUUCUUUCCAGAUGGGCAGAUCAUAUUCAAAGAACCCAGAUGUUAAAAGUACUUAACAAUAUUUAAGAACUAUUGACUUACAAGAUUGCAAUUUCCAGUCUACAUUAUUUCCAGAUGGGCAGAUCAUAAACAAAAUACUUAACAAAUCAACAGGGUAGUCUAGUACCAACAAGUAAAAAGCAAUAUUUUGAGGGAGACACACCGCUGAUUCGGAUCGUAAACGAAGCAUGCACUGAUGGAAUUACAUUAAAUCAAUCAAAACAUCAAGCAACUUCUCUAUUCGAGAUUUACUAUAAACACAUAUUUGUGAAGUGUGAAUGUAAUCAAUCGUACAUGUAAAUUCAAACAUGCAAAUAACAAAACUCACGGCUGGAGGUGAAGCAAAAUCAAGAGUCUAACAUUCUCACCGCAAAUGUCGAAUGUCCGUGUAAAUCUCCAGAAGCUGUAGUUCACACAACUAUUCUUUCGCUUAGCUAAUCUGAUAAGCAAGCUGUCUCAAUAAAUCCAUGUAAAGAUUGUCAACAUUCAGAUUAUGAGAUUAUUAAUUUACUUAAAAUAUUGUCAAUAAAUCAAGCAAAAACUUACAUAGAAAUGCAAGAAGAAAAUGAGGUAGGUUGAAGAAAAUCGGGAGGGUGCGUGCCGGUAGUAGAAGGCCAAGUAAGGAGGAGGGUUGCAAGUACUCGAAGAGUGAAGUUUUGGGAAGGUAGUGGCAGAGUUGAAGUGGAAAUGGAAGUGGAAGCGGAAGCGGAGGUGGAGACUUAGAACACAAUCAACCGUUGUCAUUCAAUCCACCAACAUGUAAACUCUAAAAAAGCAACAACUUAGCACCCACAUCGUUUGUUGAGUGUGUGCGUGAGCAAUACUUAAGUUCCAUGGGUGCAAUUAGAAGUCAGCAAUUGUCUUUUGGUUGUAUCUUGUGGGAUUAAUUUAAGUGUUGUUUAUGAACUUCUUGUCCAAAGAAAAAAGACUUGUUGGCGAGGUUAAAAUCAGAGUGAGUGAGUGCUAGUUAGUGUUUAGUAGAGAUUCCCUGUUCCCUCUCCCUGUGUCCCACAUCGUUUGUUAGUAUGUGUGAGUAGUACUUAAGUUCCAUGGGUGCAACCAGAAGUCAGCAAUUACUUUUUGGUUGUAUCUUGUGGGAUUAAUUUAAGUGUUGUUUACGAACUUCUUGUAAAAAAAAAAAAGAAAAAAACUAUGACUAGAUUCAAUAAAGCCCCAACAUAACUUGUCCACUCAACAUUAGUUGUCAAGUUUUGUACUUUUAUAUCUUGUAGACUUUUCAAGGUGUGGACGUACUACUUUAUCUUGAACAAUUAACAUUAAACAAAAUCACCACUCCUAGUGACUCAAUAAUGAAUAAGAGAUUAGUCUCAUUAUGAGCAGAGAGAAAAGUAAGAGAUCAAAGAUUUAGAGACCAUCAUUUGACUUGUUGGUUAACACUACAAUUGUGAAUCGUGUUCUUACAGUGAAUAACUUCCCUUAAACAAAUCUGUAAUCAAGCACAAAUUUAAUGAAAUAUAUAAUAAAUAGAAAAUGUACUAUAUAUAUUUUUUUCUAUUUGGUUUCUAGAUUAUUUGCAAAAAUUUUUCUUAAAUACAUAAUAAAUACAAAAUACUAUGAGCACGUAUACUACCACCACUAACUAAUAUAGUACUACUAUUGCUAUCAUUAUGAUUAUAUUAUAAGUGCAAUGAUGUUGUUAUAUUAUAGUACUAUUAGUUUUUAAGGCAUACUUGAGGUAUGUACAACUAAUAAAAAAAUUGUAAAUUUUUUCUCUUUCCUACUAUAUUUGAUAAUGCAAUUGACUAAAUGGUAUGGAAAACGGAAGAAGUUUGAUUUAAAAGUAAAUGGUCUAGAGAAUUGAAGAAGUUUGGAUGUUGUGGAGUUGCUUAUGACAUGGCUAUUGGAUAACUUUGAAUAUUAUGAAUUUGUGAUUAUUUUGCACCUCUAUGGAGUGUACUUAUCAUAGUUUGAUUUUAUAUUAAACACCAUGUAGUGGUGCUCCAACAUUAUAUAUUUAUAUGUUGUAUUAUAUAGAUAAAUAAAUAUUUUCUUUUUUGAAGGUAUAAAUGUUUAUUUUUUCUUUAUCAAAUGUUUCAUUUUUGCUUAAUUGGUAACAAAAGGUACUAUUUAUUUUGAGGGAGUACGAAGAAAAGAAAUAGAAAGGAAAUGAUAAGGUUUUUGAUGAUUGGAUUGAUUUUUGAAGAGAUAAAGGAAAUAAUACGAAGAGAAAGGGAGGGAUGAGAUCUAGUUAUUUAUUAGUAUUCUUUCCACCUAAAAGUGGGUGGCAACGAAGUGAAAGGAAACUAAGAUUAAUGAAAAUUUUAAAAUUUUCUCUAGUUAUUUGUUAGUUUGCUUUCCGUCUAAAAAUGGAUGGCAAUGGAGGGAAAGGAAACUAAUAUUAAUGAAAAUUUUAAAUUUCCUAAAAAACUUUAUCUAUUUAUAAAUUAGACUUUUAAAUUAUGAAUAAAAAUGUAACUAAAACUUGAUAGUCUCCUUUCCUUUCCUUCCUUAACUGAAACAAUAUUUUCAAUGUUUUUUUUCCCUUUUGUAUUUAAUCCAAACAAGAUGGAUGCUUUCUUCUACUCUCCUUUCUUUUCUUUUUUCUAUUAGAGUUCUCUUCCUUCAAUCCAAACAAUGCCUAUAUCCUAUACGAAUACUUUUCGUGUAAAUUAUGAGAUAAAGAAUGUUCUAAGUUGUGAAAACAUAAGUCUCUAAAUUUUAAGAAAUUUCUCAUUGGAUUUAUGAAUAAAGCAUUUGAUCCAUAAUGGGAAUGGUCUCAAAUGAGAUUAAAAGAUAAAGUUUGACAAGUCCUCAAGCUAAAAUUAAAAAAGUUGCAAUCAUAUCCCCAAAAUCUUUCCUUUUAUUUUUGAAAAGAUAUCCCCUAAAUCUUUGACGUGUUUUAGUUUCAUUCUACCUUAAGUUGACAUUUGCAUAUUAAGGUGCCUUGAGUGCUAGUUCCAUGAGAAAGAAAUAGGGAAGGAGGAAUACAAGUAAAGAUGAGAAUUACUUUGCCUUAAAUGGAAUGGAGUAUUGGGGAGGACACCCGCACCCUAUUCCCUACCUAUGAUUAAUUUAUGUAUGUGUAUAUCCAUAUAGAAAAAUUAUAUAGUUUCUUUAAGGGAUCAUUCCUCCAAUUUGUAUCUCUCAAGAAUGAUAAUUAUUGAUAUUUUUAAUUAUUCAAAUUGUUACAAUCGAUAUAAUUGUGUUGUGGUAAUACCAUAUAUCCUUUCUUGUUUAAGUCAUGGGUCAACUAGGAUGUACUUGUUACGUUAGUUUGCUUAAUUCUUUUUCCAUGUAUUGCAUGUUAUUAAUCAAAAAGCAAAACUUAUUGAUUCAAAUUCUCCACAGUAUCCAUGAUAGAGGAAAUCAAAAGAUCGAAAUGACAUUUAAAUUUGAUUUCAUGUUAAAUUUUUGCUAAAAAUUCAAAAGAACGCUUAGAAAAAUGGUUGUUAGUUUUAUAAAUGUAAACUAACAAGGUAAAAUUAACAAGAUAAAAACAAAUUUGUAGUGGGCACUCAUGGGGCAAUAAGGAGAGGCAGAGGUUAGGGUAUGGGGGUGGAGGGAGAUGGAAUAGAGUUUUCUUGCCCCAAACCUACCCUGUUGCCAUUCUUAAUCUACCCUCUUACCCCACUUUUGCACUUUAUCCAUUGCUUUGCUCUUAUUUAUAUUAAAUUAUAUCUCACAAAGACAUUGUCCACUAAAAGGAAAAAAAGGUGAAAGUUCAAGAAAAUGAUAAAUUGACAUCUUACAAUCUUGUUUUACAAUAUGCAUUAACAAAAUACAUCUUUUUUAUUGUAGAACCUAGAAGACGGCAGGAACAAGUAGGGGUGUUACACAAAUCCAGCCCUAAUAAUGAUAGUUUGUGCUCAAUUUACAUAAUGACAUUCUAAUACUAACAAAUUCAAACGAUAUCAACUAAAAUUCAACUAUGUAUUAAUUAAGCUUGAGGUCCUGAAUAUUCUUUUUUUUUUUUUACAAAUGUCAACAGUUAUAUAUAUAUAUAUAUAUAAUAUAUAUAUAUAUAUAUAUAUAUAUAUAUAUUAACACUUGAUAGUACAAAAUUAAUUAUAAAAAAGGGACCACUGCCCUUAUCUCCUUCUAUGCUAAGUCUAUCAGCCAUAUUGGGAAAUCUUAUUCCCAGUCUACAUCAUGCGCUAACUUUACAGCAAAUUGACCUAGUGUAUGGUUGAUUUGGUUUUUUGAUCUAGGUACAAAAAAGAAACAACAACUUUCAAGCCCUACUCUAAGUUCCUGAAUGCCUUCCAAAAUAGUUGUAAUCUUGUAAUCAUAGUCAUUGCAACUGUUAAUCUGGUCCACUACUGAUUUGCAGUCUGUGUGAACUUCUAUUUUAGUCGACCUUGCAUUUUUGGCCAUCAUUACUACAUUUCUUAUAGCAAAAGCUUCUUCCUUGAUUGCUUCUCCUUUCCUCUGGUUCACAACCCCUCCUGCCUUUACUAUCUUUCCCCUCCAGUUUCUUGCAAUUAUCCCUUGACCAGUUCUGAUCAUUCUUGCUGAGAUUACAGCAUCCGUGUACAGGCUUAUUAUAUCUUCCUUGGUGGUUCUCUUCUGACUUGUGUCUCUCUAUUGGCAUGUAGUGCAGUGUUCUCUUGCUCUGCUUCUCUUAAUUGUUCAUACUCUAUCCAAUCUCCUUGUGCUUUCUGUACUGUUCUGCUUGGAUCUGAAUUGGAGUCUUCAAAUAUAUUUUUGUUCCUAGCUUUCCAAAUUUGCCGGAAUAUAUUAAUUAUUAAGUUUAUUUGAUCCUGACCUUGUUCCUUUGAGACUGUUUGCAUUGCAGUUUCCCACAAGAGCCACAAAUUAUGUUGCUUGUCUUUCAGUCCAUCCCAUUUUGCUGGGGCCAACUUCCAGACCAAUGUUGUAUUUGUACAAAAAAAGAGUAAAUGCUCUAUGGUUUCAAUAUCUUCCCCACGGCAGCCACAGCUUCCCUCCCAUUUUCCUAGCUUUUUGAAAGCAACCUCAUUCACUGGUAUAUAGUUUUGCAAGCAUUUCCAAAUGAAAUGUUUCAAGUUGGCCUUUACAUUCAGUUGCCAUAACUUCUACAAAACACUAUGCUUUCUUAUCUCCCAACUGGUUUCAACAUUUGUUUUUUCCUUGUUACUGUGUUGAUCACAUUCCUGUUUUGCCACUGCAUAUCCAAAUUUUACUGUAUAUGUUCCUGUUUCGGAGAAUUUCCAGAAUGCUUUAUCAAUCCUUCUAUGUAUGCUAAUAGGAAUGCUUUCAAUAAGUUCAGCAUCUUUUCUACAUCUUUUAAUGGGAAUGCUUUCAAUAAGCUCAACAUCUUUUAAUGUAUAUGGUCCUAAAUAUUCAAUUUGUGGUUUAGAGGUUUUAAAAGUCUCACUAAUGUGAGUCAAUUUGUUGUAUGUGAGUCACUACUCUCACUAGUUUUUAUUUUCACUAUUUUUUAGGUACUUUGUUAAUUAUGUUAGUUUUACAUUGUAGUUUUCUCAUAAUUUUGUCUGAAAAAGGAAAAAAACUUGCUAAUAAGAUAAUAGCUUAUUUCAUCUCGAUAUAAUAAUUUGGAUGAAAGUGGUGUUUUGGUUCCCAAUCUAUAACCCAUUUGCGAAUCAUGUCCCCAAUCUAUUUGUAAAAGCAAAUGUGAUUCCCAAUUUAUCCAAUUUUGCAUGAAAUUGGAUAGAUUUCAUUCAAUUUCUUAAUGGAAUCAUGGCACGUGCAGUCACGUGACUUCACUUAAUAGCUUCAUUUUUUGAAUUAGAAAAUCCAUCCAAAACUUAACUAUUUUGUUUGCUUUUUUACCUUUCUUAAUUAAGCACACUAAACAAAAAAGGAAAAAUAAAAAAGUUUCAUUUUCUUCACAAACGAGAGAGAAACCCUAAGAUUCAGAGGUAGAGGACAUUGUUGUGAAUCAAUGAAUUACCCUUGAAGAUCUUUUUGAGAUUGUUGGUGAGAUGGAGCUGUGAAGAAGAAAUGUCGAUGAGACCUAAAGAAUAGAAUGAAAUCCCACCUCCGAACUAUGAUACGCAUUUUUGACUUAAUUCCUUUUUAAUAAUGUGUAAAUGUUGAUUUUAUUGUUAUAUUAUAGUUAAAAAGAUGAUGCGUUGGAAGACAUAAAAGUUGUCUGAAAUUUUGUUAUGGGCUAACCUUAAAAAACCCUAUCUAUAAAUAUUUAAAAAUUUGAUGUGGCCCUCUCUGUCUCUCUUUGUUGGGUUAUCCACCAAUCAAUGUUUAUUUUAUGUGGACAUAAUUCAGUGUAGUCUUUGUCAUUGUCUAAAUUUUGUAUGACAAGUCCGCAUUUGAUUAAGAAUUAGCUAAUUGACUGCAUUUAAUUUUAUCUUCUAAUUUGGAUUCUUCCCUAUUUUCUUGUUGUGUGCUUUAUUUUUCAUUGCAUCUGAGAAAGUGACUAUAUAGAAAUUACUACGAGAUGUCAUUUGUAGGGUAAUUUGAAGAAGAACCUGAUGCUCAUUAUGAGGGACAUGAAGUCAAGGUAUUUGACCAUGUAAAAUUAUAGGAAUUAGUCUAUUUGAGAUGGAUAGAAUACUGAAAAGUCAAGUUGGAGCUUAUGGUGAAAAAAAAGUACCAUAUUUUGAUAGAAAAGUAUGGAUUUCGAUUGCUUCAACACGAUAGAGAAUUAUAUACUUGCUAUGAAGACCAUUUUUAUUAUAGUAGAGUAGUUGAUCUAUUCAUAGAGAUUUCUUUUAGGAAACUGAUAGACUCACAGUAGGAUUCUGAUAUGAGUGAUUAUGACUUUGUUCUAGAAAUGGAAGAUGAUGAUCUGAUGAUGACUAUUAGGGUGGUCCAGGAAGUGAUAAUGGAGAGUUUUCACAAAAAGAAUCUGAUUAUGGUUAAAACUUUGAUGAUAAUGAUUUUAAGGAAACAGUUGAUCAAAAUUCAGAAUGGCUACGAGGACAAAAUCAGAGAGAGAAGUAAUUGAAGAGGGAUGAAAAUAGAAAGCAAUAUAAUAGAAUAGGAGAACAAUGGCUGGUAAUUCUGUUCUAUUGUUAAAAAUUUUGAAAUAAACGUAGCACCAGAUUCAGGUUCUAAUGCAGGAAGCCUGCAAGGGUCAAAUAAAGAAGAGUGUAGUAGACCCCCUAUAUUUAAUCCUAAGGAUAUAAAUAAUUCAAAACUGGUACUUGGAUAGACCUUUACCAACUUUAACAGGUGAAAGAUGCAAUUAAAAUUUGAAAUAUCAAAAGGGAGAGGUCGUAGAAAUUCAUAAAGUGUGACAGGAUUAGAAUUAUAGCCAACUGUCCUGUGAAAGGUUGUGAUUGGUGUAUAUAUGUUAGAAAGAUGAAGGGAACAUGUACUUUAGAAAUUAGAACCUUUCAAGAAAAGCAUAGGUGUGAUACUUCAUAUCAUAACUAAAGUGCAAAAUCUAGGUGGGUGGGAAAAAAUAUACUAAAUCAUUUAGAGAUAACCCUGGGCUUGAUUAUGUAAGUUUCAAAAAUCCAAUAAUGAAGGAGCAUAAGUGUUGUUUGAGUAGGCAUUAAAAGUAUAGAGCAAAGAGGAUUGCAAAUGACUUAGCCAAUGGCAAUAAUGUGGACAGUACAACAAUUUACCCAGGUAUAUUAAUGAGGUUAAGAGGAGUAAUCUAGGCAGCACAAUUAUCAUGAAGAUGGUAGAUGGUUAUUGUGAUGCAGUCACAAAGCAAGGAAAAUCUCAAAGGUUGUAUAUGUGUUAUGCAGGGGCAAAACUGUGGGUCUUGAAGGCUUGUAGGCCUUUGUUUGGUUUAGAUGGAACAUUUCUAAAGGUGUAGCUAGUAGUAUAUUUCUAUCAAUAGUUAGAGUUGAUCCUAAUAAUAGAUUUUACCCAAUUGCUUACACAGCCAUAGAGGGAUAAACCAAGAGCUUUUGGAUUUGGUUUUUGUCACUGUUGAGAGAGGAUUUGUAGAUUGAAAGGUACUAUGAGUGGACAAUUAUGAGUUACAAGCAAAAGGAAUCAUCCAAGCUUGUGAGACUGUGUUUCCAAAUGUUAAUAAUAGAUUUUGUGUUAAAAACUUGCAAUCUAAUUGGUCAGUUGUUAGAUUUAAGGAAAUGUCUCUGAGAAAGGCUUUGUGGAAGCUGCUAAGGCGAUCAUUGUCCCUCAAUUCAUAAGAAACAUGUAAGUAAUAGCAAAGCUUGAUCUUGAAGUUGCCAAGUGAUUGGAUGAGAAGAACUAAGUUGAAUGGAGUAAAUUACACUUUAGAACAUUUUCGACGUGUGAUAUGCUAGUCAACAACAUUUGUAAGUCAUUCAAUGAUAAAAAUCUUAGAUGCAAGGGAAGAGUCAAUUGUUAGGUUGAUGGAGUCCUUAACAGAUUGUGAUAUCUAGAAUGCAAAAAAAAAAUAGAGAUAGGGCCUAACAUAGAGUAAGCACAAAUAUGUCCAAAAAUUAGAAAAAAGUGAUUGAUAAUAUUGAAAAGGCAACUUACUAUGUUCCUCACAAAGCCAAUAUAUAUUAUGAAGUUUGGUGUCCAUAUGGAGAAAAGUGUGCAUUUAACAUUGAUAGAAUAUGCUUGUGAUAAAAUGGGACUUGAUAGGUAUACCAUGCUAUUUUAGCACUAUGGGUUGCAAUGAAGGACCCUAUGAAUUGUAUUGAUGAGUGUUAUAAUGUUGACACUUAUUUAAGUGUUAUGAGGGCUGCAUAUUGCCUGUGAAUAAAGAGCAUGACUAGCUAGAUGUGACUAUCAAACCACCACUACCAUCAUCUUUUGGAAAAGGACCAGAUAGACCCAAAAAAUAAGAAAAUAUGCUGAUGAGAUAAAGCAAACAAAAGAGAAUAGGAAGAAUGACAAAAGAGAAUAGGAAGAAUGAUAGAAGAUUUGGACAAAUCUUCAAGUACAUAUUUUGUGGUGAAAAGAGCAUAGCACUAGGACAUGCAAGAUGAGAAAGGAGGCAAUAAGUGCAACAAGUCAGAGCUGUGCAGUUGAAGACACUCAAUCAAAUUAGGACUUUUUCACAAAUUGCAGGUGGACUAUUUGAUGUACAUUGAAAAAGUGCAGUCUUAAGUGGAUAUUGCUAGUUUGAUUGACAUUCAUAUCAAUAUGUUACUACUAAUAUAUUAUAUUACUAGUUCAUAGUUUUGCAUUUCUAAUAAUGCUUAUGGUUUAUAUUUGUAAUUUCAAGUCACAGCCAUCAGUUCUAAUUCGAAAAAAACACGGCUAGAAAUCAACCAAGACACAUUCAAUAAUUAUUCUCACUUAUUUAUGAGUUGUUUGCUGCAUAGACAUUAUGUUGUUACUUAAUAAGGUAUUAUUUGUUCUUUAGGGAAAUGGCAAGAGAAUGCAUGAAAUGAGAGCAAACUCUUCUCAAAAUGCUUCUACCAAUAUUCAGGAUAACACAAAAUCCUCUACACCUACUGCUCAACCAAAUUUGAGAGAGAUUUUUGGUUUUCAGCAUACUAAUGUGGUACAUAGCAGUCAGCCAUCUCUAUCAACUAAUGCUUCUUUUCCUAUUAGAGAUAUUCAUGUCCAUCUUGAACUCUCAAGUACUACUGAUUGUAGAUGAGAGACACAUUCAUGAAACAAGUGAUUAUUCUGAUGUUGACUAUCAUAAUAUUGGAACAAGUUACUAGCUAUUGUAGUAUUUUUGGCCCUAAUUAUUCAGUUUUUGAUUAUUAUAGAGUUGGAACAGUGUUUGGUUGUUGUAGCCUUUUGUCCUUGAUAAUUGUGUUUUGACUAUUGUAGUGCUAAACAAAUGAUUUAGGUAGGAUUGUUUUAUCUUUCUGAAACUUGUAACUAAAUUUGGGCGGAAUUGGUCUAUCUUUUGACUAUGAAGUGUAAUGCUAUUCUAGUAAUUAAUGCAUAUGUUUGAUUUAUAAUGAAUUCUUGGCAUCAAUACAUCUAUUUGCUCUAGUAUAGUUUAUUUGAAUUGGGCAAUUGGUUCAGUUUGCUAGUGUUCUUGUAAUAGCCCCACCUCCCUUUAGGGCGAACCCAAGGGUUUGGUGGACCGCCUGCCUAACUCUUGCCAGAACUCAUGCACUCACUCGAACCAAAUCACGAUUUUCAAACCAAACAAUUUCUUAAAACCAAGAAAGUACUUGAAUAACAACAGCCACAAUUCUUAGGUAAUAGCGUUAACUAUUACAACCAUAAUAUUUCAAAUACAAAUGAAAUCUACAUUUUCAAAUGUCCAAAAGCCGUUCAGGGAAUCACACUAACUCUAGACAAAAGUUGACUAAUCUAGCGUCUCGAAUACUUCAUUUCAAAUUCUUGUUAAGGAAUAACAACUUAAAGGAUUGAACGGAUGCUCAAUGAGGCCAAGAUAUCAAGCAAGCAAGUAGAACAAGUACCAUAAUUCAACUCAAGUAGCACAUAUACAGAAUAGCAACAAUGGUUUCACGUAAAGCCACAAAAGGACUAAAACACAUUCAUUAAGAGGAUAUAGGACCUCUCAGGAGCUAAUCCACAAGCUUGCCAUUUCACGAUCUUGGGUGUCAUUUCUUUUGUUGACACUCCGUCAACCACGCAAAUAACAAGUCCGUAGAAUUUUAAAACACAUUCAUGAAUCCAGGUAAAUAAUGGUUUCAUGUAAAUAACAAGUCCGUUAACAAUAGUUUCAUGUAAAGGCACAAAAGGACUAAAACACAUUCAUUAAGAGGAUACAGGAGCUCUCAGGAGCUAAUUCAAAAGUUUGCCAUUUCACGAUCUUGGAUGUCAUUUCUUUUGUUGACACUCCGUCAACCAUGCAAAUAAUAAGUCCAUAGAAUUCACUUGACACGAAUCCCCAUCCACCGUUUUACCCCCAACCAGGUCCGAACGCGAAAUAGAAAUAGUGAUGGUAAUACUCGAGUAUAGCUAAACAAGAACAAGUAUGGUCGAUGAGAUAACACUCCAAUCGACUUAAUCAGGAUAAAAAUACUGAGACGGGAUGAGAGACACCUCCCACUCGAAUUGAGUAUGAUACAUGCUGCCGUUUAGCACUAGGGUCAACGAGAUAACUCUCCAAUCGAUUUAAUCAAGAUAAAAGUACUGAGACGGAAUGAGAGGUACCUCCCACUCAGAUUGAAUGUGGUACAUGCUGCCGCUCAACACUAGGGUCGACAAGAUAACUCCCCAAUCGACUUAAUCAGAAUAAAAAUACUGAUACGGGAUGAGAGGCACCUCCCACUCAGAUUGAGUGUGAUACAUGCUGCCGCUCAGUACUUACAAGUCGAGCACAACCACAACCACAAGUACAGGUUAAUCAAAUUCAAACAAGUACAAGAUCAUUCAAGAAGGAGAGGACGAGUGCGAUAAAAUACACCCUCACCUCAUCAAGUUUAGAAUUCAACACAUAACACGUGGUAUCAGUCUAAUCAAGAUAUUAAGAAACAUGCACUUGACACUCACCAGUUUAAGCAAAAUAACGUCAAAAGUUCGCCCCUCAGGUUAUGUCCUUGAUCACCAAAAAACUGAUAGGGUAUUAAUUGUUAGUAAUUUUAUCGUUAAUUCUCCUCUUUAUUCUUGCCAAAUAUUGUUUUAAUUGUCAAUAUAUAUUUAUAUUUGGUAUUUGGAUAUAAUUUCAGAAAAUGGAGCAGAAAAAUGCUAAAAAGGGGACAUUCUUGAGAAGAUUUCUCCACACGAGAAAGCUUCUAAAAGCUUUCCACAAUCAGCCCAAAUUGUGCAAACCAACGGAAUUGCUGAUGAAGAAUUGAAUUGAUAUGAUGAAAUCCACUAGCAAUAAGAAAUCAAAGCGGGACCACGUAGAAAGUUGAGGAAUUGCUUUAGACAUUUGGUUCCUCUUUUGGGAGAUGUAAUUGAUUAGCUAUGGCUGGCAUUUGAUCAGGAGAUUACUUUUCCAAUUGCUCCCUACGUAGCUAGUCCCUUAAGAGACUAGUGCUCCAAUAAAAUAAGAAGCACUAGAUUAGUGGGUUCAAGGAGAAAAGACUAUGAAAAAACUAUGAAGACUAAAGGCUUGCCUUAUAUAUAUCGGACGAUGGCAGAAGACAGGAGACUAGUAAGUCUUAGUUUUCUUUCCAGAGAAGCUCCGUAGCAGCUUAGAGGUAGUUUUUGGUUUUCAGAGAAGGAGUUCUUCCUUCUCUUGUUGUGUGGUGUGCAACUUUUCUUAAAAGAGUCUACCGAGACUCAAGUUUCUUCCUAAAUUCUUAGUUACUUAUUUAUGUCUAUGAAUUCAAUUGAAUUGCGUGGGAAUUUUCUUAUGAGGCGUGGCUAAUUUUCUCCUCUAGUCAAGGAUCAACGUGACGACGCAGUCCCAUAUAUCUGUGAGAUCUAAUUAAUUUACGUGUUCCUUAAUUUGUUAAUAUUUGCAUGUUUUCUGUUUUAAUUUCCAUGGGAUUAUUUUGUUAAUUGGAUAUCAAGGGCCCGAUGUGCAAUUUGACUUUUUAAUCUCUUGUCAAAUUAAUCAAUUACAUCCGUAAUUGUUUAGUUGGUUAAUAUUAGUGGCAACUAGUAUUUUCACAUACUAGGAGAACAUGCAAUCUGAUUUAAAUAACCCUCGUAGCGUGUUAUUAAUUUGGCUAGACUUUUCUAGUUUUUAAUACAAUUAGGAAAUUAAUUCCUACGGUCGUACCUAGGAGUAUUUCCUGAUUAGAGGUAAUCAACGGUCGUACCUUGGUUAUCAAUAAAUUAAGGAAAAACUGGUCGUUAGAGUUUAUCGGCGCUAUAACUAGCCUAUUAAUUAAAUUAAGUGAACCCCUGUGCAUCAAUGAUCGGAUGAAUGGACUGUGUCUGCGUAGUUGUAUCUUUGGUUAGAAUUUAUUUAAUUGCUAUUUACAAUUGUAUUAAUUAAUUAUAUUUUUUUGGUUAAAUUAUUUAAUUAUUUUUAGUUAAAUUGUUUAAUUAUUUAUUUUAUAUUUCAUUUUGAUAAAAAUCCCCCAUGUCUCGAAUUUAAAAAGAAUCGAAUUUUUUCCCAAUCCCUGUGGAUUCGACCCUGCUUACUACUAUACACAGAAAAUUUAUUUUUCUUAAGCAGGUAUUUAUUAUUGCACAGGCACGACUCCUGUCAAUUUUUGGCGCCGCGGGGACUGGCGUUAAUUAUUUGUUUUUUUAAGUUCAUUUUUGUUCAAAUUUUCUGGUAUUUUUCUAGUUUAUGCCUCGUUCUUCUCGUACAGGCGAAUUAAUUUUCGACCCUGAAGUAGAGAAGACCGCGCGUAGAACGAGGAAAGAAACCAGGCGGCUCAGAGAAGAGCAAUACGGUAUUGCACCUCAGGGACUUGAUCCAGAGGUUGAGCCGAUAAAUUUGUCUGGUGACAAUUCGAGUGAUUCAGACCAAGAGGAAGUCACUAUGGCAAAUGCACGAACACUAAGGGAGUUGGCUGCUCCUGAUUUAAAUCAGCAGCCCUUGUGCAUUACUUUUCCAAAUUUAAAUGAUGACACUCCCUUUGAACUAAAAUCUGGUCUAAUUCAUCUUUUGCCAUCUUUCCAUGGUCUACCAGGUGAGGAGCCCUACAAAACUUGCAAGAGUUCGACGUCGUUUGCAACAGUAUGAAACCUCCGGGAAUUACAGAAGAGCAAAUAAAGAUGAGGGCUUUCCCCUUCUCUUUGAAGGACUCCGCAAAAGACUGGCUUACUAUCUACCGCCUGGUAGUAUCACCACGUGGGAUCAAUUGAAGAAAAAAUUUCUGGACAAGUACUUUCCGGCGUCUCGAGCUGCGAGCCUAAGGAAAGAGAUAUGUGGUAUCAAACAACACCCAGCGAGUCUCCUAUGAGUACUGGGAGAGAUUUAAGAAACUGUGCACCAAAUGCCCUCAGCAUCAGAUAAGUGAGCAACUGCUCAUUCAAUAUUUCUAUGAGGGGUUGCUUUUCAGGGACAGAAGCAUAAUCGAUGCUGCAAGUGGAGGGGCGUUGGUGAACAAAACCCCUCGAGGAGCAUGGGAGUUGAUUGAAGGGAUGGCUGAGAACUCACAGCAGUUUGGUUCAAGAGAGGACAUCCCGACGCGUAGGGUGAAUGAGGUGGAAACGUCCUCUAUCCAACAGCAGAUCUCCGAAUUAACAUCUUUCGUAAGACAAUUAGCUGUGGGGAGUGCUUCACAAGUCAAAGUGUGUGGGGUGUGCACUGCCGUGGGUCAUCCUACGGAAAUGUGUCCACUGGUUCAAGAAGAAACUGCAGAACAGGUGAACAUGGCUGGCCACGCGCCCGCGCCAAGAAAGCAGUACGACCCGUACUCAAACACCUACAAUCCUGGUUGGAGGGAUCACCCCAACCUUAGCUAUGGAGGAAAUAGGCAGUCUAACUUUGUGCCAAAUAGACAGCAAGGACACCAACAGCAGUACCAUCCUCGCCCACCACCACCACCACCCCCUUCAAACUCAAGUCCGUCCAUGGAAGAGAUGAUGAAGCAAUUACUUGCUAAUCAACAAAAGACGGAUUCAGACCUGCAAAGCAUGAGAAAUCAACUGGGACAGGUGCAAUCAUUGCAAAAUCAAAUGAAUCAAAUGGCUAUAACAAUCAACCGUUUGGAGUCCCAAGUUCAAGGAAAGUUGCCAUCUCAACCUGAGGCAAAUCCAAAGAAUGUAAGUGCAAUGACCUUAAGGAGUGGCAAGGAAGUUCAAGGACCCGAACCGGUGAUUCCUAAAGACAAGGACGAGGAACGGAUUGAGAAAGAAUUGGAAGAGGAGGGCAGAGACAACAAAAAUGCAAAGGUACCCUCGAACCCAAUUCCUACAGCUAAAACUAAUCCACCUCCCUUUCCUAGCAGGUUAGAGAAACCAAAGAAGCAAGACAAGGAAAAAGAGGUCUGGAGAUCUUUCGCAAGGUGGAGAUCAACAUACCCCUACUGGAUGCGAUUAAACAAGUACCCAGGUACGCAAAAUUUUUGAGGGACCUGUGUGCCAACCGCAAGCGGUUGAAGGGGAUGAACGAGUUAUAGUUGGGGAGAAUGUUUCAGCAAUUCUACAAAGAAAGCUUCCACCGAAAUGCGGAGAUCCAGGUAUGUUUACUAUUCCUUGUAGGAUAGGUAAUACUUUGAUUGGAAAGGCCAUGUUAGACCUAGGAGCCUCGAUUAAUGUCAUGCCAAAGUCCAUUUAUGCUUCUUGAACUUAGGCCCUUUGAAAGAGACUGGGAUAAUAAUCCAAUUAGCUGACAGGACCAAUGCAUACCCUGACGGGUUGAUUGAAGAUGUUUUGGUAAAAAUUAAUGAAUUGGUUUUUCCAGCUGAUUUUUAUGUGCUCGACAUGGAGGAUGAACACUCCCGUGAUCCGUCACCUUUGUUGUUAGGUAGACCCUUUUUGAGCACAGCCCGAACCAAAAUUGAUGUUAAUAAGGGUACUUUGUCUAUGGAAUUUGAUGGUGAGAUUGUUCACUUUAACAUCUUUGAGACCAUGAAAUAUCCAUCCGAUUCAAAUGUUGGCUCUGUUUUCUCGGUAAAUGUUAUUGACCCUGCUAUACAGGAGGUUUUUGAAAUUGAAGGCAGGGAUGACUAGAGGUCGUUCUGACCAGGCACUUCGAGUCCGAAACGACCUCUGGAGUAGAGUUGAGUGAAGAGCUUAAAUGCGUGAUUGGAUCGUUGCAAACGUUACCAACCACGAAGACAAGGUAUGACCUCGCACCAUUUUAUACCUGAACCUCACAAAAGGUUACUUCCAUCUGUGGUGCAGGCACCUGUCUUGGAACUAAAACCACUGCCGAAACACCUAAAGUAUGUAUACUUAGGUGAAGGGGAGACACUUCCAGUGAUCAUCUCCGCGGGUUUAUCAAAGGUUCAAGAAGAGAAACUACUUCGAGUUCUUAGGGAACAUAAGCAGGCGAUAGGAUGGACCAUCGCCGACAUCAAGGGAAUUAGCCCGCGGUGUGUAUGCACCGAAUUCGACUCGAGGAGAAUGCUAAACCCGUACGGCAAGCUCAACGGAGAUUAAAUCCUCUCAUGAUGGAGGUCGUAAAGAAAGAGAUUUUAAAACUGCUGGACGUUGGAAUUAUAUUUGCAAUAUCAGAUAGCCCGUGGGUAAGUCCAGUACAGGUGGUCCCGAAGAAGGCAGGGGUGACAGUGGAAUCAAACCAAGAGGGUGAGCUCGUACCAAUUCGAAAGCCCACCGGAUGGCGACAGUGUAUCGAUUACCGAAAGCUAAAUGCCGUCACGAAAAAGGACCAUUUCCCCUCCCUUUCAUUGACCAAAUGGUGGAGCGAUUAGCAUGUCGAGCUUACUAUUGUUUCUUGGAUGGAUUUUCAGGUUAUUUUCAAAUUGCCAUCGCACCCGAGGACCAAGAGAAGACUACUUUCACCUGCCCAUUUGGAACAUUUGCAUACCGAAGGAUGCCAUUUGGAUUGUGUAAUGCACCUGCUACCUUCCAAAGAUGCAUGGUAAGUAUCUUUUCAGAAUAUGUUGAGAAGAUUAUUGAGGUUUUCAUGGACGAUUUCAGUGUAUAUGGUGAAAGUUUUGAAAACUGUCUAGAUAACCUGAAAUUGAUCUUAGUAAGGUGUAUAGAAACUAAUCUCGUGCUUAAUUGGGAAAAAUGUCAUUUUAUGGUUGAACACGGGAUAGUUUUGGGUCAUGUUGUAUCAUCUACAGGUAUUGAGGUUGAUAAGGCAAAAAUAGAUGUUAUAUCUACUUUACCUUACCCCGCGAGUGUGCGGGAAGUUCGUUCCUUCUUGGGUCACGCAGGUUUCUAUAGAAGGUUCAUCAAGGAUUUCUCGAAAAUUGGAGCACCCUUGUUCCAACUUUUGCAAAAAGAUGUAUCCUUCGAAUUUGAUGAAACAUGUAAGGGGGCAUUCAAUAAGUUAAAGGAGUUAUUGACCACCUCACCUAUUAUCCAACCCCCUGACUGGAACCUCCCAUUCGAGAUCAUGUGUGACGCCAGCGACUAUGCAGUGGUGCGGUAUUGGGUCAAAGAGUAGGAAAGGCAGCUCAUGCUAUCUACUACGCAUCUCGAGCCUUGAACGGAGCUCAAUUGAACUAUUCAACCACCGAAAAGGAGCUUUUAGCAGUUGUUUUUGCCUUAGAAAAUUUCGGUCUUAUUUACUUGGUGCUAAAGUUAUUAUUUUUUCUGAUCAUGCAGCUUUGCGGUAUCUGUUGACCAAGAAAGAGGCAAAACCGCGAUUGAUACGGUGGAUAUUGUUGUUACAAGAGUUCAACCUGGAGAUCCGAGAUAAGAAAGGGGCAGAGAACCUGGUAGCAGAUCACUUGAGUCGAGUACAAGUCGUCGAAGAGGACCUCCCAUUGAGAGAAGCAUUCCCGAGGAGCAUUUAUUUUCUAUUAAUUCAUCUUUGCCUUGGUAUGCAGAUAUUGUUAAUUUUCUAGUCACUGACAAAUUUCCUACAGGAUGGCCUAAGGCAAAGAGAGACAAGUUGAGGAGCGAUGCAAAGUUCUACAUUUGGGAUGAUCCUUACCUCUGGAAGCGGGGCGCGAUCAAAUCAUCCGUAGAUGUGUAAGUGAAGUUGAAUUUCAAUCUAUUCUAGCCUAUUGUCACUCUUUUGCAUGUGGAGGUCACUUUGGACCGAAGAGAACGGCUCGUAAGGUGCUAGAGAGUGGAUUCUAUUGGCCAACUCUAUUCAAGAUGCCUACUCAUUUUGUAAGUCAUGUGAUAAGUGUCAAAGAGUGGGUAAUAUCUCUCGUAGGGAUCAAAUGACUCAAACCCCAAUGAUUUUUGUUGAAAUUUUUGACGUUUGGGGCAUUGAUUUUAUGGGUCCUUUUCCUUCGUCCUUUGGUUUUUUGUAUAUAUUGCUUGCUGUAGAUUAUGUUUCGAAGUGGGUAGAAGCAAAGGCCACCCGCACUAAUGAUUCCAAAGUGGUUGCAGAAUUCGUUAAGUCUAAUAUUUUUGUUCGCUUUGGGAUGCCGCGAGCAAUUGUAAGUGAUCGGGGUACUCAUUUCUGCAACAAAACGAUCGCUGCAAUUUUUAGGAGAUAUGGUGUCUUGCACAAAGUCUCUACAUCCUACCAUCCUCAGACAAAUGGUCAGGCGGAAGCAUCGAACCGAGAGAUCAAAUCAAUUCUAGAAAAGAUGGUCCGACCCGAUAGGAAGGAUUGGAGUGUGAGACUAGAGGAUGCACUAUGGGCAUAUAGGACGGCAUACAAGACACCAUUGGCAUGUCCCCUUACCGAUUGGUAUUUGGAAAGCCAUGUCAUCUCCCGGUAGAGUUUGAGCAUAGAGCGUUUUGGGCGGUCAAGCAAUGCAAUAUGGAUAUCGAGGAAGGCGGAAUUCAAAGGAAGUUGCAAUUACAAGAGUUGGAAGAAAUCCGAAAUGAAGCAUACGAGAAUGCAGUGAUCUAUAAAGAGAAGAAUCGGAUCUUUCAUGACCAACAGAUCUCUAGGAAGACAUUCGUCUGCGGGCAAAAAGUUUUACUAUACCACUCCAAAUUGAAACUAUUUCCAGGUAAAUUACGUUCUCGUUGGAUUGGCCCUUUUGUUGUGACUAAUGUCUUUCAUUAUGGUGCAGUAGAGAUCCAAAGUUUGAAAACGGAGAAGAAAUUUGUGGUGAAUGGUCACCGUCUCAAGCCGUAUUAUGAAGGAUUUCCAUUGACGGGUGGAGAUGAUGCAACUGGAGACCCGAUUUGCUUAGUUUAAGCAAAUUCUGGACUCCGUCUAGCCAAAGACAUUAAAGAAAGGCGCUAGUUUGGGAGGCAACCCAAAUAUUAGUUUUGUUAUUUCUAGUUGUUUUGUUCUUUCUAGUUGGUUCUUUUGCAUUGGGUCAUUUACUCGUUGGGUAGUAUCAGUACUCAUAUUUCCUUUACUGAAAUCAGGAAGUGAGAUCUUGGCGUGCCCACGCGGUGUUUGACGACCUAAAAAAAAAAAAAAUCCUUCUUUUUCUUCUUUUCUUUUUCUUUCUUCUUUCUUUCUUUCUUUCUUCUUUCCCUGCUUUCCCCUUUUCUCUGGUUCCUUCAACCAGAGCCGCCGCCGCCCCAGGUCUCCUCCCUUCCUCCUGCUCCACCGACGCCAUCGCCGCUCCUCGCGCGCCACCUGGAGCCCGUCGCUCCCUCGCGCGCGCUACCCCAACCCGUCGCCUACCACCCGCAGUCGCUGAGCACCACCAGAUCUAGCUGCCGCAAACUCUUCUCUCUCACAUCCACCACCUUCAUCGCACCACUGGCUUCGUAUGCACGCGUCUGCUUCAAUCUCUUUUUAUUAUUUUUUUUAUUUUCUUAUUUUAUUAUUGCAGCAUGUUUUUAUUAUUUUUAUUACAGUACAUUUUUGAAAGUUUUGCGUGUUUGGACUACCUGACAUUUCUAUUCCUCCUUAGUUGGGUACUUCUGUGUUACUUUGCUUGUUUCUUUUUACUUUGCUUGAUUUUUAUUUAUUUAGUAGAUUGAUUUGUGGUUAGUCGUGUGAUUUACUUAUUCCUUAUGCGUGCACCGAUGAUACUAGUUUAGGGUGUUUUGCAUAUCUUUAUUGAUUUUACUUCGACACCUGUCAUUAUAUAUAUAUAUAUAUAUAUAUAUAUAUAUUUUAGGUCGAAUUGUGUUUAAAUUGCUGUAAUUUGUGUCCAAUUGUGGGUAAUUUGCUGAGAUUGUUUGUUAAAUUAGGAGGUGCUUGUAAUGCUUAAAUUUGCUUAUUGAAGUAGAUUGUCUCUAAUUGCCUUGUGUGAGAGUCUUUGGUCUUUUCCAUUUCAAUUAUUACAUUGAUUGGGGUGAUUUUGAGGUGCAUUGUUAUUGCAUUUGGCUAAGUUUGGAACCACAAGAGCUUAUUGAUUGCAUUUACUAUAAGUGUUGAGAUAUUUGUAUAACAUGUGGGUGAUUGAAGUGUGCAUUUUGUUGUUUAAAUUAACUAAGCGAGAGGCCCCAAUAUUUAUUACAAUUGUUAUUACAAUUUGUUGGAAAUGGUUGUCUAUUGUUCAUUGGAGUGAUAUUUGGAGAAAAUGGUGAGACUCAAAUCAACCCCAAGGGCUAAUCCACCGAUGUCUUGACGAUUUCAGGGGAGUUUCGUUGCCCUUCUUCUUACUUUUUCUAUAUAUUUGUUACAUUGAGGGCAAUGUAUAUUUUAAGUGUGGGGGAAUGAUUUGGAUUUAAUUGGAGUUUCUUUAAAUUGUUGCUUUUCUUAUUGUUGUCUUGAUGAAUAAAUGUGGCAACUCACUCUUCUAUUGCUGGUUGUGAUUUAUCCUAUGAAUUUUGUUUAGAUGGCAAGUAAACGCAUGUUAUCUUGGUGAAUAUCAUGAGUUUAAUGACUUGGUGCAAAUUGUGGUUAACUUGUUUAGGCAAUAUAAAUAUUUUAUUAGCAAUUGUUGUAUGGAUUGGGCAAUUGUUGAUCUUAGUUCUCCAUAUUAGGAGAUGACGUGGGCCAUGAUCUUUUUAUCUGGCAUUCUGGUACUUUAAUUGUGAUUAAUAAAUGACUCUACUCCGCUAGUGCCGUCACCCAGUAACCGGGAGUCUUCACCACAAGUGUCGACUUUCGCGUCAAAAAGUGGCGAUAUCUAUGAGUAGUUAGUCCUGAAGCUGUGAAAAGUUGAGUAAUUGGGUUCUUUCAUCUAAAAAUGUCAGAGUUCACGUCAAAAGACUUGAAUAGCUUGGGACUAAACAUUUAUUAAAAAAAAAAAAGAAAAAGAAAAUAAUGCAUAAGCUUAUGAUCAUGUUGGCCUGCCGAUCCUUGUUCUUCAAUGUUGAGAUUUUGGUUUUCAGUUGACCAAAUUGCUAACUUUUGCUAGUUUAAUAUUUUGAUUUCUUAGACGAGUUAGCUAUGAAUUGGACGAGUCUGCGAUUUCAGGAGCUAACCAGGAGAAAUAUGUCUUGACACUUAGCCACAAAAACUUGAUUUUGGGAUAAGCGCAGCUUGGCAGUAAAUGAAAUGAGAGUUAGCCAUUGUUGAGUUUAGUGUUCCCAUACUUGAGGGCAAGCAUGAUUUAAGUGUGGGGGAAUUGAUAGGGUAUUAAUUGUUAGUAAUUUUAUCGUUAAUUCUCCUCUUUAUUCUUGCCAAAUAUUGUUUUAAUUGUCAAUAUAUAUUUAUAUUUGGUAUUUGGAUAUAAUUUCAGAAAAUGGAGCAGAAAAAUGCUAAAAAGGGGACAUUCUUGAGAAGAUUUCUCCACACGAGAAAGCUUCUAAAAGCUUUCCACAAUCAGCCCAAAUUGUGCAAACCAACGGAAUUGCUGAUGAAGAAUUGAAUUGAUAUGAUGAAAUCCACUAGCAAUAAGAAAUCAAAGCGGGGACCACGUAGAAAGUUGAGGAAUUGCUUUAGACAUUUGGUUCCUCUUUUGGGAGAUGUAAUUGAUUAGCUAUGGCUGGCAUUUGAUCAGGAGAUUACUUUUCCAAUUGCUCCCUACGUAGCUAGUCCCUUAAGAGACUAGUGCUCCAAUAAAAUAAGAAGGCACUAGAUUAGUGGGCUCAAGGAGAAAAGACUAUGAAAAAGCUAUGAAGACUAAAGGCUUGCCUUAUAUAUAUCGGACGAUGGCAGAAGACAGGAGACUAGUAAGUUUUAGUUUUCUUUCCAGAGAAGCUCCGUAGCAGCUUAGAGGUAGUUUUUGGUUUUCAGAGAAGGAGUUCUUCCUUCUCUUGUUGUGUGGUGUGCAACUUUUCUUAAAAGAGUCUACCGAGAUUCAAGUUUCUUCCUAAAUUCUUAGUUACUUAUUUAUGUCUAUGAAUUCAAUUGAAUUGCGUGGGAAUUUUCUUAUGAGGCGUGGCUAAUUUUCUCCUCUAGUCAAGGAUCAACGCGACGACGCAGUCCCAUAUAUCUGUGAGAUCUAAUUAAUUUUACGUGUUCCUUAAUUUGUUAAUAUUUGCAUGUUUUCUGUUUUAAUUUCCAUGGGAUUAUUUUGUUAAUUGGAUAUCAAGGGCCCGAUGUGCAAUUUGACUUUUUAAUCUCUUGUCAAAUUAAUCAAUUAAAUCCGUAAUUGUUUAGUUGGUUAAUAUUAGUGGCAACUAGUAUUUUCACAUACUAGGAGAACAUGCAAUCUGAUUUAAAUAACCCUCGUAGCGUGUUAUUAAUUUGGGCUAGGCUUUUCUUUUUUAAUGCAAUUAGGAAAUUAAUUCCUACGGUCGUACCUAGGAGUAUUUCCUGGUUAGAGGUAAUCAACGGUCGUACCUUGGUUAUCAAUAAAUUAAGGAAAAACUGGUCGUUAGAGUUUAUCGGGCUAUAACUAGCCUAUUAAUUAAAUUAAGUGAACCCCUGUGCAUCAAUGAUCGGAUGAAUGGACUGUGUCUGCGUAGUUGUAUCCUUGGCUAGAAUUUAUUUAAUUGCUAUUUACAAUUGUAUUAAUUAAUUAUUUUUUUCGGUUAAAUUAUUUAAUUGUUUUUAGUUAAAUUGUUUAAUUAUUUAUUUUAUAUUUCAUUUUGAUAAAAAUCCCCCAUGUCUCGAAUUUAAAAAGAAUCGAAUUUUUUCCCAGUCCCUGUGGAUUCGACCCUGCUUACUACUAUACACAGAAAAUUUAUUUUUCUUAAGCAGGUAUUUAUUAUUGCACAGGCACGACUCCUGUCAAUUUUUAAACCUUAAGAACAACCAAGAUAAAGUAUAAUAGUUCAACCAUUCAAAACUUAGGUGAACCAAAUCCAAAUAACUACUAGUGCAAUGAUGUAAAUAUGGUUUUUGAGUGAAAAGAAAACAUUUAGAUCCAAGGGGCAUGAGUAACCAAGAAUUUCCUCAUUCCAAUCAUAAAACCAAACUCAAAAUGGUUUAACAACUCCAACUUAAAGUUGGAAAUGAAAGUAAGGACAGUUUUAGAAAAAUCAUAUCUCAAGUUUUUUAAGUCUAAAAUUUAUAAACUUUAUAUCGUUGGAAAAUAGAUUCAAAGGGUUACAAUUUCUUUGAAAACACCUUUGCAAGAUUCUAUCCAUAAGUCAGUCAAAAUCUAAUCUCAAGCGGCUGCUUUAUCCAAUAGAAAGACUAAACAUGAAUAGAAAUUCGGUCAAUUUUGGAAAUCAUAGAUAUUCAUAGGAAUUGAGAAAAAUUUUGAAAUUUUCACGGUAGAAAUUACUCUGAAUCUAUUUUCAAACGCAAUAAGCAGAAAUUAAUUUGGAUAUUUUUACACCAAGAUAUGAUAGAUUUUCCAAGACUACUUAGAGCCUCCUACGGGAAAAAUUUCAGCAGCACUUCCCCUUAUUUUUCUUAAUUUUCAGCCAUUUUCAAGGCUUCAUUCUCAUCACAAAACAGCCUCAAAUCAAGCAUAUACAUACCAGGCCAACAACUCACUAAAUCAAGCAUACACAUAGAAUAUAAUCAUCACCUACUCAAGCUAGAAAAAUUAAAUCCUGUGUUGAAAUUCAUAACCACAAGUUGAAAAUUUCUAUUAUAAAGCCAAACAAGCAUUGGAAAGCUGGAAAAUCAUAUGCUAAUGCUAAUAAAUCAUAACAUAACUGAAAUGAACUCAUUAAAGCUGGAAAUCCUCAAUCAAAUCUAGAAAUUUUGAUCCACCACAUGAACCAUAAAAUUUUUCAUAAACACUGUGAGAACUCGAAAAAUUAUGUGUACACUUUGAACUUAUUUCAUUACAUUUAAUCUGUUAUUAGAAAUAUUAUAUGUAACAAAUGAAUGGUUAAAUUAAAUGCAUAAUGGAAUUCCUAUAAAUUUAAAAUUUAGGAAAAAUAAAAUAAAAAAUAAUAAUAAUGAUGAAGAUAAAAAUAUAUAUAUAUGUAUAUCAAUAAACAAAUUAUAGAAUGGUGUAGAAAAGUUUAGGUAAUCAAAUAAACAUGUGAUAUGCAUAUUGUAAUUUGAACCAUUUGAAUAUAUUAUAUAGUUGAAUAAGUUACAUGACUAAUUAAUUUUCCUUAAAGUUAAAUGUGUGGAAAUCUAUUAGAUCGAUAAGCAAAUUUUUCAAGGUACAUACAAAUUAGAAUAAAUGAAAUUUGGAGUCAAUGUAUGAGACAAUAAAAUUUCGGACUCAUGGCAAACAAAUGAACUAAAAUUAAAAGACCAAACCAACCUUAAACUUCUGACUAACUACCAUGCGACCUAAGGAAGAAUUAGAGAAAAUAGACACCAAAGCUACUAAGCAUAAACUGUGGAGUGAGGACUUGAAUUGGAGUUGGUAGGCGGAAGAACCGAGGGAAGCAUCUUAUAUGUUCUUGUCUGCCAUUUUCCACCGAAAAGAAAUAACCUGAGCAUUCUUAAACAAUAAGGCCGAGAGAUAAAUAAGGGAGAGAGCCAAGGGAGUCAAGAAAAUUUUAUCUUCCUGAGAGAAAGACUUGAGAAAGAGAGAAAACAAAGAGUGAGACAGACAGCUUUCUUCCUUUCUUGCUUCGUACAAAAACGGGAGCGAGAGUGAGUGAGACUGAGUGUGAGGAAAAAGAGUUUGCGAGCUUCACCAUCAGCUAACCAAGAAAAUUAUACAAACGAAGGCAAGGGAACCGAGAGGUCGAGUGAUAGGACCUGAGGAGUUGGAAUAGCAAUCUGAGCAGUCUGCAACAUUAAACUUUAGGAGGAAGAGGUAAACGUUAUAAUAAUUCUCUGUUUGGUUGGUUUAAUUAGUUAACAUGAGCUAUAUAUGCUGAGCUUAGUUAGGAAUUUAGCUUCUAGUUCAAGGAAGUUUCUUGCAGAAACUGUGAAACUGCAGGAAAAAAAAGAAAUUGCAGAAUCUGAGUUAAAGCUGGAAUUUGCUACUGUUAAUAGCAUUUCUUAAGAGGUGCAUGUAACAGAUUUAUCUUCAGUUUAUAAGGUGAAAUAUAGCCAUAGAAACUUGUAAAAGUUGGAACCGUGAGCUGGAAUAACUAAGUGUAAUUUAUUAAACUACUGUCAGUUUCAUCAGAAAAGGGAAAUGGAGAAUUUUGGUUGAUUUUCAUGAAUAAUAGCUCUAAAAUAUCCUGUGUUAACCUGUAAAGUGUGCAUGGCAUCUUGACUGCUUCACGCAUGAGGAGGUGAGCAUGAAAUGAGAGAAUUGAAUUCGAAGGGAGUCUGAUGCAGGCUGACAUGCAUCAGAUUUUGCUGCUAAGCUCAAGCAUGAGACUUAGUCAAGCUUUUCCUCUGAAGUCUGAUCAUAAAUAGCCAUACUUCAUCUCGGAUAAUUUGUAGUGGAUCAAUAUACUCUGUACGAGUAGCUGGAAUACAAAAUUGAAGAGAAACAAAAGGGAAAACUCAGCUGCUAAGUCACUGCCUGUUGCAAUCUGUUAGCUUCGACUGAGCAGAACUGAUAGAAAGCUCUAGAUAUCCCCUGCAACCCUUAGCUUCUAAACUUGUGUAGCAAGCUGUAGCAUGCCAUAAAGUCCUUAAACUUCAACAAGUGAGACAGAAACAAGCAGAACUAAUGAACUCAACUGACUGCAGGUGGCUUGGCUGCGGGAAUGAAACAGGUUACAUAACCUGUUGUUACUGCUUCUGAAACCUUACUAACGAAUACAUGAAAGACAUGUUAACUCUUUACCUUAACAGAUAGGUGCCCUGGAAAUUAGAAAACUUCUGGAAGCUUAACUUAAAUUUGAUAAAAAGGAAGCUGAUGCAACCUGCUGUGAAUCUGAGAGGGAGGAAAUUAACUUUGGAAGGGAUAGCUGCCAACCCUGUAAACUUCCACAGGUAGAACUGAGGUUGCCCUGUGGUUUAGUAGCUACGUUUAGCAUCAUGAGUAAGGUUACACUAAGGCAAAUGAGAGGAAAACUAUGAAAAGUACUGCGAGACUACCUUAUGGCCGAGAGAAAGAAGAAAGACUUGAUCAGUUCUUUCUCUUAGUUAACUGCAAAACUUUCCACAUUCUGUACAAGGCUUCUUGGUAGCUUAAUGAAUGUAGUUAACUUAGCUAGUUGGGAAUGUAGUUAACUUAGCUAGUUGGGACAAGAGAUUGAAAGAAAGGAUUUAGGGGAAACAAUAAAUGCCGAACUGUAUAUAUUGCUAGAACUCAGCUAACAUAGUAAUGAAGUGAACCCCUAUAAUAUUUUGGAACGCUAAACCAACUUAACAUAAUUAGAUACAUAAAACUGUUGCUAAUCACUUAAUCCCUUCCAUGAAUAUUUUAAAGACUAUAAAAUUUGAGGGGCUGGUGUAGUGGAAUGAAAUUUAAUUUACAAAUAACUAGAGUUUAAUUUAAAAGGGAACCAAUGGAGUACUCAUAAGCUUUAAUCUUAGAAUCUUGGGUGGAAAAUGAUUUAAUCCUAAUGUAAAUAUUUUAUAAAUUAUAAACUUGGAAAAUACGUAUAUUUCUUGGUUUAAAAUGAUAAAAUCAAUAAGUCUCGAAAUGAAAUAUGGAAUAAAUACUGAUUUUAUAUUUUAUAUUUUAAAGUCAAACUUGAUUUUAAUACUUAAAUAAUAGGAUAAUAAAUAAUAAGUGAACAUCUACAAAUUAUAUAUUUACUUUGGAAUUAUGAACUUGUCUCAGGAAGUAGCUAUGAGUCAGGAAACGAACCUGAGGGUCGAGAAUAAUUUAUUUGGGUAUUUGGUGAGUGUUUCCGAAUUUAUGUGUUUAACUGUUUAUGUGUAAUUAAGUGCAAUUAUGUGACAAAUGUACUUAUUAUGAAAUAUUACUGAGUGAUUUAUUGUAAAGUGUAUCUCAAUUGUCCAUCGCCUUCUAAAUUGGAAGUGUACUUUAUCGCACUCGGCUUAGUUGAGAUUGAAGGUUGAUAAUUGAUCAAGUGAUAUUGUAAGUGUGUAUGACUGUAAGCCGUGUGUGUAUUUUAUCACACUGGCUGAACUGGCCCCCAAAACCCUCUGUUCAAUGGACUAUUCGAGCCAGCAAAGGGCUUGGUUGGUAGGACGGUAGCUUUGGGUAAAUGUUUCGGUAUACUCGAGUAUUACCAUGAGGUUGGGAGAUUAUUGAACUGAUUAUUGAAUGUUGGGGAUUGUUUAUUGUUUUGGAGGACAUAAUGAGGUGAAUUGGCGGAAUGUGCAAUGACAUUGAAAUGAAUGUGCAAUGACAGUGAAAUGAGUGUCUCUUGGCACUGAAAUGAAUGCUCAAUGACGUUGAAAUGGCUCUAAUGAGAGCAUCAUAUCCUUUUAAAAGUUAUUGUUUAGUGAAGUGUUUCCUCAAUUGCUUAAUGAAAGUGAUUGUAUAGUGAAAUGUUUAUUACUUGCUUAAUUGUAUUGAUUUAAGUGUUAUUAAAAGUUACUUGCUCAGCAAACCUCACUGAACUUUAGCUCAGUUCUUUAGUUUUGUUUUUCUUACAGGAAUUGGUGGUCGGGGAACGAACGAGGGAUUUUAGGGAGUUAACGUGAACUUUUGUGAUUGUAAAUCCUUUAGUUUCAUAUUAUGGUUAAAACUUUUGUAUUGAAAUUGGUAUUGUAAAAUAUUGGAGCGUUUGGUUUUGGUUUAUCAAAAUGUUAUCUCUGAACUUAAUGUAAGUGUGUGAGUCCUGACGAGAGUCAGACAGACGAUCCACUAACUUUUAGGGUAUGUCAUAGGAGAAGGUAGGGUUGUCACAAAUACCACCAUAAUUUAACCCUUAAAUCUACUCAAAAGCAAGUUAAAUGACAAGAGAUGGUUUCUAGACUUUGUUACCUUGAAACCCAAAGAAGACCAAGCAGUCACAAGCUUCUUCCUCAAAAAACUCUCCGCCAAAAUUCCUCCUCCUACCUCAAAUUUAGCUUUUAUGGAUUGAUUUGCAAGGUUAAGGUGAAAACUCAAGGAUCAAUCAAGGUUUUUUUUUUUUUUUUUUGUUGGAAAUGGAGUUUUCUUUCUUUCUUUUCUUGCUUAUGAAGGUCAGCCAAGAGAGGGGAGAAGAUGAUAGGAUUUUUGGUCAAUUUUUGGUUAAUAAAAGGUUAAGAAAGGUUUUAGUCAAAGUCAAUGGUCCAAGGCUUUUGUGACAAAUGGUUUGCCAUGUUAAUCUUGUUGUCUUCCAAUCACUAAAAUAUCUAGCUAACCUCUAAUUAUCCCCUAACACCUUAUAAAAUAAUAUCCCUUUGCACAAAACUCCUCUUAAUCUUCAAAAAUUUACCGUACAUACCGCGUUAGUGGGUCCUACUACUAUAAUGCACUACGAAUUUAACAUGCACUAACUUACACAUAGAAAAUGAUUUAAAACUUGACCCACUUAUAAAAAUAUAUGAGAAAUUAAGGAAAUAAAGUAAAGUAAAGAAAAUGUAUUCAAAGAAAUAAGAUAAAAUAAAAUAAAUUUCAGGUCCUCACAGUUCUAAUCUAGCAUUUAUUCCAACAAGUCAAGUCUUGACCAUUGCAAUUUGACGUUGAUAACAACAAAAACAAAUUUUUGCCACAAAAUUCACUAAAGAAAAUCAGCCAAAUGUCAAUCAUUUCUACAUCAAAAUAUAUUCUCCCAAUUCAUUAGUAGGUACAAAAUAUAUUGGCCUUGUAUUACAUUCCAUCCACAUCCAUCCACAUCAAAUAAAAAUUCAAAAUUGUGAAUGAAUCUAUUAAUAACCAUAACUUAGCCUACUGCUACACAGCAGUACAUCAACAACUUGGCUAACAUUUUUUCUUUCUUUCUUUCGUUAUACCUCACUAUAUCUCUACACUAGAAAAAUAAUCAAUAACAACAGGGACAACACUUCAAUUGCAAACACUAAUUUCAUGCUUCUUAAAAGAAUUUCAUGCUUCUUAAUAGACCUAGAAUUAGGGUAAUAGGUCUUUGGCACAUGAUUGGAUUAUGCCACUCAAAAUAGUUGCAACCUUGACCACCGCCUCUUUGCCCCUUCUUAAUCAACAAACAGAGAAAAUUAAAAGGAGCCUAAAUACAGUAAAAUCUCUAUAAAUUAAUAACCUUGGAACCGUGCAAAUUCUAUUAAUUUAAAGAGAUAUUAAUUAAUUGAUAAAUUAAUAAUAUAUUAAUUUAUGGAGUAUACUUGCAAUUUAAAGAAACACUCAUUUAAUUAAUUAAAAUUUUAUUUUAUUUUAUAAAAUAGGAAUUAUUCUAUUAAUAAAAGGAGACUAAAAAUCUAAGGAAUAUAAACUAAUCCAUAUCUAAUUAAUUUGCAAGUAAAAUGUAUGUAAAUAUUUUCAAUGUAUGUACGCAACUAAUUUCAUUUUUCUAUUACUAAGAGGUAAAAAAGACUUCCAUUUUAUUAAAUUCAUACAAUAAAUCAGAUUAACAAUAUUAUGUCUAUAAAUGAUAAGGAAGUGUUCUUAUAAUAAACAAAUACAAAAUCUUCUUACUUAUCUCAUUGUUAAACUAUGACUUCCAAUUUAAUAUGUAUCAUAAAUCAACAAUAGACUCUUAUUUUAUGAUAUGUUAUUUUAGUGAAUUAUUAAUUUAUGUUGUGAAUGGGACCAAAGGGUUAUGUGAGGUUUUCUAAAAAUAAUUAGUAUCUUGUUAUUUUGUCAAAAUUAUUAAUUUAGCUCAUUAGCCUAAGUUGGGACCGUGAAAAAUUACUAUUUAAUAGAGAUUAUUAAUUUAUCAAAUAUUAAUUUAUAAAGAUUUUACUGUACAAAAUUAAACUUCAUAACCACAAAAAUAGAGAAAAAUCCAUAUCUUGAUGGCGCAAGAGAAGUACUGCCUCUCUGAGCUGUUGCUUGUCCAUGAUGUAAUUAGGGGUGGUAAUGGGCGGGGGUGGGGCGGGGGUGGGGCAGGGGAUCCUUCCCCCGUCCCUCGCCCCCGACUUCCCCCACCCCGCUUCUCGCGGGGUUAAAAAAAAUUUAUUAUAUAAUUUAUUAUAAUUAAAUUUGAGCAAAUAAUCAAGUACUAAAAUAUCAACACAUCACUAAAUUAUUAUUCAUUAUAAUUUCACAAUUGAAACUUAUAAAAAUAAUUAAACAAAAGUUAUUUGAAUACAAUAUAAUAUGAUAAAAAAAAUAUAACUAAAAUAAUCAAGUUUUUACUUUUGAUACAAAUACAAUCACUAAAUUAUUAUUGUGUUUUUUAAGAAAAAAAGUGUUAUUGUAUUAAGUGUAGUUAGGAAUUUAAUAUAAAUGUAUUAAUAAAUUUAAUAUAAAUAAUUAAUAAUUUUUAUUAAUAAACAUGUAUAAUUAGUAGUACAAUUGAUAAUAUCAUUAUAUAUAUAAUUAUGUACAUAUAUAUAUAAUAUAUAUAUAUAUAUUGUUUCAAACGAGUGGCGCGGGCGGGAGUUGGGGUGGGGGAAUAUACCCUGUCCCCACCCCCGCCCCAAUAGUCCCUGCGGGGCGGGUGCCCGGCACCCCUAGAUGUAAUCAUUGUUGCUAGUCUACCGCACAAGCAAAUUUUUUUGGUACCAUGAGUUCAAUUUUUGCUGCUAUAGGUACAGAUUUUUGCCCUAAUUAAGAAAUAAGAAAUAGUAAAAUCUACUACAAAUCUAAAGAAGAAACAGUGAACAAGGAACCGAUUUUAUGGAAAAGCAUCGUAUAUUUUGCUUUAGUCGUAGGGUAGAGGUUUUUGCAUGAGAUGUGGUGAGAAACUUGAUUGAGGGGGAGUUUGGCUGCAAUGGAGCUUUAUUCUCAUUUUAUUGGGUUUAUCAACCAAUCAUUUUUUUUUUCCAGAUAUUAGUAUAUUUUAGCCUCACUAAUUAACAGGAGGUAAAAAGCAAAUAGAAUAGUUAAAUUUUGGAUGGGAUUUUUGAUUAAAAAAAGAGAAACAGCUGUUAAGUGAAGUCACGUGACCGCACGUGCGAUGAUUCUGUUAGAAAAUUGUACGAAAUCUGUCAAUUGUCCAAUUUCACAAAAAUUUGGAUGGAAUGGGAACUGUAUUUGCAUUUAUGAAUUGAUUGGGGAUCAUAUUCGCAAAUGGGCUAUAGACUGGGAGCUAAAACUCCAAUUCGUCAUAAUAAAAUCUCGCAUAACACAUACAUGUAUCCAUUAAUAAAAUAAAUGUGGGUGCUUCAAAAAUAAAAUAAAAUAAACGUAGGAAAUAUGAAAUAAAAGAAAUUUAGUUUUGGAAUCAAAUUCGUGCCACCUAAGUAUUUCGAAAUCGAGUUCGACCGCAAUAUUCCUGUCGUAGUUCUCAAUUCAAAAAUUUAGUCAGAUGAGGCCAAAGUAAGGACCAAAUAUCUCAUAAGCAAACCUGAAAAGAUUAAAAUUAAAAUUCAGACGGAUACCAAAAUCAAGGGACCAAAUUGAUAAUUAUACCAAAAUAAUUUUCCCAUUCUGUUAACAAGAGUCUUCUUCCCGAUGUGGAUACUUCGUCAACUGUUCAACUUCAAAUUUCAUGCUUUUUUCCGGUAAUAAUAAUAAAAGUCUCUCAAGUCUCAACUAAGCUCAAAAAAUAAUACUCGCCGGAAAAGAAAUUAAACGGACAAGAUGCUCCGGCGGGCCAAAUCUCCGAUGAUCUUUAUCAGCAUCUCGACAAGAGCUGCUGUUUUCUUCUCUUGCUUCUUAGCAGUGGCGGCUGCCGUGAUGGGCAUCAAGAGCAGACGAACCAGUUCGCUGGAGCGAUCGAGAAUGGAAAAGUAUUAAACCUUGAUGAAUCGAACUUCGAUGCCGCUAUUGCAACCUUCGAUUACAUCUUCGUCGAUUUCUACGCCCCUUGGUGUGGCCACUGCAAGCGUCUUGCACCGGAGGUGAAUGUUUUUGUCCUUAUUACUGGCAUUCUUUUUGGUGAAUUUUACGUUAUUGCGGUAAUUGAAUGUGCUUAAACUAGUAUUUAGCAGCACUGAGUACAUUCAAAUUAGAGUUUUACAAAAUCUAAUGCAAUUCGAAGUAUGAAACUUUCAAUUUUGUGCCUAGGUUUCAUAUACACUAGUUAGAAAUGCGUAUUCCUUAAUUUUUGAUAUAUUUUUAUAUGUAAUGAAGAAAUUGAGAAGAAAAAAGUGGAUAAGGUGGAAAUUUUGUUAGCCUAGGAAAUGGAAGUCAAUUAGUAGUAGUCACAGUUUUCUCUGUAGGCGUUUUUGGAAUUGAAAGACUGAUAUUGAACUGAAAGGAGCUGCUCUCGAGCUUUAUGCAUGGUUCAAUAAGGUUUUUGAAUCAAGUGGUUUAUUGGAACUAAUGACAAGUCUCCUUCUUUGUUUUUAUUUUUGUGUUAUAAUUAGUGUGGUACCUACUGACAAAUUCUAAUGUUGCAUCGCAGUUAGAAAAAGCUGCCCCUGUUCUUGCUCGAUUGAAGCAGCCUAUUGUUGUUGCGAAAGUUGAUGCUGACAAAUACCGAAAACUUGCUUCUAAGCACGACAUUGAGUAUGUUAUAGUAAUCUUACGGGGAAAUUUUUUUAUUAAGCACACGUCUUGACACUUAAUUUGCAGAAAAGGUACUUUUUGUCUAUUUACUGUAAAAACAUCUAUACUAACUUUUAUGCAAAAUACACUUCUUUUGUUCAUUUAACAAUGCAUUCAAUACAAAAAUAAGUGCAAAUACCAUGUGUAAUAAUAACCAAAAAUUGGUGUCUCUUUGUGUUUUAAACAUUCGAGCUGGCCGGUUUGACAAAUUUUCCUAUUUUGUAGUUCAUAGUAGUAUGUUGGCAUGUGUUGUACUUUUCAGCUAUUUGCUAUGCAGGACAUCAAUGCUAACUUAUGCAGGAAAUGCACUUCUUUGUGUUCAUUUAACAAUGCAUUCAAUACAAAAAAUAAGCACGAAUACCAUUUGUAAUAAUUAUCACAAAUUGGCGCCUCUUUAUGAGUUAAACAUCCAAGCUGGGUGGUUUGACAAAUUUUCCUUUCUCUUGGUUCAUAGAAGUAUGUGAAAAACAACAUGCUGCUUGCUUACUUGAGGCUCUUGUUUCUGUGUGUUGUCAAUGGAAAAAUAAAAUUAUUGUUCAAUUAGAAGCUAAAAGUUAUGCUAUGACAGUGAAACUAGACUUCUGCUUCUAGAAAAGUUGACGGAUCUUCACCCUAUAAGCAUAAAAAUGAAACUAAAAGAACAACAGGGAGGGAAAAAGCUGCUUAAUCUUUGUUUGCUUGUUAUGCAGUGGGUUUCCAACCUUGAAGAUAUUUGUACAUGGGAUUCCUACAGAGUACUAUGGACCAAGGAAAGCUGAUUUACUAGUUCAAUUUUUGAAGAAAUUUGUUGCCCCAGAUGUUGCCGUUCUCAGUUCUGACUCUGCUAUUAGGGAGUUUGUUGAAGCAGCUGACAUUCAUUUUCCUAUAUUCAUAGGAUUUGGUUUGGAUGAGUCCAUGAUGUACAAUGUGGCUGUCAAGUACAAGAAGAAAGCUUGGUUUGCUGUGGCAAAGAUUUUUCAGAUGAAAUUAUGGCCUUCUAUGAUUUUGACAAGGUGCCUGCUGUAGUCUCACUUCUUCCAGAGUACAGCGAGCAGAGUAUAUUCUAUGGCCCAUUCGAAGGUAGAUCAUAUUCUAUUUUUACGACCUGUCCACGGAAGCUGUCAGCUAUUUUGAGUUUAGUUUAUGUUAAAAGCAUGUCAACUUUUUGAUCUUUUUGCCAUUUGGAUAUGCAUUUCUUUUUAUUUGCUAUAAAGACUUGGCCAAUUGUUUUAGACUCGAAGGUUUUGCCUAACAGAUUGACUAUUUGCAUUACUUUCAGUUGAGAUCUUUAUAUAAUGCUGAAGAACUUUAUAAAGUUCUUGUUGAUUUGACUGCAUUUAAGAGAAGGAUUCAACGCGGCAGAUAUAUUUGAUUCCUUAAUCAUUUGUUAAUGCUCAUAAAUAUAAUGUGAAGGUGAUUGUUCGGAUUUUCUGUGGAAAUUAAGCAGUUUAUAAAAAUGAUUUUGCAUUUUCUUUUAUUUUUUUACUGAAAAUUUGCGAGAAAUUUCUAUUUUGGCAGUGUAAAUGAACUUGUGGGAAGCUGGAUAGAAACUUUUGCAUUAAUGCAUGCAGUUGCAUAGACAUGCACCUGGAACUUGCAAAAUUCGGACAAGCUGUGAUUGACAGCUGUCAGCAUUCAACUUCACUUUGGACACUGCUAUUGAUUUAUUUGCUCAUUUUUUAUCAUUCCUUUUCAAAUUUAUUGAGAUGGCGCAUUAUCAGCCAUCAUAUUCUUUGUUGUUGGUAUCAUAGGAUGGAAAAACUUUAUUUUGCUGAUUGUUGUGUAUAUGGAGACUAGAGCCUCUGUUUUGAUUUGGAUUUUGUAGACUUGGUAAUGUAGGCAUCACGCAUCCAUCAUAAGAGAUUGUAAUAAUAGACUCAUAACACUAAGUAAUUUAGCAGAUUAUAAAGCAAGUCAGAAUGGGAAAAAGGAGGACCUCUACUACAUCUUGAUGGGUGCUGCUAUAUGCUGUUGUAACACUUGGUCUUAGACCACAUCAUACCUCUUUCCUGCUUUAUAGGUUGUUGCCUUUGUCAGCUACUGCUCUGUCUUAAUUUAAUCAAUGACAGCUAAGGCUGUAAAGGAAGGUGACAUAAUACGUGGUAUUCUUAUGCCCCUUAAUGUUUCUUUGAACUGUUGAGGAUGUUGAUUCUAUUUGAUUACAUCACCUCAUUUUCGAGCUCCUUUAGUUCCCUCUUUUUGCCUAUGCUUUGUGCUUCUCGUUGAAAUUAUGUUGGACCUGACUCAAGAUGUAUGGACAGUUGUCCACUCUUGGCUGUUCAUGCACAUAUUUAUUUGUUAUCUUCUGUCUUUGAUGUUAUUGUUGACAGACAAAAGAUCUUCAGUGGUUAAAAUUACUCGUCUUGAAAUUACAAUAUAUAAGUUAUCCAGCAGCUUUUCCUUUACAUAUAAGAUUAGCUGAUUUGAAGUUAUCAUUGGCUAUAGAAUGCUUAAAUGAUUCAGUGAAUUGUUUCAGGGCUAAUAGGGAUCAACGUAGCCCUUUGAAGUUGCAUUUGGAUGGUUGAAACCACCUGCACUUCUUUGUGUUGUAAUUACAUUUCAAGUUUUCUUCCAUGUUUUGCUUUUUAUUCUCUUUAACACCAUAGAAAUCUGAGUUUUUUUGGACAGAGCAUUUUAUGGUGUUUUUUUUUUUGUUCCAAUUAGUAUCAUUUUAUUCUUGCUAUAGUCUGAGAGUGUUUUCAAAAUUAUGUUUGAAAGGAAGAUAUAAAGAGAAUCUGCCUCUUUCACUUUUACUUUGAUAAAGAGCCUGAAAGUGAUUAUUAAAUAAGAUGUUUAAAAUUUAAGGAUAACUCUUCUAUUGUUGUUUUCCAUAAAUAACUUUACAAGCUUUAAUUAAACUAGAGCUGGAUGCAAAUGAUAACAGCUCCAAAUUGCUUUUAGCUUUAAAACAGCAAUAAUAACUUUGUAUAGCUUAAAUUAAGUUCUACUCGGAUGCAAAUUGUAACAGCUACGAAGCGCUUUUAGCUUUAAAACAGUAAUUCUGUGUAACAUCACUGGCAGUUGUUUUUUUUCUAGUUUCAUUUUAAUGUAUAGGGCUUGCUUAGAUUACUCAUUUUCCGCUUAGAACUUCAGCUCCCCUCUGUGUUAAGUUUCAUUGGGUUAUUUCGAUUGUAAUCUGACAUAUUCAGAAGUGCUUUUUAAUUAGGUUGUAUACAAUAUAAAUAUUGAGCAAAUAGAUAGGAGACCAACUUCUAUGGAAAGCAUAAUACUUGUCAAAAUAAUACUUGCUGAUUUGACAUGCAGAGCAUUUCUUUGAGGACUACAUCAAACAAAGUUUGUUGCCUCUAGCUUUGCCAAUAAAUCAAGAGACACUGAAGUUGUUAAAGGAUGAUCAGAGGAAGAUUGCUUUAACAAUUGUUGCGGAUGAGUCGGACGAAAAAUCCAGGGAUUUAGUCAAGCUGUUGAAAGCUGCAGCUUCAGCAAACCGGGAUUUGGUAUUCGGUUAUGUUGGUUUCAAGCAAUUUGAGGAGUUUGCUGAAUCCUUUGAAGUCAAUAAGAGAACUCAAUUGCCAAAAAUGGUUAUUUGGGAUGGAAACGAGGAAUACUUCUCAGUAAGUUCGGUCUCUUCCUUCCUGCCUGCCCCCUAUUUUACUCUUGAAAGUUGUCAUUCCUUCAAUUCAACUUCAUCUUGUGAGGUGUAUGAUAACAUCUUUCACGAUUCUGAGUUAUUGGUGCCCAAAUAAUCCUUUAUGCAAUCGAGGAUUUGUGGUUGCACUUUCUCUGCAACAAUAGUAUAUCUGCUGUAUGGUAUUUAUAUCUCAAAAGGUUUAUAGAAGGUAUCAUUGAUAUAUGUGUGUAAUGCAUGCAAGUGUAGGACAUGCUCCAUGAAGUCAAACUAAAGUAAGCAGAAGAAAGAACAAAUUGAAGCUUCGUGCAUUCACAUCAUUGUUCCUGCCUGUUCUUCUUUGAUUCUUGUUUCCUUUUUCAGUGCUUUCAACGUGAAUCAAUAAUACAUCUCCCAAAAGUUUUCACAUGCUGAUCUUUUGAAGUCAUUAAUUGCUAACUCUUUCACUGCAACGUUUAGUUGAACUUCUGACUUUGUUACCCACUGAAUUUGCUUCAAACAUGAUGUCCUAUUAGAUCAGGCAAAAUAAAAUUAAUUUUACAGUUUAAUCUAAAUUCGAAUAUUUCAGAACUGAAAUACAUGGUCCGAUUGUUGCUCCUCUUAUCGGGCUUAUUUUCAAAGCACGUCGAUUAGCAUGAUUGCCAUGAAGCUUUUGAUAAAAACGUGUACUUUACUCUUGCUGGUUAGGUGAAACGAAGUCGACAUGCAUUUUAACCUUUUGAUCCAUUGAUUUCUAGGUUAUUGGAUCAGAAAGCAUCAAGGAAGUUGAUCAGGGAUCACAAAUAACACGAUUUCUUGAAGGAUAUCGAGAAGGGAGUGUUAUCCAGAAAAAUAUUAGUGGUCCUUCUUUUAUGGAUUUUUUAAGGUCAUUCUUGGGAAUGAGAACUGCUCUUAUCAUAAUUUUCAUUGCUUGCAUGUUUAUUUUAAUCCUUGCUCAAUAAAGAGGAACCUCUAAGGGUUGGUACAAGAGAGGAUGCAGAUCCUGAUAGCCGCUCAACCUCUCAACCAGAUAUUCGAGAACUACGUCGGGAUGGGGACAAGGAAGAUUAAUCUAAGCUAAUGCUAGAUGUAACUUGAUUCAGUGGAAUUCAAGGCUUGAGGACAACAUACCAGGUAAAGAGAAUCUUGAAAGAAGUCCCAAUGAACCUGGGUUUUAUGAACAAUUAUUGAUGAGUUUACAAGUUAAAUGACAUGAUUUUGAGGAUUUCGUAGCUUAUGAAGAACUAUAUAUAUUGUACGUAUGAAGAACUAGAUAUUUAUGUUAUGUGCUUGAUUACAUGUAACGUUCUUUAAUUCAAUUGCAAAUGCAUCUUGCACCUAGUUGUUUUCUUGAUACCCUUUUUCUUUUUAGGACCAAAAGAAUCAUGAUCGACAUAUUGCUAUGUACGAUGAAGUUACAUAGUUCUAGCAGCCUUAGAUACUGUGUGAACUUUAUGAAUAACUGAUCUAUGAGCACAGAUUGAUACGCGCAUAAAGGCUUCUAACUGGCAAUCACAAAACUGAUAUUCUCUAACAUGGAAACAGUAUGAAAGGAAGGUAUUUUGACUAUUUGGUGCCUUGAGAACUUCUGCAAAACAUAAUCUAUCAUACUUGUUUAGUGAUAAUGCCAAAUAUUUUGUACGUCAACUUUGAUCUCACAAAGAAGCAACUAUUUGAUCAAAAUAAAAACAAAUGAAAUUGACUAGCAAAGUAACUUCUGCAUAAGCUAUAUAAAUUAGCAGUUCUCAAAGACAGGAUACAUAAUUCGCAAUGUAGCUGACAUGCACCCUAGAUAUACGAUAUGACCAUUGCUUACAAUUUGCAUGAAAAGUAAAAGCAAAUGUGGAUGAAAUUUGUGUCCGAGAGGAGGGAAUGAGAUUACAUCAAGGAAACCUCUCCCACAUUAUCUCCACCAAAUCAACCAACAUUUGAUGUUUUUUGCACGUUGCUUUUCUUCUUUUAGCGGUUGCGGCUCCUACAUCUCAUUUCAAUGUGGCAUCUUCCCUCUUUUUCAGUCCUAGCGAAUGGUUGACUAACAAUUUUUGCUUUCAGUCGAAAUAAUAUAUGCACUAAACCUUUUGGUACUAGGAAACGAAUUAUCAAGAGUCGUAUGCUCCGGCAAUAUAUGCUUCUUUGCUUAUAUGAAACAGACUGUUUUUGGUUUAAGAAAAAGGUUAGGAGAUGAGAAGUUCAUUCAUUCCAAGGCAAAGCAUGUCACCCACGCACUAGAUUCCCUUUGCACAAACAAAAUUUACAACGUUAUUGGAGAAUGUCUUAAGUUCGAUUUUCAAGAGAUGGGUGCAAUAUCUAUUUUUUUUUCCUUUUUUCUUCCUUCAUUUCUUUUCCUAAUAUCUUAUUUGGUUCGAUUAUUAUACGACUAUGCCUUUCUUACUACUUGGACCAAAAGCACCACUAGCACUCUUAAUAGCCAUGGCUGCAGACCUACAGUCUCUUCUGAAAAACGUAAAGAAAUGUAUAAAGAUCUGCAUAUGUAGUCAUCCUAUCCCUGCCGUGGCCCCUCUACUUGGUUUGAAAGGACUAGUUCUCUCCCCAUUCCAAUGAACUUCCAUUGACUUGCCUGGACAUAAACACACAAUCAGUUCCACCAAAUCAUCUGGAAUCCUGCAAGUUGAAUGUUUGUUUCAGGAAAGCCAGCGAAGGCUGCGAAGCCUGUCAUUGGCUCUCUAUGUCUAUCUUUGACAGCCAUGUGUCAUCUCUUAUCCCUCAACUUUCUCAUAGUGUGCAUUAACUCUUGAGCCACUAUUAUGUUAUCCUUUGUCUGCCUUCCUGGUAUAAAGCUGCUUUGUUCUGGGGCAAUCGAUCAUCCAAAACUAGCUGCAAUCUUUGCACAAUCACUUGAUAAUGAAUUUGCAGGAAAAAUUACAAAGUGAUGUGGGCCUGAAAUUGAUUACAUUUCCUAGAUGCUCCACUUUUGGAAUUAAAGAUAUCAGAGUGCCAUUCAAAUCUAGGUGGAUAUAUUUCUUUUGGAAGGCCUCAGAUACCAUCUCUACUACUGAUUUUCCAACGAUAUCCUAGCACUUAUGAUAGAAGAGCAUGCACCCGAUCAGGUCCUGGUGCUUUGUCCCCUUUCGUUGAGAAAACUGCCGUCUUAACUCUUGCUGGCACGCUUGUCUGUUAAGGGAUUGGAUUUGCCAUUGCUGAGUUGAGGAAAUUCAGACUCCGCCUCCACAUGGUUAGCACAACAAUACAAGUCCUUGGAAAAACUUGCCUUCAUCUCCUUCAGUAUUCCAUCGUCUAUUUCCUAUUGGCUUGCUCAUCCUUCAGGCACUCGAUUCUAUUUCUUCUUCUCGUGGUGAUAGUAAAGGUAUGAAAAAAUUUUGUAUUUCUGUCUCCUGCUUGUAGCUAACUCACCUUGGAUUUCUGCCUCCAAAACACUUCCUCUUGCUCCAAAAUAUGCCAGAAUCUCUUUCUCCAGAGAUUGAAGGUCGGUCGAGUAUCUGUACGAUCUUAAUUUUUCUCUAGAAUAAAUUACCAAAAAUUACUGGUUCCACUUUCUGAAAUGUUCUGCGAAGGAGUUAAUGUUUGCUAACACCUGGUUUGCCUUCCACGCUCGAGAAACCUCUUCCAAGGAAGCUGGAUGAGUAAACCAGUCCCACUCAAGUCUGAAAUAUUUUCGGCCAUAGAAAUUCCCUUUGCCUUCCAUAAGAAGCAGCAAAGGAGGUGAUCUGAAUGGGUUCUGACUUUGGUGCUUGAUAUAUGCUUCUGGAAAAGUUGUUCUCAACUCUUCAUUACAAAAUGAGUGCUUCUUAAGUUGUACCCUUUUUUUUUGGUCAAAAGCUUCUCAAGUUGUACUUAAAUAGCGCCUCCAAUGUUUUUUUUUUUUUUUGAUAACUCGGAACAUAUCCCGAUUCAAAUCACUUAGGACCCGAGCUGACACACCAAACCGGAGGAGUACACUACGGCCUCAGGCAAAACCGGAGGAGUACACUACGGCCUCAGGCAACGCACCUCGGGAAGUCACGGGAGUUCAAGUCCAGGGUAAGAUUUGAACCCAGAACCAAAGGAGUUAUUAAGAGUUUGCUUACCACUGACCACCUUCGUGGGGCGCUUCCAAUGUUGCUCCUUGAAAUGAUGUUAAGUCUUUUCUAUCACCAACUCCUAUGUAACAUAAUUUAGUAGAUUUUGUUUUGUUUUGUUUGUUCUUUUUUUCUUUUUGGUAGGAAUUCACUACAUACAUACAUACAUACAUCGAAAUAUCCUAUUUUCUGUUUUAUUGUUAGAUCUCCUACAUUAUUUUUGCUUAUAUGGCUAUUCAUUAAUGCUUAAAUUUGCAUCCCUCAAAUUUUAAGCCUCUUUACUUGGUUUUUAAGGCAUAAAGUAAAAAAAAAAAAAAAGACAUGAGAGUUUUCUCGGAAGUAAAAAACGAAUUUCCAUGAAGAUGUGGAACGAAAGAAAGUGACUAGGCUUGGAGAUUUGGUUUCUUACUCUCGAAACCAUUGUAAUUUUCCUACAUUGCAAUUUUAGCGUUAUAACAACUUAUUAUUUGUUUCCUUAACUAUUGCAAAUUACCAUUGCACUAAAAUGGUGUGACUCUCUUAUAUGUAAAAGCAACUUCUCCUAAGACUAUUUCAAAUAGCAAAACGUUUAGUGUUGGAAGGCUCCAACAUUUUGGACUAGUUUUGGAACUAUGAACUAAAAUUGGAUUUACCAUUAUUUUGUUGGUUCUGUUUGGAAUUUGGUAGCAAAUUCACUUGUUUAGUAGUAGUAAAGCGGGCAAAGGUUGUCCAUUUGCCAAUUGAGAAUUUGCCAUAUAUUAUCGCAACUGUUAAUGGGAAUAGUAUUGCAACAUAAGAGAGUCUAGAUGAAACGUUUUCAAACCUCAAUGGAUCCAACUGAUUUUUGACCCAAAAGAGUCUUAUCGAAUAAAAAUUUCAUCUUCCAUUCUUUUUGCUUUUUCCUGCGUCCACAGUUUCUCUAGAUGCAAAGUCUGCAAAUGUCAGUUAUCUAUUGGGAAGGCUGAAAUUUCUGACUGCACAAAACACUUGAAAACUUAUGUUGUAUCCCAUGUUAACUUUACUUUUACAUUCAAAAAGAAUUUAUGAAUCUUAAAGCACCAUGAUUUAUCAAUCAAAUCUUUCAAGUUCAAUGUAGGUUAACUGUGCUUAUAGGUGAGGCUGUCUGCAAGGAUUUAGUGAUUGACAUCCACAAUGCAAUGCAUCAUGAGCAAGGUAACAAAAGAAAGUAGAAAAAGAAGAGCUAAUGCUUAUUCACUUGAUACCAUGUUGAUUCGUUUUGAGAAAAUUUUAGUUUCAAGCAUAAACUAGAACCAGACAUAGAAGCAAACUGGAAAGCACUUAAGAAAAAGAGUAUCACAAGAUGCAAGGAGAUUAUGCAAUUUUUACAGGGUAUCCUGAACAGAAAAGCAAAGGAAAACUAGUUACAAGCAUUACUGAGGUUGAAUUAGAUCCUGGAAGGAAUCAAGGGAGUGGUGUUCUGUAGGUAUGCACAAGCAGCUCCCACUCCACUUCCUAGCUUGACAGGGUAACCAACAUCCUUGAGUACCAUCUCCACUCC